Molecule: long non-coding RNA, 124363 nt
Filed under: Solanum tuberosum (potato)
Lineage: Eukaryota; Viridiplantae; Streptophyta; Magnoliopsida; Solanales; Solanaceae
Description: long non-coding RNA (STUB_LNC005431)
Source: RNAcentral
UUUCGAGAUUCGUUUGCUCACUAAAACAAGCAUUUUUAACAGGUCUUGUUUGGUGGAAGCUGGUGUAAUCCCACCUCUUCUGAAUCUUGUUACUUCAAGGGAUUCUUCUUGUCAAGAGAAUUCAAUGGCUACUCUGCUGAACCUCUCAAAGAACUCUAAAUGCAAAAGCACAAUUGUUGGAAAUGGAGGUUUGUUCUUGAUACUUGAUGUGUUGAAAGGAGGGCUAAAGAUGGAAGCUCGACAGCACGCAGCUGGUACAUUAUUCUACCUUACAUCAGUAGAAGAGUACCGUAAAAUGAUGGGAGAAAAUCCAGAGUUCAUUCCAUCACUUUUGGAGUUGCUAAGAAAUGGCACUGACAGAGGAAAAAAGAAUGCCUUGGUCACCAUUUUUGGCCUCCUAAUGCGCCCCGAAAACCACUGGAGAGUGAUUGCUGCUGGAUUAGUCCCCUUGGUGGUUAAUCUGUUGAAAUCUUUCGAAAGGGAAGAUCUCAUUACAGAUUCUUUAGCAGUUUUAACAACGCUUUCUGAAAGGCUAGACGGAGCAAUGGCUGUUCUUUAUGCUGGAGCUUUGCCUAUUAUUGUCAAUGUUCUAAGUUCUUGCAAUUCAAGGGCAUCAAAAGAGUACUGUGUCUCAUUGUUGCUGGCUUUGUGUAUCAAUGGUGGAGCAGAUGCAGUUCCUGUUUUAGUAAAGAACUCAUCUCUCAUGGGACCGUUAUAUUCCCUCCUGGCUGAAGGCAACUCAAAAGCAAGCAAGAAAGCUAGUACACUCAUCAGAAUCUUGCACGAGUACAACGAGAAGACCUCAUCUGGCUUGAUCACUCCAGUUUUUAUAGAGGAUCAAUUCAUUAAUGUAUGGUAAUUAUUUACAAGCAUCCAACAUGUAUAUAUACACCAUGGUGUAGGAUGCUUUAGUGUCAUUUUCCUUUACUGGUGAUAUCGGCUCAAGUUUUUAAGAGCUAGUCACACUACACUGCUGCAGCUUCUGGUUUUUUGAAUGAAGCUUUGUAUAGUUUUACUUGUAUCUCUAUACUUUCUGAUGUUAAUGUGAAUUGUUGUUAAUGUAAACAUCAAUCGUUGUAAUCUUCGACUAAAUAAUAAGCAUUAUCUUAUCUGAAUCAGUUGGUAUAAAUAUACAAUCAGUUUACUUGUUUUAUCUUUGAUUGUUCAGUUUCAUCUUCUGGUAGGCACCUAAAUUGAGAUCAAAAUGUGUAUAAGAGGAAACUUAAGUACAAUCUUGGGCAGAGGCGGAUCUUCAGCGAGUUCAAUGGGAACCAUUGACUAUAAAUUCUAGAUUCACCUUUGAGUUCUUGGGUAGGAUGAAAUGAAAGUUAAUUGUACAUGAGAAUGUGCACUAAGGAUGGACUGACUCAACUCUUGUUGAUAAAUCGAGAGCCUCUUCGAGUUUAACAACCACCUGUUCCAUGGAUGGUCUUUGCUGCUUAAGUCCUAUGCUAGUCAAAGCUAGCUUAAGAACAAGUUCAAAUGCCUCCAUUGAGAAUUUCCCCUCCAGUUUGAGAUCAGCAAAUUCUUUGAUAUUCCCACCUUUGGUCAAGUUUUUCGCCUAUGAUUCAAAAAGACGCGUUAAAGAGAAAAAAAAAACUCAAAAUGAAUGCAAGAGAAAAUGGAGGAGUUAGUAUGUUUACCAUUUUACUUAGAGGCAUUGGAUUCUUCAAAUCCAAGUUGAUAACCCUUUGUCCAGAUAAAAGUUGUAGCAGUACUAUCCCAAAGCUAUAGACAUCACCAUAAGAAUUAACAUGACGGUUCUUUUGGUACUCAGGAUCAACAUAACCAUAGGUUCCUCUCACUUCUGAGCUAGCAUAUGAAUGUCCAAUGCUAAUAAUUUUGGACAAACCAAAGUCUGAGAGUUUGGCUUCAAAGCUAGCAGAUAGAAGAAUGUUUGCUGGCUGCAAAAUUUCACCAAAAAGAGGAAACACAACUGAUUUUUUUUUAGAAAAUGGAAGACAGAUUAUGGAUGUAAAAUAAGAUUUUACCUUGAUAUCCCGGUGAACAAUUGAUCCUUGAGGAUACGAAUGGAGAAAGAGGAGACCACGAGCACAAUCAAGUGCAAUUUCUAGUCUUCGUCUCCACGAGAGAUAUUUACUUUUACCUGCUCAGCAGGGGUUUUAAAAUCAGGACACUAUACAAUUUAGAUCAACAAAGAACAGAGAAAUGCUCAAAGAGCAAAAACAUACCAAAUAGCCAUUCGGAAAGAUUUCCAUUGUGGCAUAGCUCAUAAACUAGAAAACAUUCAAUUGGUGCAUCAUAGUGGCCUAGCAGGGAUACGAGGUUCGGAUGUUUGAUAUGAGAGAGACUUGUAACUUCUCUAACAAAUGUUUCCAUCUGUUCAUCCUUAAUUAUGUGCUUAAUAGCCACAUGUUGUCUAUCUGCUAAAAUGCCUUUGUAUACUUUUCCUGUAAAACAUGAUCAUAUCUGAUUUAUGCAUGUUACUAAUAUGAAGUCAACUACUACAACGUUCGAUUGUGACUUACCAGCUAUGCCUUGACCUAUGAAGUUGGACAUGCUGAGACUGUCAGUUGCAGAGUAAAUUUCUUUAAGUGAUAGUCUACGAUAGCUUGAUUCUUCAGAGUAAGAUUCAUCUGAUACCAUCAAUAUUAAGCAGAAUUAGAAUAAGCUAAAACAUUCAAAACAAUGAUUGUUAUGUGUAGAGGGCUUACUGUAUCUUUCACUUGAUGGUUUAACUUCAGCCUUCCUUUUCACAUAGAUCCACAACGCAACGAUUACAACUAACACCAUCCCAACUACACCAACAAUUAGAAUUGAAAGAUCUGCAUAUUUAACCAAUGCUUAACAAUAAACACACUCUUUUGUCCUGAAACUCAGCAAUAUCAGUAAUUUUUAUGUAUAUGGAUUUCAAGACUUUACCAGUUUUAAACUUAGUACUACGUAUCGUUUCAUUUCCACUCUCAUCUGCAGAAGAUGCUGCACAGUACAAUGAUCAAUCAAGAUCAUAGUUAAAUUUCAAAACUUAAAUAUGUUUAUAACAGGAAGUAAAGUAAACUUACCUAAAGGGAGAGAGUUGUCUCCUAGGCAAUGAAAGAUCUUGUCAAUCCAACUCUCAUCAGCAACUCUUUGACUUGUUAACAAAAUCAGCAUACUAAAUCUACAAAUGUCAUCUUCAAGUUUCAUCGAAUCAUUUUUCGACGUGUAAGCUAUUUCUCUCCAUGUCUUCAAACACUUAUUGCAUCCCUUAGUAAGUCCUCCUUCUGAAUCCAUUAGCCUACAAUCAUCCCUCAGACUAUUCAAUCUGCUUCCUAUCUCAUUCAGAACGUCGAUCUCUGAAUAAUCCGAACAACCUCCUGCACCACUAGUCAACUUCUCAAUGCCACAGCUAAAAAUAUCAGUACUAUUGUUAUUCAUCAAAGUUAAGCAGUCCAUCUGUUGUAUGGAAUUGAGAAAGAUAAGUCUUGUUUGGUUUGUCCAACGCGCCAAUGCUCGUAAAUAUAUGUUGAAAGGUAAUCCACAACAAGGGUGAGUUAAGAAACCAUCCCAAUUGUUGUCUAAAGUUGUACAUGAGUCCCUUGAUGAUGAAGAAGAAAUGUUAAAAUCCAGGACACAUUUGUUGAAACUACUAUUGGUUUGAGAAAAAACUAAGUCAAAUGAUAUGGAGAAAACCAUGAUGAACAUGAUUAAUAAUGGUGCUUUGAAGCAAUUCAUUUUCUUGAAAUGCUAAAGGGUACUCUAUAUUAACAUAAUCAAAUAGAGAGCUAUAUAACUUUUUCUUCAUUAGAAAAAGAAGAAGAAGUCAAGGAUAUGAAAGAGUAAUAAAAGAGAAUGCAUUUGGCUAAAGAGGGUAUUUUUCUUGUUUCCCAUUGUAGGGCAUAACACUGUUUAAUGGCGGAAUACAUCGACAAUCUCUUAAAUUUGUUAUGAAUUUUAUUUAGACACUUGAACUACAUUAAGUUCCAAUUGAGCAUCUAAACACAUAAUAAUAAAGUAUUCUUAUUAGAAAAUUACUAUUCAAAUUCUGGAAAAACUUUUGCGCGCCUAGUCAAGAGUAUAUGAAGUAAAUUAGUUAACCACAUAAAUUCUGCAACAUUUUUUUGAAUUAUAUUUGUCAAUCUCAAUUAGAGUAGGCCUUAGGUUUUACUGCUUAUAACUAAAGAAAGUGACAUACUUUAAGUGAUUAUCAUAUUUACAUAAUUGGUGCUUACGCACAAAUACUUUUUAAAGAUACAAGUCGAAAAUGUCUAAUAGAAACACUAAUCGUAUGCUCAAUUAGAAAAUAUCGGAAUUUAAAUGUCUAAAUGAAAUAAAUUGACAAAUUUAAGGAAUUGUUCAUGUAUGUCGCCUUAGUUAAUCAAUCACAUGACAUAAGACAAAAAAAAAAGUUAAUAAAAAAUCUAAGAUUUUUUGCUGAUUUAACAUUUGUAGAUUAGUAACUUAAGUAAGAUGUGAUAAAAGACAAAUGCCGGAUAUAUCAACAUUAGAAAAAUAUAAAAGUUUGAUGUCACCUUUGUGUUGUACUGUUUGGUUGACGAAGGACUCAAUCUUACACCAAUACAAAUUACCAAUUGUUUUAUCAAAGACUCAACUAAUUAACCAUCUGCUAGAUAAUUAGAAUUACUGAAUUAGGGGUGUUAACGAAAAAUCGAAAAUCAAAUUAAAUCGAUAAAAAGAUUUAUACUUUUUUGUUUUGAUUUUUACUUUUAAAUAAUUUGAUUUGAUUUUAGAUUUUAGAUUUUUUUAAAAAUAACCAAGUCAAGUGGACUCUUAAUUCUUAAUUUAGGUGUUUGUCUUUAUAGUAAUUCGGUUAUUUGUCUUUAUUUCUUUUAUUUGAUUUGUAUUUUUUUGUUUGACAAUUCUAAAAAUCUAUUUCAUAUUCAAAAUAACUUGUCUUUUAGUCUUUUAAUUAUUCACCAUUGUUUGAUUCAAUUGCUGUGAAGAUAUAUUGGUACAUUACUACUAGAUCUUUAAUUUUCUACCCAAAAAUAUGGUUGUAAUUUUUUUUUAUAAUGGUCCCUGGAAAUGACUAAAUUAAUUAUGGGAAUAAUGCAUACGAUUUUUUUGGAGGAAGCUAUAUAUAUAACUUGAUGCAUAUAUAUUUUCUUUUUUCUUAAAGAGUAAGUGAUUUGGUAAUGUUAUGAUGGAAAAAUAUGCUUGGAAAUAUAUUAUCAUUUAUUUUUAAGAAAGGAAAAAACGACAAAAGUCGAUAUAAUAAAAAGUCAACUUUAUUAAUUUAAUUUGGUUCCAACAUUUGAAAGACCAGCUUAAUUAAUUUAUUUUUUUGUUAGAGAAGAAUCGAUGCAAAUCGAAUUGUGAACACACCUAAUUAGAAAUAAUACGAUCAUUAGUUUGUAUUUGUUUUUAAGGAAUAAAAGAGAGAAUAGAACAAUAAAAUAAAAUUUAAAAUGAAAAUACUCAACCUCAUUGGUUUUUCUUCUUUCCUUUUUCCCUUGUGUUGCCAAAGAGGAAAAGGCUGGAAAUUGAAAUAUAUAUAUAUAUAUAUAUAAACCCCAAGAAUUUUUUUUAAAAAAAUGGAAGAAACAAUGAACGUCAAUGAAUACAUCGUUAAUUUUAUGUAUGUUUUCCUAGUUUAAAUAUGUGGAAACUUUGGAGUUAACUUAUUUUAGCACAACAUUAUAGCAAGUAGUAGAGUCAAAAAUUUAUAUAAAGUGAUUACAAAAUCAAUAGAUCGCUACUCACGUACUUGAACGUGUAAUAUAAGCACUCUAAAAUCUUAUUUAUUAGACUAUUAUGCAUCAAUUAUUUUUCAUUAAUUAAAAUAAAAUAUUAAUGGGUUUAUGAGUUACAUGUUUUUCCCACUCUAAUAUAGGGGCUUCUAACGUAAAGAUGACGAUUUUUUUUAACUAAAAUAGUUGCAUGUAUAUGUAAUGUAUCAAAAAUGUAUAAUCAUAUAUAUAAUGUAUAACUAUGAUUAGAGAUGUAUAUAAAUACAUACGCACUCUUUAUAUAAUAUUUAUAUAGUUGCAAAAAUUCAUCUUCCUCAACAAGCUACUUUUUUUCAAUCUCAUCUAACUCAAAUUUCCUCUAAAAAAGGCUUAAAUUAUAAAUUUGAGCUGCUCUCAAUAUUUCGAAUCACUUCAUAUAUUAUUCACUCAAAUUUCAAAAUAAUUCAUAUUUGCAAGAGAUCAAAUUUUGAGCCUCAAAACUAUUCAAAUAGAGGGCAAACAAUUGUUGGGCCUUUCUUAUUCAAUGGGCCGGUGGACUGUACUAAUUAUUGAAUAAUGCAGAUUAGGGUGUAAAUGGUCGGGUUGGUUUGAGUUUUUCAAAUAUUAAACUAAACUAUUUGUGUCGAAUCUCUUUUUAAAGGGAAAAUUAGCAAAUUAGUCAAAAAGUCUAACUUAAUUAGUAAAAACCUCCAUACGUUAUAAAUAUUAGUAAAAAUGUCAAAAUGUCAUUAUUUUAGAAAAGCUUGUGUAUUCUAAUUUACUUCCUAUUUUAUCUCACCUUAAUUACACAUUUUCCAAUUAAUCCUCUAUCGUAAUCCGCCUCUCUCUUCCUCUUUUUUUUUUUUUUCAGAAAUUGAAAAAUAUAUUUAUAAAGAUAUUCACACAAUCCCUUUUAUUGAGGUAUGCAUCUUUAUUCGUUUUUUAAGAUUUAUUUUAUGAUUUUAUUUUUGUUUAAAAUUGUUGUCUGUAGUUGAAAUCACAUUUAGAAUUUGAUAAACUCUAAAUCACGCUCCAAUGGCAGAAUCUAAGAGAAUUACUAGAGGUAUCCAACUUAAUCAACAAUUUGCUAUUUUUCAAUAUCACAAUUUUCUACUAAGAACACAAAUGACGACAAUUUUGUAUUUUAAUUUGCUUAUUUUGUAUUUCAAUAUCACUUUAUCUACAAACAAGUUCUACUUUUUUUUAUUUUGUAUUCACCAUAAUGGUAUACCAACAAAGUCACAUUUGUAUUUCAAUUGAAAUGAGUAUUUAUUGUGCUCAUUUUGUAUUUCAAUCUCAAUUUNNNNNNNNNNNNNNNNNNNNNNNNNNNNNNNNNNNNNNNNNNNNNNNNNNNNNNNNNNNNNNNNNNNNNNNNNNNNNNNNNNNNNNNNNNNNNNNNNNNNNNNNNNNNNNNNNNNNNNNNNNNNNNNNNNNNNNNNNNNNNNNNNNNNNNNNNNNNNNNNNNNNNNNNNNNNNNNNNNNNNNNNNNNNNNNNNNNNNNNNNNNNNNNNNNNNNNNNNNNNNNNNNNNNNNNNNNNNNNNNNNNNNNNNNNNNNNNNNNNNNNNNNNNNNNNNNNNNNNNNNNNNNNNNNNNNNNNNNNNNNNNNNNNNNNNNNNNNNNNNNNNNNNNNNNNNNNNNNNNNNNNNNNNNNNNNNNNNNNNNNNNNNNNNNNNNNNNNNNNNNNNNNNNNUUGUAUUUUAUGUGCUCACUUUACCAUUCAAAUUAAAAUUGGUAUUUUACUUUCAUAGUAAAAACUAAAAUUUGUAUUCCAGUGAUUAAAAUUGUAUUACAUAACUGCCAAAUAUAAUUUUCUUUUAUUCGUAUUACAAAAAUAUUAGGGCAAAUCACAUAAAUCCCACUAGUUUAGGUCUUAAUUAUUAAGAUUCCCAANNNNNNNNNNNNNNNNNNNNNNNNNNNNNNNNNNNNNNNNNNNNNNNNNNNNNNNNNNNNNNNNNNNNNNNNNNNNNNNNNNNNNNNNNNNNNNNNNNNNNNNNNNNNNNNNNNNNNNNNNNNNNNNNNNNNNNNNNNNNNNNNNNNNNNNNNNNNNNNNNNNNNNNNNNNNNNNNNNNNNNNNNNNNNNNNNNNNNNNNNNNNNNNNNNNUACGUUAUAUCCAAAAACAUGUAUCUCGAAUACAUAACAAGCAUAUACAUUUUGUAUCUAAAUAUGAAAUGUAGUUGAAACACAUGAAUCUAUGAACAAAUCACGACUNNNNNNNNNNNNNNNNNNNNNNNNNNNNNNNNNNNNNNNNNNNNNNNNNNNNNNNNNNNNNNNNNNNNNNNNNNNNNNNNNNNNNNNNNNNNNNNNNNNNNNNNNNNNNNNNNNNNNNNNNNNNNNNNNNNNNNNNNNNNNNNNNNNNNNNNNNNNNNNNNNNNNNNNNNNNNNNNNNNNNNNNNNNNNNNNNNNNNNNNNNNNNNNNNNNNNNNNNNNNNNNNNNNNNNNNNNNNNNNNNNNNNNNNNNNNNNNNNNNNNNNNNNNNNNNNNNNNNNNNNNNNNNNNNNNNNNNNNNNNNNNNUCCUUUUGCGUUGUGGCAUAACAUAAUCAAAACUAAGAUCCAUUUCUUUCGGAGACAAACAAUCAAGACCCACUAUGAAUUGAAAGUUUUCUCUGUAGCAGUUACUGUGAUUGGAACUCGUGAUAAAUGAACAAUACAAAAUGAUAUUUGGGUUCAGGAGAAUUUGUGGUGAUGAUAUCUUGAGAAGAAGAGAGUAGAUUAACUAUUGUUGAAAUGAAAUUGUAAGGUGAAAUUCUUGAAUAAAAAAGGAGGAGACAUAAUUGAGUGAUAAACAUGGGAGGGGAGAAUUAAGAGAUAGUGGUUGAUUUGGAGUGAAAGAGUUAUUUAAGCAGAUAAUUAAUCAAUAAUAGUUUUAAGGGAUGUGGCUAUCUAAUAGUAUUUUCAAAUAAUACAUUAAUAUAUGGUAUAAAAUACUAAAAGUGGUAAUAUAUGUAAUUGUUUAAAAGUAAAGAUAAUAUUAGUAUAUAUAGUAGUGAUGUAUGUAGUUUAUCCAAAAAUAUUAUUCAUUGUAUCACAAUAUAAUCUAAUCAUUACAUAUAAAUACGUUUAAAGAAAGAUACAAGAUUCUGAUAAAAGAAUAGCAUACAUAAUAAAAAUAAUACAAUUUGUUUGAGGAAUUAAUGAUACAAUAUUCUAAAAAAAAAAAUUGACUGUGAAAGAAAUAUGAUACAUCUAUGUUUAAGAAAUACAAAUCAAUUUUGGCAUACCAACUGGAAUGACUACAAACUAAAAAAAACUAACAAUGUUCUUAAUAAAAAUAUAAAUGUUGAGUAAAAGAAAAACAAUUAACAACAAAAAUUAAUAUGAAUACAAUUUUUGCAACCUUCUUCUCCAAUUCUCUCAUUCUUUGUCAACCUUCUUCUCUGAUUCUCUCUCUUUUUUUCUUCUUCUUCACGAAAGUCGAUUUUGGUUCUAAAAUCUGAUCCGUUGAAGCCAUGGUUGGAUAUAAAAAAACGCGAUUUAAUCAAAUUCAUUUCAACAGAAAUUGAGUAUUAUCAAUGAAAAUUUAAAAAUCGAUACUAGAAAUUUGAUGAACAAGUGGGAUGAGUUCUUUGUUGUUUUUUUUUUUGAAUUUGUAUUUAGUUUUGAAUUUUUGUAACUGAUGAGACUUUUAAGCAAUUGUUCCUUUUUAAAAAAAUUCUCUCCCCUAAAUUUCUCCUUUCUAUUAUUUAAUAAUUGUAUUCUUUAAAUAAAACAAAUAAUAAAAACUUAAAUAAGAUAUAUAUUAAACUAAAAUUCUGACAUUUUUACUAAAUAUUGAAAGUGUUGACAAUGAGUCCUAUUAAAUGUUAAAUUAUUGACAUUUUAAAAAAAAAAUCAUUUUUAAAUUUAUAAACCAAAUCAAACUAAUAAAACUCGACUUUUUCAAUCUUAGUUUUUUUUUUCAAUUUGGUAUGGACUUUUCAAAUAUCAAAUCAAACCAUUUGUGUUGAAUUUUCAAAUUUAUAAAUCAAACCAAACUAAUAGACCUCGGAUUUUUUCAGAUUUUUUUUCCUGUAAAGUAUUAAUACAAACAUAUACUAAUUAAAUUGUGCUCCAAAUAUUUCUUUAGUCCAACCAAAAUACAAUUGUCUAAGGUGUUUCUUAAGAGAAUAACACAAAAAUAUGAGAUGAGUGAUGACAAUAAAAUAUUCAACAAAAAAAUAAUAAUGAAAUCACAUAAAAUAAAUAUUGCAAAUUAAUAAGUCAUAAAAGGAUCAUAGUUUAAAAGUACUAAAUCAUGCUAAAAUAAGUCUAAUAAGUAUUAAUUACAUGAAUUAAACAUUAAAGAAAAAACAAAAUUAGGUUAUGAAUUUUAAAUGUCUAAAUCAAUGUAAAAUUAAAGAACAAAUAUUCAAUAUUAUUGUCAUUUUUAGUGUUGAAUCAAUUUUUUUGUUAGCAUUAAUAUUGAUUUGAUUUUGAAUUGAGCUUUAUUAGAAUUACUAAUAUCUAUGGACUUUAAUCUUAUUGAACCAUUCAAAAUUAUAAAUCUCAAAGAACUUGAAAAAAUAUGUUAAAAAUAAAAAUUAUGAAAAAGUUUAAGUAAUAUUUUGAAAUUAUAUCAAAGUAAAUACUUUUAUAUAUAAAGUAAAUUUUAAAAAUUAUAUAUAUAAUGUCGGGUUGGUUUGGACUCGGAUUGACUUUUUUUAGUUAAAAUUAAACCAACCCAAGUAUAGUCGAAUUUUUUUCCAAUACCAAACCAUAAUCAAGUUUUUUUCUUCAGUUUGGCUCAAUUUAUGAUUUGAUUUUGUACCCCCAAACUUCAAAAGUUGGUCAAUUCAACUUAUCUCAUAAUUUGGAAAAAAAAAACCCGUUAUUUAGUCCAUUGACUCCUUAACAUGAUCAUACUCUGAUGCAACAAUUUUUUAAUAAUAUCAAUAUUAGAGUAGGUCGAUCAACGUUUGAGAUCGCGACUCAAAUUGGUAGCCUAUUUGUGAGGAGUGGUGGCUUGAAUCCAUGACCAACGUUGUUGGUCUUCAAUGGGGACGAUUAUUAUAUAUCACUUGUUCUCCAUCAAUUUUUUUAAAAUGACAUAAAUAGCCGCCUAUCAAAAUAAUAAUCAAGAAAUGUAUAUGUUGUAUAUAGACGCAUUAUAUAUGUAAAAUAUACAACUUUCAUUUGAUACAAAAUAAUAUAGAUUUUUCUAUAUUUGACCAGUGAAUCUAAUUAUUUUUAGUCAAUCGAUCCCAAAUGUGUAACUAGGCUAAAUAGACUCUCCACCCCAUAACUAGUCUUCUGGAUUGUUACUCUAUUUGGAACAUAGUAUAAUAUUUGGUUUAUAACAUAGAAGUUCUAGUUAUAUUUUACAUGGAUAAGUUUUUGAGUGAUUUUUGAUCGAAGAAAUAAGAAAAACGAUGUGUUAAACAUGACUCACACGUUACAUUAUACAUAUGAUAUACAAAUGAUAUAUUGUAUAUGCCAUAUGUAUAUGUUUUCCUUUUGUAGAUAGUUUGAUGAACUUGUAUUCUUAGAAAAACAGUUAAUUUUACUUCUUCUAAUAUGCAUGCAUUGUCUCAUUUUUCUCAAGUUAAGUGGCUUAGCUAAUGAUUAAGCAUGAGAAUAAAGAUCUAUGUGUGAUUUGUGAGUGGAUAUAAAUGUAAAAUAUCAUUUAUGUUUUUUCCUAAAAAAAUUAUGUUCUAUAAAACUAGAAUAAAAAUUCAAUAUCAAUUUUAAAAAUUAAUAAUUUAAUAUCUCAAACUUUUCAGAAAGUGAUAUUUCAAUUUUUUAAAUUAUAAAACUUGAUUUAAGUUUAUAUUUUUCAAAUAAGGAUUCAUUGUUUUAAAUUUGAUAUAAAAAUAAUAGCUAUGUUCGACAUGAAUAGAUUAUUGUAUCACUUGGAAGGAUUAUAUUAAAGAAUAGUUAGUAACCACUAUUGCUGAUUUAUUUAUUUUUUGGAUAAAAUGAAUCUUUGUAAAAUUAUGCGCAUUUGAAAGUUUUUAAUAACAUGUAAUCGCAAACAAUUUAUUUACAAAGAACGUAUAGAUAUGUGAUUUAUUAAUGUGUCGCCUUAAGAUAUUGUGAUACCUUGUUUAUGAAAUAUGAUAUGCUCAUUUGGUAAAAUUGUAUAAGAGUUGAGAAAGUUUUGAUAGUUUUCAUAAUUUGUAGGAUUUAUUUAUUUAUGAGAACAAAAUACAACUUAAGAAAUCUAAAUUGCAUAUCCAAACAAAAGUUCAACUUUAAAUCAUCCUAAUUUCAAAUCACUAAUUUAAUAUGACGUUCAAACGGAUCCAAAAUAUUGUCUAAAUUAUGCGUUUGACUCCCAAAAUUUGAAACAUGUUACAUAAAUUAGGACGAAGAGAGUACAUAAAUAACAAAUACUUACAUAAUUAAUAUAUGUAUACCUCUAAUCAACAAUCAAACAACUCCUCAUAAUUAGAAACAAUACUCAAUUUUAAUCUUACAUUCCUAAAAUAAUACUCUCUUUAUUUCAAUUCACUUGUUUUGCUUUCUUUUUUUAGUCCGUUUAAUAAGAAUAGAUUUUCUUUCUUGGCUACUCUUCAAUUUCAAUUUUUCAUCCAACAUAUUUAAGAUCACAAGAUUAAAUACGACAUUUUAAUAUUAUUUUUAGUUUAAAAUCAUAAGUAGUACUCAAAUUUAUUCCUUUUUUUUCUCAAAUUCAGUGUUAAUCUAAAAGUAGACAAAUACAUUGAAACGGAAAAGUAAUUAUGCUAAUUUGUUUUAAGUUUAUAAACGACAUAAACAAAUUGAAAUCGAAAAAUAGUAAUUAUCAUAAUUUGUUUGUUUAUAUAUCCUAUAUAUGCACGAAAUAAAAAAGGACAUUGAAGAAAGUGUAUUUUUAAUCUAAAUUUUACGCUUCUUAAAAUCAUAGUCAAUGUAUAUUUGCUUGCACAUAUGAAUGAGUAUAAAACAUCUAGGUUUUUCGACUACUAAUUCUCGUACACAUUAUCACGUAAUUACUAUUUAAUUCACAAAUUACUUUUUUUCGUAGUUAUUUUUAUUUAAUUAUUUUUUAAAAAAUUAAAAUCUUUUCAUGUAUAAUUAAGAUAUUGGCCUUAUUAAAGAAGCAUGCUUAACAAAACCUAUAAGAUAAAGACAUAUAAACUAUGCCAAUAAAUUAAAUUAAAUUUAAUUUAAUUAAUAUCUUUCAUAAAAUAAUACUAAGCAAAUGAGUCACAAAUGCAAAAAUUAUUUAUGCUGACAAGAUUAGCACUUUCUAUAUAGCACCCUUUCGAAGUGGCCAUUGGCCAAAUCAUGAAAUUAUUUUAAUUAUAUUUUUUUACCUUAAUAAUUAUCUACAUAAUUUUUGAAGAAAUAAUUUUUAAAAAAAAGUUAAGAAAGGGGGAUGUCGGGUACGGAAAAGAAUAUUAAAUUUUAUUAUCCAGUUGUUGCCAGCCUGCUAGCAGGUGGCAUAGCUUUUUUUCACUUUGCGUAAUAGUCCGUAAAAAAUUAUACGUACUCGAUGUUAUAUUAAAUCAAUUAAACAUAUAGUAAGUAAUAUUUUUAGAUAAUUUUUUGGUAUUUAAUCAUAAAUUUUUACAAUUUAAAUAUAAUUAUCCAGCUAUGUUUGCUAUUUUUUAGGAAAGUUAAAUAUUUCUUUCAAACUUUAUGGCCAAACGCACACUUGGUAAAAUUUACAAAAAAAUAUUUAAGAAUUUAUGAUCAUAGAAUUUAAAUACAAUCAGGUUUUUUAAAUGCUUAUAAUUGUGAUUAAUUUUAUUUAAUAAUAUCAACUGAUAUUCUAAAAUAAAUAAUCAGGUUAAAUUAUACAAGAUAAUAUAUUUAAGAAAAUGUAGUGUAUGUGAUAUAAAUCCUAUUGAAUGUUACUUUAAUCAUUCAAACAAAAAUAAAUAAAUAAAUUGGUUAUGUUGUCGGCUGCCUACCUUAGCAUUCUCUAUUUUUGAACCUAAAAAUUUGUAAUGACCCGGAAGGUCAUUUGUGGAAAUUUUAAAUAUUCGUUUAACUACAAUUAAUUAAUUGAUGGGUAAUUGUAGGUAAUUGACUUAAUCAAUAGUUAAUGGGCUAAAGUGAUAAUUUAUUUAAGACCCUACACUAUUUGACCCUUAUAUAUUAAAAGAAGUAAUAGGGUUUUUCACUUUUAUACUUGAUUAUUUUUAUAUGAAAAGAAAAGAUAAUAAGAAGAGGAGAAAAUUACCUGGGCGUCGGACGAGAGAGGCAGAGGGGCACGGGUCGAUGCCAUGAUAAGAAACCCAUGCUUCAGGUAAAAUCUUAAGUUUAUUUUGUUUCUGUAUUGUUGUUAUAGGAAAAGAAUAGUAUAUUAAUGGUUGGUGAUAAGUUAUAUUAUUAUAUUAAUAUGUUAAAUUAGAAAUUGGAUGGAUUAUAGCGGUUUUGGUUGGAAUGUAAACUGUUAAUAUAAGAGGUGUAUAUGAAAAGUAUUAAACUGUCAAUCGGUGGGGAGUUUUAUUAUUUAACUAGUAGGUAAUUAAUGUUUGGAUUUCACAAAUAUUUUGUCUUACAUUGGCCAUAUGUGUGGCAUCAAUUUUCGAUUGGGAUAAAACAGUGGGCAAAAAUCAUGAAACAAUUAUAAAUUGGUAAUUAUGGACAAAUAAGGUUCUGGAUAUUUCUUUGUAUGCAGGUUAAGUAUGGGUCACGUGUGAUUUAGGCAGAUUUUGGUUUAUUUUCUUUAGUUGUCAUAUUAUGAUUCAAGUUUGAUAUAUUGAGAUAUUUAAUUAAAUAUCGAGUGUAUUAUAUUAUAUGAAAGCUAUUAGGGUUAUAGUGUUUGGAGAAAUUAUGACUUAACCCUAGGCUUGAAUUUGAGAAAUAUGAGAGUUGAUAUGUUAAUUGACAUCGAGCUUAAGAACUUGAUUAUAAACUUGGGUGGAUUUUUGGGUCAAAGCUAAACACAUAGUAAUAUAAGUGUCGUUAGUUUUGGAAUCUUACUGUGGUCAUUUAUUUGAAUAGAUUGCUUUGAGUUGGAAGUUCAACGAAAAGGGAAGGCUCAAGUUCCGGAGUGAAUUCUUGAUUGAUUGAGGCAAGUGGAUUUCUAAACCCUUGUUAAGUGUAUGAAUUCAUGUAUUUCCUUGUAAUAUGUGUUUAGGGUAAUGAGGCUUGGUGAUGGGUUGACUUGUCCACAUUGAUUAAUUCUAAUGAUGAAAAAGGGAUAAUAAAAGGCAAUGUGAUCAAUUGUUUGUGUGAUGUGUUGAGAAUUGUUUGAAAGGCUUGGUGAAUCAUUGUUAAUGUUGUAUCAUGAUUGUGUUGUUGUGAAUUGUGCAAUGUUAUGAAAAUGGUCAUCUCCUCAUUAUUUGUGUGAACAUGUCAUUUGCAUUGUUCUGAGAAUGAUUGUGACAAGUGUUAUGUGCAUUGAGAAAGAAUAAGAAAAUAAAGANNNNNNNNNNNNNNNNNNNNNNNNNNNNNNNNNNNNNNNNNNNNNNNNNNNNNNNNNNNNNNNNNNNNNNNNNNNNNNNNNNNNNNNNNNNNNNNNNNNNNNNNNNNNNNNNNNNNNNNNNNNNNNNNNNNNNNNNNNNNNNNNNNNNNNNNNNNNNNNNNNNNNNNNNNNNNNNNNNNNNNNNNNNNNNNNNNNNNNNNNNNNNNNNNNNNNNNNNNNNNNNNNNNNNNNNNNNNNNNNNNNNNNNNNNNNNNNNNNNNNNNNNNNNNNNNNNNNNNNNNNNNNNNNNNNNNNNNNNNNNNNNNNNNNNNNNNNNNNNNNNNNNNNNNNNNNNNNNNNNNNNNNNNNNNNNNNNNNNNNNNNNNNNNNNNNNNNNNNNNNNNNNNNNNNNNNNNNNNNNNNNNNNNNNNNNNNNNNNNNNNNNNNNNNNNNNNNNNNNNNNNNNNNNNNNNNNNNNNNNNNNNNNNNNNNNNNNNNNNNNNNNNNNNNNNNNNNNNNNNNNNNNNNNNNNNNNNNNNNNNNNNNNNNNNNNNNNNNNNNNNNNNNNNNNNNNNNNNNNNNNNNNNNNNNNNNNNNNNNNNNNNNNNNNNNNNNNNNNNNNNNNNNNNNNNNNNNNNNNNNNNNNNNNNNNNNNNNNNNNNNNNNNNNNNNNNNNNNNNNNNNNNNNNNNNNNNNNNNNNNNNNNNNNNNNNNNNNNNNNNNNNNNNNNNNNNNNNNNNNNNNNNNNNNNNNNNNNNNNNNNNNNNNNNNNNNNNNNNNNNNNNNNNNNNNNNNNNNNNNNNNNNNNNNNNNNNNNNNNNNNNNNNNNNNNNNNNNNNNNNNNNNNNNNNNNNNNNNNNNNNNNNNNNNNNNNNNNNNNNNNNNNNNNNNNNNNNNNNNNNNNNNNNNNNNNNNNNNNNNNNNNNNNNNNNNNNNNNNNNNNNNNNNNNNNNNNNNNNNNNNNNNNNNNNNNNNNNNNNNNNNNNNNNNNNNNNNNNNNNNNNNNNNNNNNNNNNNNNNNNNNNNNNNNNNNNNNNNNNNNNNNNNNNNNNNNNNNNNNNNNNNNNNNNNNNNNNNNNNNNNNNNNNNNNNNNNNNNNNNNNNNNNNNNNNNNNNNNNNNNNNNNNNNNNNNNNNNNNNNNNNNNNNNNNNNNNNNNNNNNNNNNNNNNNNNNNNNNNNNNNNNNNNNNNNNNNNNNNNNNNNNNNNNNNNNNNNNNNNNNNNNNNNNNNNNNNNNNNNNNNNNNNNNNNNNNNNNNNNNNNNNNNNNNNNNNNNNNNNNNNNNNNNNNNNNNNNNNNNNNNNNNNNNNNNNNNNNNNNNNNNNNNNNNNNNNNNNNNNNNNNNNNNNNNNNNNNNNNNNNNNNNNNNNNNNNNNNNNNNNNNNNNNNNNNNNNNNNNNNNNNNNNNNNNNNNNNNNNNNNNNNNNNNNNNNNNNNNNNNNNNNNNNNNNNNNNNNNNNNNNNNNNNNNNNNNNNNNNNNNNNNNNNNNNNNNNNNNNNNNNNNNNNNNNNNNNNNNNNNNNNNNNNNNNNNNNNNNNNNNNNNNNNNNNNNNNNNNNNNNNNNNNNNNNNNNNNNNNNNNNNNNNNNNNNNNNNNNNNNNNNNNNNNNNNNNNNNNNNNNNNNNNNNNNNNNNNNNNNNNNNNNNNNNNNNNNNNNNNNNNNNNNNNNNNNNNNNNNNNNNNNNNNNNNNNNNNNNNNNNNNNNNNNNNNNNNNNNNNNNNNNNGUGGGGUGGGGGUGGGGAUGGGAUGGGGGGGUUGCUAAGUUAUUGAUGAAUUACUUAAGUAUAGAGAUAAAGCUUUUUCCUCUAUGACCAGCAUUUUUAAAAGGCAGAAUGGUCUGAUAGACCCUUAUACUUGUAUCGGAUUGUAAAGUGGAUCCUUCUACUUAUGACUUUGUCAAGUGAACCCUUAAACUCAAUGAAACACAACAUUUUAAACACCUCUGACCAUUGACCAAACUUAUGUGGCAGAAAAAUUGCUGAGUUGGAAAAAUGUGUGAGGCACACGCGAGUUAAGAGCGUGAAAUUAAAGCUUUUCAUUAAAAAUACACUUUUUUUCAGAAAAAAUAUAUUUAAAAAUGGGAAAAACAAAAAUAUCCCCUUCUUCUCUCUUUCUGUAGAGAAAAAAAUUAGGUCACAACCGCCCAUAUUUUCCACCAUUAAUUAUUUUUGUAAUCUCACUCCAUUUCUAAAAGAAAUUACUCAUUCUUCAAACAUCCUACAACAAACAUACAAAUUGGAAAGAAGAAGAAGAAGAACUUUUUUGUUUGAAUAAUUCUUUGGGCUGAUUUAAUUGUCUUCAAAUUUAAAAUGGAUUACAUAAUUUGAGCUUUUAAUUUGAAGGUUUAAAUUGAAAACUUCUCUGCAAAUUGAAAGCUCAAAUAACAAGAUUAUACAGGUUAAAUUGAGGAAUCUGAUAACUCAACUUCAGAUCAAGACGACUGAGUCAAAUAACUCAUUGUUGGACUCAUCGCCUGGGUUGUUACACGAAGACGACACAAAUGUAUUGAUUGAAGUGGCUCAAGGAAUCAUUUCGAUGCUGGUCCAUUUACUCGAUUUCAGCUCUUUGCUGAGAUUAGGAAGAAAAUUGUCACUGUCACUGCUAAAAUCUCCACAGUUGCUUCAAGCCAACAUUUUUGGUCGCUGGAGAUUUAUGUAUUCUCAACAAUUUUCUAAGGAUUCUUGAAUCUCGGAGUGUUCUGGGAAAAAAAAAUUAUGUAUAGCUUUGCAAGCAAUGGGUCAAGAAGAGAAAUUUCAUCUUUUAUAUAAACUUGCCAAACGAGAACACCCAAUUCUCAAGCAAUAUCUAUGGCAGCAGGUGUAUGUUUUGUGCUUAAGGAAAAUGGAAAAGAAUGGGAGUGGGAGGUGGGUUUGGAUUUUGGGGGCGGCUAGGGUUACCAUAUGAGAAUGAAAGAGAUGGGAAAUGAGGUGGAACUAGAGAGGACAAUUAGUUUUUUUUUAAAAAAUAUUAUUAUUUUUUAAUAUUUAAUUUCGGGAAAAUGCAUAAGUACCCCCCCAACCUAUGCCCAAAAUCCCUGAGACACACCUAACCUUUACUAAGGUCCUAUUACCCCCCCGAACUUAUUUUUUAAUUAAUUUUUUACCACUUUUCGGCUUACGUGGCAAUAUAAACCAAAUAGGUUGAAAGCUUGUUCAACACGCGCCGGGCCCCACUUUUUCAAUUUUCUAAAAAGCUAUUUUAUUUCAAAUUUGGGCUUGUAAAAUUUUGUAAAUAUUAUAUAUAUAAUUUUAUUUUAUUUAUAGAUAAAAAAAUAUUACUUAUAAUCUACUUUGUGAAUAUAUUUUUAGUUAGUUUAUAGCUUUCAAUGUUUAUAUAUUUUAUUUCAAAUUUGGGCUUGUAAAAUUUUGUAAAUAUUAUAUAUAUAAUUUUAUUUUAUUUAUAGAUAGUUACACUUUUCCAACUUUAUCAUAAUUGUAGGAUACUUAUAAGACUAGAAGGUACUCUCUAAUAGUGCAUAUAAUUAUUUUGUUUGUUCAAACAUGUUUUUAUUUGUAUGCAACCUCAAUUUUUAUAUCAAUUAUGUAGAAACUUUAAUAGUGAAUAAUUUCGAUCAUUAUUAUUAAUAGAACAUAAGAAGAAUUAUUACUCAAAAUCUUUACGUUAAUAAAAAUAUAAAUUGUUGUAACUAUUAUUUAUAGAUGAUUAAAAAAAUAAAAUUGGGAAGAAAAUAGUAAGUAAAAAUUACACGUUAUAUUAAAUUAUCUUUACAUUAAUAAAAAAAGAAAUUGUUGUUAGUAUUAUUUGUAAUAUAAUUAAACAAAAAUAACAAUGGGAAGAAAAUAAUAAGUAAAGAUUACACGUUGUAUUAAAAUAAUAAGUAUUAAAAAUUAUGAUAAAUUUUAUAAUAGUCAUAACAGGAAUUUACGCAAUAAUUACUAUAUUAGAAUACUAGAAAAAUUGAUAAGUUCCUCGACAUCUAAUCAUUGAUUAAAAUUUAAAUUAUUAUUUUCUUCUGCGAAAGUUUAAGAGAUCAAAUUAAUGUUUAAAAAAAUAAUAUAACAAACUGAUUAAUUAAUUAUUUUCAAUGAUUAAUAAGAAAAUGUAUAUAGCAAGUACAUGUAUUAUUAUUACAUUAUUUAUAUCCACUCUAUAUUAAAUCAUUUUUCUAUUAUAGUUUGACGCAAAAUUUCAGAAUGUAAAGAAUGUUUUGGAUUCGAAAAAUAAAUAUUCAAAAUAUACUAACAUGUCAUUUAAUCUUAUGAUAUUUUACAUUUCAUGUGAAAAAAAAUUAAAUAUUAAUUUUUCAAUAUGAAAAUAUUAAUUUAUUAAUACAACAUAAAAGUAAUAAAGGACAAUAUAUAAAAAUAUUUGAAGUAUUUGAUAUUUUAUUAAAUUAAAAUAAUUCUAAAUUAAUAUAUAGCCGCGCAACGCGCGGGUACGUAUACUAGUGAAGAACAAUAAUAAAGAAGAAGACAAUUGAGUUAAUAUUUAUUUUUUCCAAGUUUAAUUAAUACAUGACCAAUUUUUAUUGGUCAGUGCUGUCUAAAAGCUGCACCCACGCGCUUAACAUAGGUGAAAAUCACGGACUCAGCCACGUAGGCCGAAAAGUGGUAAACAAUUAACUAAAAAAUAAGUUCAGGGGGGGUAAUAGGACCUUAGUAAAGGUUUAGGUGUGUCUCAGGGGAUUUUGGGGCAUAGGCUGGGGGGGUACUUAUGCAUUUUCCCUUUAAUUUCUGACUUGUCAUUAAAAAAUGACGUGGAUUUUACGUGUAUUUGGUUGUAUUACACGCACCCUCUUCAAAUGAAAAAAAGGUUUAAAAUAUUGUGUUUCAUUAAGUUUAAGUGUUCACUUGACAAAGUUAUAAGUAAAAGGGUUCACUUUACAAUCUGAUACAAGUAUAAGGGUCCAUCAGAUCAUUUUGCCUUUUUAAAAAAAUCUUUUUUCUCCUUUUUUUGAUAUUUUAUCUUUGUUUUGUAUUUUUUAUAUGUAUUUUUUUUUUAAAAUGAAAAUAUUUAUGUCAUACCCAAUUAAUUAUGCCCUAUAUAACAUCCAUUACACUGAUAUAGAUUUAAGUAAAUGGAAGAUGAAAAGAUAAAACACUAUUCAUUUUGCAUAAUUGUUUAUAUUUAUUUAGCCGAUAAAAUAAAAAUAUUUGAGCAUUUGUAACAAACAACAACAAAUUUCUUCACUUUGGCUCUUCUUCUAAUGAUGAUGAUGAAUAUUCGCUAAGAUGUCCAUCAAAUUUCUAGGUCAUGUGACUUUUUUAAACAAAAGAGAAAGACAGAAUAUCUCAUGAUUCUUGUGAAGAUAUUGAUGUAAAGAAAGAGAUCAUGUAACAAAAGUUUCUCUUCAAAAUGAAAGACUUUUUGAAAGAAUGUUUAUUCUUCCUGCAAGGAGAGAAAAUUCAUUUUGAUUGAGAAAUUUAUAGGAAAGAUGAUUAGUGUUUCAAAGGGUAAGAAGAAUUAUUUGGAGAAAAAAUCAUUUUAUUUAUGGAAUUCGUAUCAAAUUAGGAGGAGAAUAAGCAAAAAAUUAUUUUGUGAUUUGAAAAAAGAGAAAACUAGAUAUUAUUUCUUUCAACCUCAUUAUUCUUCUAAUUUCUUUCUUCUUUUAUUUUGUCUUGAUUUUUUUUUAUCUUUAAUUAAAGUUUUUUUUCUUAUUUAUCUUUAAAUAAACUUUUUAUAUAUUUUCAAAAAAAAAAAAAUUAAAAAGAUGAUCAUAUUUAGUUCCUUUCCUCAUCAAUGCUAUUAAUCUCAUAAUUAGUGUUAUUUUUAUAAAAUCAAGCUUAUAAUAAUAUAAUCAUAAAGAGAAGAAGACAAGAGAAGUAGAUGAAGGAGAAGACUUUUCUUCUUAUUCAAAUUGUGUUCCGAAUGGUGAGUGAUAUCUUUAUUUAUAGUGUUGAGAUAUCACUCCCAAAGGUCACCAAAGUAGUAGAUACAUAGUUAUCCUUUAAGGUUCUUAUCACCUUGGAAGCACCCAUACAUGAAUCAAAUUAAUUCUUAGAUAAAUCUAAUUGAUAAUCCACACAAUGCAAUGGAUUUAUAACACUCCCCCUUGGAUGUCCAUAGAUUAUGUGACUCGUUAAAACCUUAUUAGGAAAAACCCUGUGGGAAAAAAUUCUAGUGAAGGAAAAAGAGUACACAUAUAUAUCAUUUGAUACGCAUUAUUUGUUGCCUCAUUAAAAACCUUGCCAGGAAAAUCCAGUGGGACAAAACAUCACUUAAUUUCUUAUGAUGAUGUCAUCCAAUCUUAUAUACCAACUUCUCAAAUAUUGACAGUUUCUUUGUGAUCAAAUCAUAUUCAUGAAGAUGUUGCAUGAUUGAACUCAUUUCUGAUAUGUCAUUUUCUGGUUUCACGGAUAUGAUGAGGCUUUGAGCUUAGCCGAAUACAUUCUUGAAAUCACUCUAUUCGUGACCUCGUUAAUGCAAGUAAAUUAGCUCGUUCAACUGUUCAUAGCAACAAUCAUCUUGUGGACACUUUCAUUUGUUGUUGUCAUCUUCAUACAUUGUGGUUGUAUAUUUUUUUCAAAGAAAAACCACACAUUUCCUGAAUAUGGUGUGUUAUUGAUCUCAACAAGACGCACUCUCUACUUUCUUCAUGGAGGGCUUUUAUUUUUGCAUCGUUUGAAGAAGUGAUUACCAACUGUCACGACCCGGGAGCACCCCCUAGUCGUAANNNNNNNNNNNNNNNNNNNNNNNNNNNNNNNNNNNNNNNNNNNNNNNNNNNNNNNNNNNNNNNNNNNNNNNNNNNNNNNNNNNNNNNNNNNNNNNNNNNNGUUUCACUAGUUCGUUUUUAGGGUCGUUACACCAACAUUUGCUUCAUUGAUCGCCAUGAUAUUAUUGUGCCUCCACAUGUAAACAAAUAACGUGUUUGAGACCGAGCUUUAUCCGGAUCAUAUAAAUAUUCUGCAUCUGCGUAACCAAUCAAUUCUGUCUUGGAUUCCUCAGAAUAGAAUAAACCCAUGUCUAUGGUCCUUCGAGGAUAUUCAAGUAUGUGCUUAACACCAUUUCAAUGUCCUUUUGCUGGGGAGGAACUGAAUCUUGCUAGUAAAUUUACUCCAAAACAGAUAUCUGAUCGAGUAUUUUUAGCAAGAUGUGCCCUGAUUGCACUAAGAUAUGGAGUUUCAUCACCAAGAAACUAUGCAUAAUUCUUUUGAGAUCAAAGUGAAUCUUUAUUUAUGUCAAUCGAUCUCAUAAUCAUUGGGGUACUCAAUGAAUGUGAUUUAUCCAUAUAAAGUCGCAUCAAAAAAAUUAUGUAUAUGUUGAUUGAUAGACAAAUAUUUCAUUCGUCAAAUUCUCAAUCUGUAGGUCAAGACUAAAUUUUGUCUUUCCAGGAUCUUUUCAUUUUAGAUUCCCUUCUCAAACACUCAAUAGCUUUUAAAAGAUCUUUAAGAGUGUAAAUAAUAUUCAAGUCAUCAACAUACACAACUAUUUUAACAAAUUCAGAUCCUGAAUUUUUCAUAAAAAUGCAAGGACAAUUAGGGUCAUUGUUUUUGUAUCCUUUUCUUCCUUGAUUAUUUCAAUCCAUAUAACGAUUCUUGAAGCUUUAUUGAAAAAAUUUCCUUCAAACUUUUAUAUGCUUCAGACACCUUGAUUGCUUCAAGGAUUUUCAUAUAACCUUCAGUAAUGUCUAGCUAGACAUGAUAAUUAUUCAUUAUAUGCAAAAAGAUCAAAACAAAUCUCAUUGCAUCCACCAUAGGAGAAAACAUCUCCAAUAAUGUCAGGAUAUUUGUGAGAAACCUUUAUGCUCCAAGGCACAAGCCGUACUUGAUAUCUUACGGUUAUACCAUCACAUAAUAGUUUAUUUGUACCCCAUUGACAUUAUACCUUGAUUUAUGGACUAUCAAUCCAAAACAUCACUUUUCUAAGUGAAACAAAAUAUACUUGAAUUAUGCAUUUUAUUUGGCCAAUCAUUUAUCUGUCCACAUUAUGUGACAUAUUUGAAUUCAAGAUCCUCGUCACGAUCUAUAUCAUGAAGCGUUACUUCAUAUCAAAGAUAUUGUCGACGGUUAUUUGAUAUCGAUUUCAAUAUGACAUAACUUAUCGAGAUCUCUUUAUUUGUCAUCAUUUUCAGGUACCUGAAUCUUUUUCAAGGUUUUACGAAGUGUUAUGUCGUGGUGCUCUUUUAUAGCACUUGCCUCAUCAUCAUGACCAUAUUGAUCAUGUGCUCCUAUCAUUCUUUAAGAAGUUUUACAUUUGGAACUGAUUGGUCUAUUACGCUUCAAGCGUAUCAUAGACUUUGUCCCUUCAAGGACUUCUCAUUGGAGCAUUUGCAGCUGAAUUAUAUCAUAGGGUCAGUAAACUCAUCUGGCAAUUGAUUUGCAACAUUAUGCAAAUGAAUUAUCACUUGAAUUUCAAUUUCACAUUUUCUUUUAACGAGGAUCUAGAUAAUUCAUAAUUAACCUCACACAUAAUUUUCAAUUGUCAAUCAUCUCUCCCCCUAAUGUUAAAAAUCUAACAUUCAUCCCAACCUUAUUUGGGAAUUUAUCUUUGUGCAUGGUGGAGCAAUUAAAUCAUAACCGCACAUUCAACAUUUUAGAUGAAAAUUAUUUGAUUCCUGACCCUGAACCAAUUUUGAUAGGGGACCUUUGUUGUCUUGAUGCGUACAAGUGUUGCUACAUGUUAAAUAAAUUCAUCUCAUACCAAAUCCUAUGUGGGAGUUUUGUUCACAUACCCAUGGUUUAGCUAUAACUAGAGGCAUACAAUUUUUGCUAAACUGUCCAGCAUUAUCAACAUAAUUUCAUAGUUUGAAACUGGCUCUUAAUUUAGAAAUUCGAGCAAACAACCUUACAAAAACCAAUUUGUAAGUUGAAAACAAAGCACAUGUGACCAUCUCAUAGAUGUAACUUAUUAUACAGUUAAAGACGGUCCAGAUGGCAGGUGAGCGGGCCCAUAUUCACCGUUUUAUAUGUUCCAAAAAUCAGAGGGAGUAUAAUCUCAACCUUAGCUGGUACAAUGAUACAAUGAUCAAAUCAUUAGAGAACAAGCAACACAAGAGAAUUCUUGAAGAAUAUUUCAUUUCUUCAGUAUAUAAUUAUGUGAAUUCUCAAUUAUUUUUGCAUCAUAUUUUAAUUGGAAUGAUCAACCGAUCAUGCCAACCGAUCUUUAUUCCAGUACACUUAUAGUUUACUUUCGCAUGUGAUUUGAUCAGCAUGUCCAUGUUUGUGUGCAACAAACAAGAGGAAAAAAUUGGUAAUCUUUUAUAACCCGUUUCAGUUGUAGUAAUUUGAAGAUAUUAAAUCUUUUCGUAAUUUAUAGUCUCAAUAUUUCUUUUCAAUUCAUCUGAAACUUAAAAAGUUUCUUUUGAGACUUACUACAACCCCAAUAUUAUUUCUCUGGCAAUAACACAACUCGUUAGAGCUUGUAAUUAAUUUUUGUGUACUAUCACAUAUUUCAUGACAUCAUCUAUAUGGUGAGCAUCUCCUUCAAGGAGAAAAUUAUAUUUUUAUUGUCAUGGUCAAAAUUAUUACGAGCAAGACAUGUUUCUUGCUUUACUUUUGUUGUACCAUAGGUACACCAACCAAUGACUAAUUUGUAUUGCCACACAAUAAUAUAUUUUGAUCAUGGCCACAACCUUUAUAGACAAGAAUUACUUCUUUCUUUUGCCCUUUCGGUAGUUCACAAUAAACAUACCAUAAUAUUUAUGACGUAUAAGCGUACAAUACCAUUGACCAUUUCUGUCAAAUAAAAUAUUUUUAUUCCUCUCAAACCUCCCGUAGAGGUGAGUUGUGGCAUAUUUCCAACCAUACAUGAAUAUUUUCUUAUUCAUAUUUUUUUUCUUCAUAUUUUGACACAUUCACUUUCAGAAUGGUCGAACAUUCAUCAUGUUUAUCACAAGUCGCAUUCUCUUUAAGGAAUGAACUAAUCAUGUGCUUUUAAAUUUGAUUAUAAGCUCAUUGUCAUGUCCUUAAAUUAUCAUUUUUGCAUGACAUACCUUAACGUCACUUUUGAAAAGUCAAGUGUACCACCACUUUAUCUCCUUCUUUUGAUGGUAGCUUUAUAAACUUAACAAAUUAUUAGGUCAACAACAACCACAAGUUCAAUGACCUUUCAUACCAUUUUGAUGAUAAAAAUUACCUUCACAUUUUGAAGGACCAUUUGGAGAACCCAUACUGUUCUUCCUUUUAUAAUUACCACAGUGAUGACUAUUAUAAUUCCGUCCUUCACGCCCUUAUUCAUAUCGUUAAUUAUAUGUCAUCUUUCAGACUAAUUAUUCACUGCUACACCAUUCAUAUGAUAGAAUGGAGCAAGUCAACAUGCGGAUUUCAAAGUUAUCAUAAGUUGCUACCACAUUCUUUUCAAGGAAUGGAGCAAAUUUAAUGGGACGAAUUUCAAAACUUUUCAUUAAAAAUAUACUAUUUUUGCCUUAGUCAUCAAUUUAUCAUCAUUAUGGUGCAUUAGAACUUAAAUCCAACGUCUUAUUCAUAUAACGUCAUCUUAGGUCAUAAAUCUAUGAGAUUGGACCCAAUACCUUAUCAUCAUGGUGCAUCAAAACUCAAAUUGAUGUCAUACCCUCUUAGUGCGAUAGAACUUGAAUCUAUCGUCUUAUCCUCGAAUAUUUUUCAUUAUGUGCAUCCGGACUUUAACCUAAUAUCUUGCCCUUUUGGUGCGAUAGAACCUGAAUCAACCGUGUUACCCUCAGUCACUAACAUAAUAAGUCAAAUGCAAUAAGACUCACCGUUGAGCCUUUUAAAAAAAAUAUUAUCACUUUGUGAUUAAUAUAGAACAAAAGAAACAAUAAAAACAUUAUCAACUAACUAUGUACUAAUAUCUUAAUUUUUUCAAAAUAGAAGAGUUACAUACGCAAUUAAAUGCAUGUCAUUUCCAAAGUUACUACUCGAAUUACAAUACAGACGAAAUUUUACACCUUUUGUUUGUGGAAUAAAAACUACUGUAUGUGCUAUCUAAUAAUAUUAUAUUGCACACAAUAUAAAGAUGGGUGAAAGAAAAUAAUUAACCUUAUUUUGUUGUGCAUAUUGACUGUAAUGAUCAUUAAAUACGUACUAGUAAAAUAUUUGCAUCAAAGUAUAAACGGACAGCCAACUCUAAAACUUUCUGUUUAGAGUAUAUGCAUAUAUUAUACCUGCUAUAAGAGAGAUGAUCCAAAUAAAGUUAUGAAUACAUACCAGAUUAAGAAGUGAUACUCAACUUGGAAAAAUCAAAAUGAUAUUAGAGUCUCGUGCUGAUAACGUGUUAUAAAAUCAAGCUCAUAAUAAUAUAAUCAUAAAGAAAAUAAGACAAGAGAAGUUGAUGAAGGAGAAGACUUCUUCUUAUUCAAAUUGUGUUCCAAAUGGUGAGUGAUAUCUCUAUUUAUAGUGUUGAGAUGUCACUCCCAAAGGUCACAAAAGUAGUAGAUACAUAGUUAUCCCUUAAGGUUCUUAUCACCUUGGAAGCACCCAUACAUGAAUCCAAUUAAUUCUUGGAUAAAUCUAAUGGAUAAUCCACACACAAUGCAAUGCAUUUAUAACAGUUAUAUAUAUAUAUAUAUAUAUAUUAUUUUCUUAAUUACUUUUUUCUUUCCUUUUAAUUAUUUAUUUCUAAGAAAUUAGUUAUUAUAACUUUAUAAGAAUUACAUAUGUAUUUUACUAUAAUUGAUUUGUCAUUUUUAAUUUUUUUGGAUCAUUUUUCUUCUUAAAGUUUCUAUCCAUAUGUAAUAAUAAAGCUAAAAUAGUAAACGUGGGGUGACAUCCUUCGUAGCAAUUGAUAUCUAUUUAUUCUUAUCAAUGUUUUCUAACAUUUUUUGUUAUUUUUUCCUUAAAAUAAUUGUUGAAUCGAUUUUUAGUUUUAGUUUUAUUUUUUAAGCAUUUUUAAAUUUUAAAAGACUGAAAAUUUUAUAUUUGAAAAUUUAUAAAAUAUAAAAAAUGACUUAUUGAACUCCUAUCAUCAUCAAUAUUAUUAUUAAUUUAUUUUAUUACUUCUUCCCUUAGUCCUCAUUUCAUCAUUAAUUUAAUUUAUAUCAUUUUGUUAUAUAAGAUAAUCUUCAUUUUUACGUGACAUUUCUUAGAAGCUAGGAUUGCUAUUUAUCUAAUUUCUCAAUUUUUUGUAUUCUUUUAUCAUACUAAAUACAACAUGUUUUAUUAUAAUUACAUUCAAUAUACUAAUUAAUAUGUUGUAUGAAUUAAAAGAAAAUAAUCAUUUCAAAAAAAUAAAGGUUAAAUUAUAAUUUUAUUAUGAUUAAGNNNNNNNNNNNNNNNNNNNNNNNNNNNNNNNNNNNNNNNNNNNNNNNNNNNNNNNNNNNNNNNNNNNNNNNNNNNNNNNNNNNNNNNNNNNNNNNNNNNNNNNNNNNNNNNNNNNNNNNNNNNNNNNNNNNNNNNNNNNNNNNNNNNNNNNNNNNNNNNNNNNNNNNAUAUCCCAUAACCACAUUCAAUACAUUAGAAAUUAAUUGAAUAUAGCUGUAAAUGGAAAAUGAAUCACCAUUUAAGGAAAAUAAAUGUUUGCAAUACCAUAAUAAUUAAGGAGAGAGUAAGAUAUUAUUUUAAUAUCCUAAUUUAGAACUUUUGAUCUACUACUCAAUUAAAAAGAAAAUGCAUUUAAUAAUAUUAAAAGGUUAUUAGUUUAAUAUUUUUUUCUCAUUCUAAUAAUUCACGAUUUUAUUUUUAUUUUUAGCAUUUAUUUUUAGUUUUAAUAGAUUGGAAAUUUUAUGUUAAUAUUUAUAAAAUAUAAAAAAUGUUCUAUUUAAAUUUUAUCAUCAUCAAUACUACUAAUUUAUUUCACUUCUUUCCUUAAUCUUCAUCUCAAUAUUAAUGUUAGUUAAAUAAUUUUUUUAAAUCACUUAUUUUUUCUUUUUUAACUCUUUUAUUUUCUUUUUUACUCUUUUAUAUAUAUAAAGUUGGAUAUGUAAAUGAUGAUGUGACAUUUUUAGUUAGAACUUAAGAUUACUAUUUGUCUAAUUUCUCAAAUUUUUGAGUUUUUUUGUCAUACUAAAUACGAUAUGUUAAGCAAUAUGUUCUUAGAAUUAAAAGAAAAUUAUCAAUUCAGAAAAAUAAAGGUAAAAUUAUAAUUUAUUAUGAUUAAGGAAAGAUAAAGAUAUUAUUUCAAUAUCCCAUAACAACAUUCAAUACAUUAGAAAUUAAUUGAAUAUAGUUGUAAAUGGAAAAUGAAUCACCAUUUAAGGAAAAUAAAUGUUUACAAUACCAUAAUAAUUAAAGAGAGAGUAAGAUAUUAUUUUAAUAUCCUAAUUCGGAACUUUUGAUCUACUACUCAAUUAAAAAGAAAAUACAUUUAAUAAUAUUAAAAGGUUAUUAGUUUAAUAUAUUUUCCCAUUCUACUAAUUCAAUUCGAUCAAACGUAAUUUAAUGAUAAAAUAACAACUCUAUUUUAAUUGUUAUCAAUAUAUUUCAAAAAAUAUUAUAGUGAAAAAGCUUUUCUUGCAUUUGAUUUUCAUACUAUUAUUAUUUUUUCUGUCAUUUUCAAUGAUUUUUUAUUUCGAUUUAAAUUUAAUGUUUAUUCUUAAACUCCGAUGAUACAAAUUAAGGUGGAGUAGAAUAUAAUAAAUGAUGAUUCUUCUACUAAAUAUAAGAAGAUAUAACGAAAUUGAAAGGGUGAAGUUUUUUUUUAAAAAUGGAUAGGAAGUUCUAUUAAGGUAUUAUAUUAUUAAAUAUAUUUUUUAAUAUAAAUUUCACUUGCUGAUGUAUUUAUUUAGUAUUACGGUGUUGUUUCACAUUAUGAGAUCUUUCUUAGACAUUUUAAGGAGAAUGGAACACCGAAAUAUAUAUUGUAUAUUAAAGGAUCAACUUCAUGCAAUGGAAGAAUUUGUUAUUAGUAAAUAUAUUUUAACUUAUUUGAUAAAAAAUAUAUUCUUCAUUUAAUAGAUGUAAAAUUUAUCAAGCUUUAUUUUUUUUACAAUCUUCAUAUUAUUAAAACAAACAAUAAUAUUACGAUUAAAGAACAAAGUAAAUAUAAAAUUAAUCAAAAAUAUUUAAAAUAUGUUACGGUAAAGGGCCUAAAAUAUCCUUGAACUAUUGAAAAUGGUACAAAAUUACCCUUCAUUCACCUAUUAACUCCAAAAUACCCUUCACAUCCAUCUUUGGAUCCAAUAUUGCCCCUUUUUUUUAACAGCCAUUCAUUAAAGAAAUUUAAUUAAAUCUUUAAAUACGUGGCAAUCCUCUAUUGGUCAUAUUUUAAAUAAAUAAAAUCAAUUAACAAAUCUAUCCAUUUCUAAUUAGAGUCCGUUUGGAUUAACUUAACAAAAAUAGUUUUUAAGUCAAACUGAAAUGACUUUUAAAUCAAAAAAUAAAAAGUAGGGGAUACCUACUUCUGAUUUUUGACUUAUUUUAAGUUAUUUUAAACUUAUUUUAAGUCAUUUUUUACAUUGUCAAACACUUCACAACUUAUUUUAAGUUAUUUUUGACUUAUUUUAAAUUAUUUUUCAUAUUUAUUAAAUACUUUCAGAAAUAAAAAACUGACUUAAAAGUAAGUUUGACCAAUUUUUAAGUAAAUCCAAACACCCUCUUAGACAUGCCCCAUGAGUAUUGGAAGCUUCCUCCACCGGGGAAUGAUCCGACUUGGAAACAGACCCAUUUUAGUUCAAAGAUGACUCAGAUGAUGAGUUUUUCAGCUCAGCGGAAGAACCAACAUCACCGUUAGAUGACCUGUUUUUGUUCAAUGAUGACUCACUUUUGUUUGUUCUUCUUUUUUUGCUCAAUAUUCCAUCUUCAUAAAUAUUAAAAAUUUCAUAAAUAAGUUGUCCAUUUAGCAGCUGAAACAGUAGCAGCUAAGAGAAUUUAAAUGGUCAGCAACGUCGCCGCUUGCGGCGGCGGGACCNNNNNNNNNNNNNNNNNUUGCGGCGGCGAUACCUAUUCGAACCACCACCAUCGGAAUUCUCAAAACCCGAGUCAGGUGUUGCUGACUUCUGGUGGGUACUCCUCCGGUUACUAGAAAAGUCGCCAAAAAGUUCACUAGUAAUGGAGUUGGGUUGGUGGUUUUAAACUUAUGGAUUGUUCUCCGAUUGCCGACAAACUCGCCGAAAAAGCAAGAAAUGAGAUAAGCGAAAGAUUUCUUAUCUUCUUGAAAUAAAGCUGCAACAAGAGUGAGAAUUGCAAUUGGUAAAAAUGAAAAAUGGUUAGAAAUUGAAGGAGGAGAUAGAUGAAUUGUGCGUUUUUUAUAAAGUUUCUUCAUAGUUUAUGAUAAUGGAGAUUUUUUUUGACAAUUUGGAUUGGUUGGAUUAAGUUAAUGUGGGGCGGGUGGAUAUGAUUUGAGGUGGGUCUAAUUAAAAAUAGAUGGAUUUGUUAAUUAAAUUUAUUUAUUUAAUAUGACCAAUAGAGGAUCGCCACGUCUUUAAAGAUUUAAUUAAAUUUAUCUAAAUAAAUGACUGUUAAAAGAAAGGUUAAUAUUGGAUCCAAAAGUGAAUGUGAAGGGUAUUUUGGAGCUAAUAGAUGAAUGAAAAGUAAUUUUAUAUCAUUUUCAAUAGUUUAUAGGCAUUUUAGUCCUUUCAUUUAUGAUAUUAACAUUUAAUUCCAUUGAUUGUGCAUACCUUUUCUUCACAUAAUUAUUACACUCAGUUUGGAUCAUUGUUACUCAUUGUAUUGUAUCGUUACCAUAUCUAUAAUGUUUGUUUUGAUUGUUACUUAAAAUGUAUUGUAUUGUAUUGUUAAAUUUCGUUGUUACGUAACAAUGAAAACCCCCAUUUUAUGGAACAAUCGAUUUGGUGUGUUCCCAUUAUUACUUAAUUUCUUUUUCCAAUUAUAUCAUGGCAUAAUAUUUUAUAAUAAUUUUUUACCAUUUACCCUAUAUUAUUUAAUUCUACUCAAACUUCCUACCCUAGAAUAAUUAAGGAUAUUUUAGUAAAUUUAUAAAUUACAAUAUAGUACGAUACAAUUAAACCAAACAAUAAAAAUGUUAUUAAACAACAACAAACAAUACAGUCUAGCCAAAUAUUAUAUAUAUAUAUAUAUCAUACAAUACAAUACAAUAGAGUAAAAUACAAUACAUUAUGAAACAAUGGGUAACGGUGAUCCAACUAGAGUGUUAUAGUGUAUGCACUUACCCCCAUUAUGCUUAUUAUUUGGGACUUUGUCUUUUUUUUUUUUUUUUUUGUUUUUUUUUUUUUUUUAUGUUUGUCUUUUUUUUUUUUUUUAUGCUUGUCAUUUAUUUAAAUCUUAUCCGUUGUAGUUUUUACUUUUUCUUCAUAUUACUAAAAAAAAUAAAAAUGCCCUUCUCCUCUUCAUGACUUAUAUUUUUUUUUUUUGAGAGAGAUUGCAAUGCACGUCCAUAAUAUUCCUAAUUUAAAACCUUUUGUCCGAAAGAAAAAAAAUAUUAUAAAAAAAUUAUACAGUAUAACAAUUAUUUUUUAUAAUAGUAGUUUCUAUUUUUUAAAACCAAUUUUUAAGGUUAUGUUCAUUCAAUUUUACUUGGCGCUUGUUAUUUUUGUUUUUAGUAUUUACUAUAUGUUUAUUAAUUAUCCUUUGAAAAUUCAAGUUUCAUUAUGAACGUUAAGCUAACAUCUUGUGCAAAUUUCUCCCACAUUAAGCAUAUUUAAGACAAAUGUGAAUAUGCAAAGACAAGUUGUGAAAAUUUCUAAACAAGGGUUUAAUUUAUCUAUUUUCGUAUUAGAGCAUCACUUUCAAUACACAUUUAAUUAAGUGUGAGUUUUUCUAAGAUUUAAUUCAUCAUAUCCUCCUAUUCAGAUUUAAAAAAACAAAAUAUCAAAUAAUUUUAUAUGUAUUUUAGACUUUUUAGUUUCACAUAUAUAAAAAUACCUUGCGUCUUUUAAUGAUUCUGAGUGGGGGAAAUCACCUAUCCCAUAAGUAAUUUAAGGAUGCCAUUUAUGUACUAUUUUACUAAUCAAAGAUCAUGUAAUUAAUGGAUAUCCUUUAUCGUGUUUGAUUGAGAUGUUUGUUAAGAUAUAAAUUUAACCUAGUUUUUUAUUUUUAUCCUUAUUAAUUGUUGUCAAAUAUAUGAUUAAAAUAACUAAAUAUUAAUUAAUCACUAAUUCCAAUACUAACUAAUGAAAGGUAAAAUUGAAAGAACACUCUAAAAAUAAUUUUAAAAAUUAAAUAAUUAAGUUAAUUUGAAAAAUAAAAAAUACCUUAAAUAUUAACUUAAUAUGGAAUGGAGUGAGUAUUUUAUAGAAAUAGUACUUAUUGCAGCAACAUUUGUACCAUUUCGCUGUUUUCUUCUUCUCGCUGCAUUCUGAUCUCCUCUCUCUAUUUUCUUCCAUUGAAACUUCACACACACAGUUACUUUCUCUCUCUCUCUGCAUGUGUGUGAUAAUCUUUGGUGCUUCCUGAAUUCGUCGGAUUCUGACGUCAUCACCGUUUUCCCGGUCACCGGAUUUGUCUUUUAGGUACCGUAUAUGAAACUCCGUUUCUAUGAUAUGUCGUUUAUUUUUCCUGGAAUUUCAUGUUUUGGAGGUUCAUUGAUAUGGAAAUUGGUGUAUAUGUUGUUCGGUGACGAAACGGUAGAGAUUGAUGUGUUUUUUUUGUUUGAUUUUUGCAGUGGUUUUGAAUUUUUCUGUUUGGAAAUUUUGCUGUUAUAUCUCAUCGGAAAUUGCUGGGAGUUUUUUGGAGGUUUACAAUUUUAAGGUGAGAUUUUUUAUUUUUUAAUGGUUCAGUUUAAUUUUUAGAUCCUUAUUCCUUUUGUUUGUAUGGUUGUACUUGUAUUUCGACUUGAUAUAAUGAAUGGAUUUUUGUCCUGUAUCUUACAGAAAAUAUCCAUUUUUUUCAAUUGGAAAAUUCUUUACUUUUAUGGAACCAGUUUCAUCAUUUCUUGAUUUUGUGAAUGAUAACUUAAAAUUCAAGGAGGAUUUGAAAUGGUUUAUGGAAAUGAAGAAAUCAGCAUAAAAUGGUUGUUUUGCACAAAGUCAGGAUAAGUUGUACUUUUGUUUCUUUAAAAUCAGAUUUACUGAAUUUGGAAAACAUUAUGAAUUGUACCAGUAAUUUCAUGCUAAUAUCAAAGGCAUAAUGUGGAAAUAAUGAAUUCGGAAACGGAUUCAUUUAAUAGCUGUGGAAGUAAAUGUUGGAAGAAAAAUCUAGAUGUGUAGCUGUUAUGUUCAUGUAUUUGAAUGUUUGUUGAGGUAGUGUCAUAAAUGAGAGUGAAAGAAAGAAAAACGGGAACGUGAAAGCACCUAGAUGCGGAGUUUGCGCAGGGAGGUGUAAUAUGGUGUGUUACUUGGAGAUCAUGGCAUGCAUGACCGUGUACGUGAAUUGCCAUUCAUUAAUGAGUAGAAGAUGACAAAUAUUUCUUGGUAGAGAAGUUCCGCUAGUUUUGAGGGAGGAACUUUAGCUCAAUAAUGCGUGUGGACUUCACAUUUUGCAUCGAGUAAAAAGUUAUAAAGAAAGUUGAUAAAUUGGAAAACUUUCCCAAGUUUUGAGAGUGACGUAAAUGGACCGUUUGUAGUCAUUGAAGUUUUCAACGUUUUUAAUUUCCUUGUGCACGUGUACCACGCAAACCUACACACUCUAUCAAUAUAAAAUUAAGUGUGACACCUUAAAAGUUGAAAUAAUUAAAUUUAAUCACCCAUAAGGUGACAAAUAUCAUAAAUAUGCCGUGAAGGACUGGGGGGAACCAGGCAUUUAGUUUCUUUUUAGGCUCUUAGCUAAGUGCCGGUAGGGAUAAUUAUCCCCACAAUGAUCACAUAAAGAUCUUGUUAUAUGGUAUUGGACAUGGAAGAAGUUUGGUCCAGGGCAUGUCACAGAGUGUCUGCUUAUUUCAUCUAGUGCUCACAAGAUGUAGUUAGUUCAUUAGCAGAGGCGAGACCCAAAUUGAACAAGCUAUUUGAAUCUGAGUACUCAGUAGGUCACUUGCGAGUUCAUUGCAUAGGGGAAAAGUUCUUCUGAUUUUCUUGCUUGACGUCAGACAUUGGACAUUUCUGGUGAUUAUGUUACGCAUGACACCAUCAAUGGUCAGAUAGUUGAUGCCCUUAUUUGAACUAUCAGUUGUUUCUGAACUUUCUUAUGUUUGUACUUUCUAAUUUUUUUUUUCUUACAAGGUUGUAAUUUCUGUUUGUUUUGUUGAGUUAGAUGUUACCGCUGACUGUGGAAGGUCAGACUUCACCACCAUAUUUAUUACACUGAUGACAAGGCUGGAUCUUAUUUUGAUCCAUUUCUCUAGAGAUAUAGUUGUCUUUUACAGGUUGUUUAGAUUCUAUGGAUAUCCGAUUUGAUGGUCAAGUGUUAAUCCUCUAGCAUCCUGUAGUAGUGUUAUCAAAGGUGAAAAACGUGUAAAGCGCUAAGGUCCAAGGUCCAUGGGGGCUUUAAACCAAAUGCACGAGCUUCAAUGCAGGUGCAAAUAAAGAAAAUAAAAAUAUUGUGUAGUUUAUGAAUAACACUUAUAAACACACAUAACAAAUACAUAAUGACAAUAUUUUUUAAAAGAAUUACUAUAAAGUAAAAUAUUCAUUGUUUAGUGUGCUCUUUACAAUAACUUCAUUGGCGAUGAGACAUAUUGCCUUAAGCUCCCACCCAGCGGGGCAAAGCAUUUUGCCUGCUUUGCACUAACUUUAGGGUUUGAACGAGCCUUUGACAACAAUUUGUUUUAGGGGAUUAAUUAGACAGAAUCCUAAGGGGUCGUUUGGGUUGGAGGUUCGUGUGUAAAAUGACGAUUGCAGAACAAAGAACUAGACAAUUAGUGUACUACUUAAUUAGAUUCUUCUCUUGCAUAUUAUUAAACAACAAAUAUUAAGAGUUCUGACGGCAUGUUAGAACUCAUUUUAUGGCUGAUUGGUAAAGCCGUUAAAUUUUAAUUUAGACCCACAAUUGCUGUACUCUAGAGAUAUAUAUAGCAGCAUUAACAAUGCAAAAAGGGGUUUUAAGCGCACAACGCACAUAAAGCAUGACCUUUAAUAAAAAAAGGUGCAAAGGGAGAAACAAUACAAAUAUAUAUGUUUAGUCAAAGGAUAAUAAUUAUAAGCAUGAAAUGAAUGACAAAUUUAUGGACAAAGAAAUUGAAUUUUUUCUACUAUGAAGUGAAAUAUCAAUUGUUUAGUGUUGUCUCUUUAGAAGAGGCUCAUUGUCAAGGAAAAGUAUGCCCUAUAACAUUGAUGACAACACUAAAGCGCACAUUAAGCAAAGAGCUCAACACGUUUUGAGUGUCGCUUCAGGCCUUGAGUGAGCCUUUGACAAAUAGUAGUAUAAAUGCCUUUAUUGUUUGAAGGAGCAUUGAAUAUCCAAUAAUUUCCUUUUAAAGGAAAAAGGAUAAAUGCAAUUCACCGUGAGCACAUUUACCUGUAAUUGCUACAUUCAGAAAGUAGAUGGUGAAUAACUGCCAUAGCUUUUUAAGCAUCUUUGGAAUGUGUAUUCCUCCACCAAUUUAGUUUUUCACAGAGAGAUAAAAGGAUUAAUGGUUGGCCUUUCUGUAAUAUCCUUUUAAUUGGAGAGCUUGGAAGUGGUGCAUGAUUUGGUGCGCUCGCCUUCAAAUAGGUUUUGGUUUGGAUGCGAGUUUGUUACAAACAUAUCAUUCCUAGGUUCGUUAUGAACCAUCCACCGAUCUUAUUCAACAUGUUGAAAUUAGAACUGAACUUUUUAUUGGUACUUGUUUUUUGUUCACUGCUUAUUACAGCUCAACAGUAACUGCUCUUGCUACUGAGUCAGCCAUAGUCUAUCAAAGCCAUAUUACAGUUGUUAUGAUAAAUGCCGUGUUCUUAGACCAUGACAUUCGGAAAUGUGCAUUUCUCUUCUUAUGUAUUGGAUCCCACCUUAUAAUGUAACCAACCCUUCACCCUGCUAAGUUGGUUAAUACUUGUAGCUUCCAUAAUAUAUCAGUUGUCAGCUUGUAAAUUUUCGUUUAAAACUACUACUUCUGUCGAAUUCCAUGGUGCUGCAUUUCAUGUCAUUCUUAUUAUGUGGUUGAGAUGAAUUAUUGAAUCAUUGCAAUGUUGUAACAGUUCUAUGAACUCUCUAAUAUUUUUCCUUUUUUUAGUUGGAGAUUAAAUAUUUCUUGACACUUAUAUUCCUGCCCUUUAAGUUUCUUUGCCAUUCCUUGUUUGAUGUUUGUUAAUACCGUCAACCCUUCCAGUCCAUAGUUCUAUUGUCUGGUGCUGUGAUGACUGAUGAUGUUAGGAAUCACGACAUAUGAUGAACUUGUUGGCAAAAUAAUGAUUUCUCUUUUCUACCUGUUGGUGCUGUAGGUUACUGCACAAUUGCUUUGGGACUGAAAGUUUCAAGCAUAGAUUUCAAAUUCCAGCAGUGCGUGUUUAACAACGUAGACCAAGUUUUAUUUUAUAAUCAUGCCAUCAAGAUCUUGUGCUAAUCUUUUGGACAUGGCAUCUGGAGAUAUACUAGAUAUACCUCAGACACCUAGAGGUCUUCCAUGUGUGAUGACAGUUCCUGGAAUUAUCGCAGAUGGUGAUUCAGAUGGUAUGUCAUCCUCAUGUCGAGAGCGAAAAAUUGUUGUAGCAAACAUGCUGCCUUUGCAUGCUCAAAGGGAUACAACAGCUAAAAAGUGGUUAUUCAGUUUAGAUAAGGAUUCUCUUUUAUUGCAAUUGAAGGAUGGGUUUUCUCCUGAAACUGAGGUUGUCUAUGUUGGUUCUCUGAAGGUGUUGAUGUGGAACACAGUGAACAGGAGGAAGUUGCUCAGCGACUUCUUGAGGAGUUCAAGUGUGUGCCUACUUUUGUACCCCAUGAUAUCCAGGAAAAGUUUUAUCACGGCUUCUGUAAGCAGCAACUUUGGCCUCUUUUCCACAUGCUUCCAAUGUGUCCUGAUCAUGGAGAUCGUUUUGACCAGAAGAUGUGGCAAGCUUAUGUCUCUGCAAAUAAGGUUUUCGCUGAUAAGGUUAUGGAAGUGGUAAAUCCUGAUGAUGAUUAUAUCUGGAUUCAAGAUUACUACCUCAUGGUUCUACCGACAUUUUUAAGGAAGCGCUACCAUCGUGUCAAGCUAGGUUUCUUUCUUCAUAGGCCAUUUCCUUCGUCAGAAAUUUACCGAACUCUGCCUGUUAGGGAUGAAAUUCUCAAAGGAUUGUUAAAUUGCGACCUAAUUGGCUUUCAUACCUUCGAUUAUGCACGUCACUUUCUGUCAUGCUGCAGUCGAAUGUUGGGUUUAGAUUAUGAAUCUAAACGAGGACAUAUUGGACUUGAUUAUUUUGGUCGUACAGUUUACAUUAAAAUUCUGCCUGUAGGCAUACAUAUGGGUCGACUAGAGUCCGUGAUGAAUUUGUCUUCUACUUUUGAUAAAGCUAAAGAAGUUCAAGAACAGUUCAAGGGGAAGAAGGUAAUUCUGGGUGUGGAUGAUAUGGACAUCUUUAAAGGCAUUAGUUUGAAAUUGCUAGCAUUUGAGUACCUACUACAGCAGGACCAGAACUUGCAGGGGAAACUUGUUCUUGUUCAAAUAGUAAAUCCUGCUCGUAGCUCAGGCAAAGAUGUUCAGGAAGCAAAGAGGGAGACAUAUUCAACUGCUGAAAGGAUCAACCAAAUUUACGGUAGAUCUGAUUAUGAGCCUGUAAUUUUGAUUGAUCGUCCGGUUCCUCACUAUGAGAAGACUGCAUACUAUGCUGUUGCUGUAUGUUGUGUCCGGUUCCUCGCUAUGAGAAGACUGCAUACUAUGCUGUUGCUGUAUGUUGCCUAGUGAAUGCUGUAAGGGAUGGGAUGAAUUUAGUGCCUUACAAAUAUAUUGUUUGCUGGCAAGGUUCUCCUGGUAUGGAUGAUGCUAUGGGUAUUAAAACUGAUUCUCGUAGAACUAGCAAGCUUGUUGUGUCAGAAUUUAUUGGUUGUUCCCCAUCUCUGAGUGGAGCAAUUAGGGUAAAUCCAUGGGAUAUUGAAGCUGUCGCUGAGGCUUUAAAUGUGGCCAUUACAAUGUCCGAUUCCGAGAAACAACUUCGUCAUGAGAAGCACUACUGCUAUGUAAGCUCUCAUGAUGUAGCUUACUGGGCUCGUAGCUUUAUGCAGGAAUUGGAAAGAGCUUGCAAAUAUCAUUACAGUAAGCGUUGCUGGGGCAUUGGCUUGGGCCUGGGCUUCAGAGUUAUUGCACUUUCUCCGAAUUUUAGAAAGCUGUAUAUUGAUCACAUCGUCUCCUCAUAAAGGAGGACACAGAGAAGGGCAAUAUUCUUGGACUAUGAUGGCACUGUUGUACCUCGGUCAUCAUUGGUUAAAGCUCCAAGUGCUGAAGUUAUUACGCUGUUGAAUUCUUUAAGCAAUGAUCCUAAAAACACCGUGUAUAUUGUUAGUGGCAGAGGAAGAAAGUCACUAAGUGAAUGGCUUGCACCGUGUGAAAGGCUUGGAAUAGCUGCUGAACAUGGGCAUUUCAUAAGGUAAUGGAUAUUUUAUGUGAACAUAGCACGGUCCUUUGUCCCAGUUGCCCUAUAAUUUCUCAUUUGGAGUUUUUCUUCUGAAGUUUUCCUUGGACACCUUCAUGUUAACCUGUUUCUAACAUGUUGCAGGAGUAGUAAAAUGUCGGAUUGGGAAUGUUUGGCUUCUGAUCUUGAGUGGAAACCAAUUGUGGAACCUGUGAUGAAACUUUACACAGAAACAACUGAUGGAUCAUAUAUUGAACCUAAAGAGAUUGCUUUGGUGUGGCACCAUCAGGAUGCAGACCCAGACUUUGGCCCCUGUCAGGCAAAGGAAUUGUUGGAUCAUCUGGAAAAUGUACUUUCAGAUGAACCUGCAGUUGUUAAGAGAGGCCAACAUAUUGUCGAAGUCAAGCCACAAGUAAGACCUUCCCUCAUGUGUUUUGUGUCUCACGCAGAUACAGACAUGUGCAUGUUGCAUUAUGCUCUUCCAUAUUUUUACUUGUUUGUGCUUAUUUGCAGGGUGUGACUAAAGGAUUAGUGGCACAAAAGGUCCUCUCAAUGAUGGUAGAUAGUGGGACUCCACCUGAUUUUGUUAUGUGCAUUGGAGACGAUAGAUCAGAUGAGGACAUGUUUGAAAGCAUAUUAAGCAGUGUGUCCAGCAGUUCUUCAAUCACUGCUGCCCCAGAUAUCUUUGCCUGCACUGUUGGGCAAAAGCCAAGCAAAGCCAAGUAUUACCUAGAUGAUACUGCUGAUGUUCUUAGACUACUUCAAGGUCUUGGUAAUGCGUCCUGUCCAAAGCCAAGACAUACUGCUCAUUUCCAGGUUGCGUUUGAUUCUGUUCUGUAAGAAGCUCUGUUCUGUGAAUAGGCUAAGUAGUUGAUUGGGCAUGUAAAUGGUUCUACUUUUGGGGUUUAUCUUUUACCGGUGAGGAGUAUAUCCUUACAUCAAUCUUAACUUAAUCUGAUGCAUGGCUGGACUCAGGACUGACUGUUUUUCCAGGUUAUGCUGCAUUCAGGGCUUGAAAUUCCCGUCAAUGUUGACUGCUUUUUCUGUAGAUUUCAUCAUUGGGGAAAAACUUUUCUUAGAAGUACAGUUUUGCCGUAGUCAUGAUGACUGCCCUGAAUGAUUAACAAACACCAUUGCGUUGUAUAGAUACAUUUAUCUGUUUAGCUUAAUGACAGUUUGGUUUAAGUUUUACCUCAGUGAAAGCUACUAACAAAUGCUUGAUGCCGUUUUGUGCCAAAUGAGUCACUUGAACAUGUACAUAGUACUAGCCUUUCUGGAACGUGUUAUCGAAAUGUUAUUAGUUCAAUUGUUCUGCUUUCCUACUGUAAAUAUCUCAGAUGCUACUAUCCUGAUCAUUGCAAAAUUUAGUGGUUGUGCACUCUGUGGUCAAUUCAAUCUUGUUUCUGGCUUCAACAUCAUCACGAAUUCACGAUACCCAAUGUAAUUCUACAAAGUUGGGUUUGAGGAGGAUAAAGUGUGUGCAGUUUUCUGCUUCUUAUAUCAAUCACAUCUAUUUGUCUUGUGAUUGGGAUCUCCCAAAGAUCAGCUUUGCCAACUGGCUUCCUCAAUAUUUCAUGUGAUUAAGGUAUCAAUGCCAAUGUUCAUAGAAAUGCAGGUUUCAAAAUGUGGUAGCUUAGUGUCAUGUUGUCCAUAUCCUCAUAUCUAGGGUCAUGUCCUUGGUAAGUCGUAGGUGUGUCAUGUCCAUUCUAAUAAUCUUUUUCAAUAUUUCUUCGGCCUACCACCUCACCCACCAAUCAAUUGCUUGCACCUCCUAGUUGGGUCAUCUAUGCAUCUUCUCUUCAUAUGUCUGAAGUUUGAACCAUCUCAACCUUGCUUUCGUGAUCUCUUCAACCACAACCUUGCUUUCCUCUCUUCAACCACAAAAGGUCAUUCUCACCUUGUUCUGAAUAUCUUUGUUCUUAUUCAUUUUUCUUUUAAUAUCUCUACACAUUUUUAACUCAUUUAUGCUACUUUCAUCUUUUAAACGUGUGAGUUUUAGAUCGGCCAAUACUCUAUCCCCUAAAAGUUACAACCUAAUUGGUCCUACAAUUACAUUAUAAAAUUUACCUUUAAAUCUUGACGACAUAUUCAUACCACAGAAAAUAGACACCGAAAUCUCUUAAAUUGCAAUGAUUCGAAGCACUUCUUGUUUCACUAUUUCAAUCAAUGUAUCUUACGACCCAAAUUUGUAGAUACAACUCUGUUGAUUGGUUGCUUCCACAUUUAUUUUUGGGAAAUAUAAUUCUCAAGCAAGUAGAAACUAGAAAGUUAACUACUUACAUAGUUUUAUACAAGUAACUUUUUAGGACAAGAGUUGCAUGAAGUAGGAAUAAUUAAAGUGGAAGUGGGCCAGAUUGGACUCGCAGCAUAUUGGUUUGAAGUUGGGAUGAAAUUGUGUUUAAGGUGGUUAAAUAAACGGAAAAGGGUCAAAAUUGCCCUCGAACUAUAUGAAAUAGACCAUUUAUACCCUUCGUUACAUUUUGGGAUAAAAAAUGCCCCUGCUGUUAUCCUAAGAGACCACAAAUACCCUCAAGAGUUAACACCCCAAAUUUUUGUUGACGUGGCAAGCCACGUGGGACUAAUCCUUCCACCUAGCGUUGCCAACUAGGAUUCACUACAAAAGAACUAGACUUUUAGCGGCAACAACAGUCGCCACAAAAGCCCAAAAAAUCGUCACUAAAAGUUUUUAACAUUAAUUUCUAAUUUUGUGUUUUUUUCUUCAUUGUUUUUAAAAAACCAAAUAUGAUAUCGAUUAAGUAGGAGUUUGAAGACACUAUAUGUUUUAUUUUUAUGUCAUAUGUAAAUGUAUAAAAUGUACAAUGAUGCAUUAUAUAUAUAUAGUAGGAGAUUUGAAUCGAGAAGUAAUUUUGAUUAUUUUUCGUAAUAAUAUUGGAUGUUUUUAAUAUAGGAUAUUGCAAGUUAUUUAUUUUAGAAAAUUAGGUCGCAAUCGAAAAUUAAUUAUCAUAUUCUUUUGUUGAAAAUAUAUGUUUUACUAGCAAAUGGUUGUUAGAGCCUUAGUCGCCACUAAAAAUCACUCAUAACCUUUAGUGGCAAUAUUUUGGGAUUUUGUGGUCGCCACUAAAAAAGUCAAGUUCUUUUGUAGUGAAUCUUAGUUGGCAAUGCUUAGGUGGAGGGAUUAGUCCCAUGUGGCUUGCCACGUCACUAAAAAAUUGGGGUGUUAACUCUUGAGGGUAUUUGUGGUCUCCUGGGAUAACUGCGGGGGUAUUUUUGAUUCCCAAAAUGUAAUGGAGGGUAUAAGUGGUCUAUUUCACAUAGUUCAGGGGCAAUUUUGACCCUUUUCCGUUAAAUAAAUUAAGGGGAACUUUCGUAUAUAGUCAUUCAAAAAUAGUUUAAUUACGCUAUAUAACUCGAGUAUGUUUUCUGGUUAUAUAAACCGUGCAAAAUUAGAAUAUAAAAAUUACCAUAUAUAUGUUUUUGGUUAUAGAAAACGUGUAAAAUAUAAAAAGUUACCAGAAGAAAUUCCAUAAAAAAAAGUUUCAUCAUCAUUAGGGAAACGAGUAGGAAAGGGAAAUCCUAAUCCAAGAUAACAUGUAAAUAAAGCCUAUAUAUACACAUGAAAUAGUGAAUUGUUUCAUUGAAAUAUUAAUUAGCAUGACAAAAUUUCCCUUAUGUCUUGUUAAAGUAGUUGUAAUAAUGAUACUAUUAUGUUUUCCUUCCACCGCCCUCUCUAGAAAACUAUUACUCUCGUCACCACCAUCAGAAGCUGCUCCUCCAAAACCUAGUGUUAUGAAUUUCCAUAUUGUUAACGAUGAAGACAACAAUCCAAAAGAGAAGGUGAUUGAUGAUAGUCGAAGCUGGAGUUCUCUUGAUUUUGGUCACAAAAUUAAGAUUAUCGUAUCUAUAUUUUGUAGCUUGUUUAUAAUUGUCGGUCUCAUUAUCUUGAUAACACGACUUAUCACUUCACCCUAUUUUUUCAUAAUAUUUAUCUAAAUUAUAUAUCAAAAGUUAAGUUAAUAACACUAAUUUGUUUUAGUAAAUACUUGCUAGAUACCUUCAAUAAUUUAAUAAAUAUUGUGAGGGAAUUAAUACAUAAAAUUACCCCUAAUUAUUCACAUUUUUAUACUCUUUUUUGUCCCACAUUUUUAUAGUUCUUUGGCUAUUGUCCUCUCUGAACGACAAUAUUCCAUAUAUAAAAACCCCUUUGGAACAAAAUUAACACUAAAAGAAAGAAAAGCUGGAAUAUUUAUAAAAGUAGAAACAUGCAAUGGUUUAAAAAAAAAACAUUAAUAAGUCUAAAUUUAUAGUAGAAAAAAAAACCCUAGUUUUAACCAUAUUUUUAGUAAAAAAAAUCCAACCCUUUUGCGUAGAUAUGUAUUUAGUAUAAAGUGUACACUAUCUUAAUACUGUGUACAUGUUUUGUAAACUAAAUGAUUCAAAUAUAUUAAGUUGUAAUUUUCUCAAUAUCAAAUGAGGAAAUUACACCUACUAUCCCAAAAGUGUUAGAUCUUGAAUUUUUGUACCUACUUGAUUUUGCCUCUAAAGCAGAACUUCUGUUCAAUUGAUCGAGUAGAUUCACUAUCCUGAAAUAUUUUGAAACGUCUUUCUUAUGGAAACAAAUUAAAAUGUAUGGCUGAUGGACAACCUACUUAUCUAAAAUUUAACUUUUUACUUAUAAGACAACUUUUGAUCAAUUUAACAAGUUUAUAAUCUUAAAAAUAUCUUGAAUAUUUUCUUUACGAGCAAAAUUUAAAGAAUUUUAUGAAGGGGAAAUUAUUUCUAAAAAGUUUGUUACCUAAUAACUCUCUAAACAAAAUAGUUAUGAACACUCCUUACUUUUACCACCAAAAUUAAAGGCAAUUUGUACCUAUAAAAUUAAAUUAGAUUAAUUAAAAUUUUUAUUUGAAUAUAUAAUUUAAAUUUUUGAAAUUGUAUUUUUUGUUGCAAACAUAAUUUUUUAUUUAUAACUUGUACGUAAGGUAAAUUCUUGCCGCGUGGCAGUCUGCUCCACAAAUAGGCAAAGGCGCGCAGUAUUUGGAGCACUGCAUUUGUCUCUGUAUUCUCUGACACAAUCGUUUCAUCACUAUUUCCAUUGAUUUGGUGGUAUUUUGAAGCCUUCUCUUCAACGGCGACGCGAGGCACCGUUUACUGAGGCUAGAUUUUCACCGGCUCUGUUGCUGUAUGUAUUUCCACUUUUUUGCAAUGUAGCAGUAAUGUGUUUUCUGAGUAUUAGUUCCAUUCGUAAUUCUAAUUGUUUGAACUAGUUUGAUGAAGGAUCUACCAUUUCCGUCGUCCUCUAAUUUCUGUGUUUGUUGCUGUAGUUAUUUUUUUGAAUUCGUUUCAUCACUUUUUCUAUUGAUUUCGUGGUAGUUUGAAGCCUUCUCUUCAACGGCGACGGUGACGUGAAGCACCGUUUACUGAGGCGAGAUUUUCACCGGCUUUGUUGCUGUAUGUAUCUCCACUUUUUUGCAAUGUAGCAGUUAUGUAUUUUCUGAGUAUUAGUUCCGUUCGUAAUUCUGAUUGUUUGUCAUCCUAUAAUUUCUGUUUUCAAAUGUUCCUUUGUUGCUGUAGUUAUGUGUUUGAAAUCGUUUCAUCACUUUUUCAAUUGAUUUCGUUGGAAGCGACAGCGACGCUAGGCACCGUUAACUGAGGCAAGAUUUUCACUGACUUUGUUGCGGUAUGUAUCUCUCCUCCUUUUUGUAAUUUCAAAAUGCUAGUUCUGAUUGUUUGAACUCGAAGGAUCUACCAUUUCCGUCGUCCUCUAAUUUCUGUUUUCAAAGUAGUUCUGUAUUUGAAAUCGUUUCAUCACUUUUUCAAUUGAUUUCGUUGGAGGUGACAGCGACGCUAGGCACCGUUUACUGCUUUGUUGCUGUAUGUAGUUAUGUGUUUUCUGAGUAUUAGUUCCGUUCGUAAUUCUGAUUGUUUGAACUCGAAGGGUCUACCAUUUCCGUCGUCCUGUAAUUUCUGUUUUUCAAAUGUUCCUUUAUUGCUGUAGUUGACGAGCUGUACUUUAUACAGACUCUAUUUUCAUUUUUUUUCUUAUUUAUAUUUGCUUAUCAGUUUGUAAAACUAAAUUGUAGUGUGUGUUCUGUGAGAAUUUCGUUCGUGAUAGUGAUUGUCUGCUUAUGUGUUUCCGUCGUCCUUUAAUUUUUCUGUGUUUAGUUGUUGCUAUUUCGUUUUAAAUCUAGAAGAGGAACUGUUUUAAUUUGCUUGUAGUUGAUUAUCCAUAUGAAAUAUAUACAGACUCUAUUAUAAUUUUCAAUGAAAGAGGAAAUUAUAAAAAAUAUACACAGUCUGGGGAAGUCAUUGCUUAGAGGUAGCUUUUCAAUAAUGGCGACGCCAGGCUCCAUUAACUGAGGCAACUAGGCUACAGUUUUAGAGUCCAUUAGGUUUCUGUAAUGGUAUGUUCUCCUUGUAAUCGAGAACUGAUCUCAUCGCUCAAAUUGUUGUGAAUCUUUAGUAAAAUGAUCGAUUCACAGGGCAAUAUAUAAAUUAGUUCUUCAAAGAAAGACUGAAACCUGUUCAUUAAAAGAGAGAACUUUGAUCUCUUCAAAGAGAAACUAAAACCUUAGAGUUCAAUGGAAGAGAGAACUCUAAUCUCCUGCUUUUUACUGAAAAAUGACUUCCCGAUUUAUUCAUCAAAAUCCCCUUUAAAUAGGAGUAUUAUUACAUCAAUAGGAAGUCUAAUACUUAUGGAAGUAGGAGACCUCAAUCCUAUUCCAAACUAAUAACUAUAACUUAACAUAAUCCUUAUGAAACUCUGAAACAUAAAACCUAUUCUAGAACAAUAAAUAAAACAACUAAAAAUAUAAUUAAAUACUUAAAUUAAUGACUUCCAACGCAUCCCUAACAUUACUCCCCUCGCGUUGAAAGAGUUUGUCCUCAAGCUCAACUUUCGGGGAAAUCAUCCAGAAAAUCUGGAUUAGUAUCAACUUGUUCAAUUCAAGCCCUAUCUUGAAGUUGACAUAGAUAAAUUUCGACUUUAUCAGUUUGCUGAAGCAUGACUAAUUUACCCAUCAGGUUGCUACUUUCAAGAGGUUCAAAUCGUUGAUAUUCUUCCUAACUCAUUAAGUCUUUCACUCGUUUAAGUUGAUAAUACCAUAAUGGUGCUAGUCCGAACAUGUGAAAUCCAGCCACAUCAAUCUUUUUUGCUUUCGUGGUAUGCUGAUAUUUUUCAAAAUAAUGUUCACAACGAUGUGCCCAAAGUAAUGGGUUAUUAGUGCCGUUAUAAGUAGGUGGUGUAUUGCCUUUCGUAGCAGGAAUUGUUGAUCUGCUAGUUGUUUGGGCACUAUUUGACUCAGGUUUAUGGGUUGCUGAUUUUGUGGAGUCAAUUCCCAAUCUAGAUAAUUGUUCUUGGAUGACUUGGACAAUUCUUUCGAUGAGGCGUUGUUCCAUUUCUGCAAUUUUAGAGUGCAUUAGGGUUUCUGUAAUGGUAAGUUCUCGUUGUAAUCGAGAACUGAUCUUAUCGCCCAUUGUAUUAGGCUCACCACCCAAAUUGUUAUGAAUCUUUUGUGAAGGAUCGAUUCACAGGGCGAUAUAUAAAUCAACUCUUCAAAGGGAGACUGAAACCUUAGAGUUCAUUAAAGAGAGAACUUUGAUCUCUUUAGCUCUUCAAAGGGAGACUGAAACCUUAGAGUUCAUUAAAGAGAGAACUUUGAUCUCUUUAGCUCUUCAAAGGAGACUGAAACCUUAGAGUUCAAUGGAAGAGAGAACUCUAAUCUCCUGCUUUUUCUAAUAACUAUAACUUAACCUAAUCCUUAUGAAAUCAAUUAAAUACUUAAAUUAAAUUAUAUCAAUAGAAAGUCUAUUACUUAUGGAAGUAGGAGACCUCAAUCCUAUUCCAAACUAAUAACUAUAACUUAACCUAAUCCUUAUGAAGCUCUGAAACAUAAAACUUAUUCUAGAAUAAUAAAUAAAGCAACUAAAAAUAUAAUUAAAUACUUAAAUUAAUGACUUCCAACACAUCACUAACAUUACAACCCUCACGUUGAAAUAGCUUGUCCUCAAGCUCAACUUUUGGGGCAAUCAUCCAGAAAAUCUAGAUCAGUAUCAACUUAUUCAAUUCCAUCCCUAGCUUGAAGUUGACAUUGAUAAAUUUCGACUUUAUUAGUUUGUUGAAGCAUGACUAAUUUGCCUAUCAGGUUGCUACUUUCAAGAGGUCCAAGUCGUUGAUAUUCUUCCUAAUUCAUUGAGUCUUUCACUUGUUUAAGUUGACAAUACCAUAAUGGUGCUAGUCCAAACAUGUGAAAUCCAGCCACAUCAAUCUUUUUUGCUUUCGUUGUAUGUUGAUUUUUUUCAAAAGAAUGUUCACAACGAUGUGCCCAAAGUAAUGCGUUAUUGGCGCCGUUAUUGUCACGCCCCGAGCUACCCCCGAGACGCUAACACGGGACCUAGGACCACAAGUGAUCCCAAGCUAACCCUGCUGGCAUGAUCAUGAGCAUACUAAAAAUAAUAAACUGAUGCGGAAGCUAAAUCAUAAAUAAAUCUGAAAAGAUGGGGAAUACCCAUAUACUAUAACUGAAUAUAUUAAAUCUGAGAGUUUAAUAAAAAAGAAAUAUCAAACUCAAAAUACUAAGCUGAAUCUAACUAUGUCUGAAAUAAGCCUCUAAACUGACUAGAAAUGUUGGGACAUGCCCCAACUAGGUCAAGCAAAACUGAAACUAAAGACUAAAAGCGAUAAAGAUAAACAUGUCACUAGUCCUCGAAGAAUGAGGACUCACCACUGAUGCUGCUGAACUGAAGAUCGGGAAUCGAUCUAAGCGUGAUCUGGAUGCUGAGAACCUGAACCUACAUCACGAGAAGAUAUAGCGCACUUAUGCAUCAGUACUUGAAAGGUACUGAGNNNNNNNNNNNNNNNNNNNNNNNNNNNNNNNNNNNNNNNNNNNNNNNNNNNNNNNNNNNNNNNNNNNNNNNNNNNNNNNNNNNNNNNNNNNNNNNNNNNNNNNNNNNNNNNNNNNNNNNNNNNNNNNNNNNNNNNNNNNNNNNNNNNNNNNNNNNNNNNNNNNNNNNNNNNNNNNNNNNNNNNNNNNNNNNNNNNNNNNNNNNNNNNNNNNNNNNNNNNNNNNNNNNNNNNNNNNNNNNNNNNNNNNNNNNNNNNNNNNNNNNNNNNNNNNNNNNNNNNNNNNNNNNNNNNNNNNNNNNNNNNNNNNNNNNNNNNNNNNNNNNNNNNNNNNNNNNNNNNNNNNNNNNNNNNNNNNNNNNNNNNNNNNNNNNNNNNNNNNNNNNNNNNNNNNNNNNNNNNNNNNNNNNNNNNNNNNNNNNNNNNNNNNNNNNNNNNNNNNNNNNNNNNNNNNNNNNNNNNNNNNNNNNNNNNNNNNNNNNNNNNNNNNNNNNNNNNNNNNNNNNNNNNNNNNNNNNNNNNNNNNNNNNNNNNNNNNNNNNNNNNNNNNNNNNNNNNNNNNNNNNNNNNNNNNNNNNNNNNNNNNNNNNNNNNNNNNNNUGGAAUUGAUGGAACCUUGCUGCGUUCUUGAACUAGGGUUCUUAACUUCUCUUCUCCUUUUAGCAUUCUAAUUUUUCUAAGUUUGAUUAAUGAUUUGACUUAAGUAAGUUCUAGUUAUGUUUCUAGGCUUAAACUGACUAAAACCUCAUGAUUUAGGGUCUAAACGACGUAUCUUAGGGGUUAAACGAAAUAUGAAAAGACCAAAGGACCCCUGAAUUAAUUGCUGUCGGAGUGACUGACGGACGGGACUGACGGGCCGUCAUUCAAUCGGUCCGUCGAUUGGAGUCGUCGGUCGAGUCUGCCCGACAGGGCUUCACUAAAACGAGCAUAACUUUUCACUCGGAGGUUAGAUUUUAGGAUACUCAGCGGUGUUGGAAAGAGGAUUCAAUUAUCUAUCAUAUCAUAGGUCAUGGGACACACAAUUCUUUUUGUGCUAAAAGUUAUGACCAUCUGAAGUUGACCCAUCAACAAUUUUCAGCUAAUUGGUUGUUGACCCUCAUCUACGGUCAGACCUACGGACCGUGGAUCAAAUGACGGUCCAUGCUGGUUGACCGUAGUUUGUGUCAGAGGCUGGGUAAAAGAGGUCUAAAUCCACGGACACAGACCACGGACCGUGGGUCUGUCCGUGAGUCGGGACUUCGCCAAUUUUCUAAGCUGGGUCUGGGAGUGGCUUUAGUGGUGAACUACGGACCACCAGCACGGACGGUGGUCUGACUUACGGUCCGUGGAUGGCAACCGUGGGUUGCACCUGAAACUUCUCAAAAUCUUCAUUUUUGGUCUGUUUCGAAUACAGGGUGUUACAAUUAUAAGUAGGUGGUGUAUUGCCUUUUGUAGCAGGAAAUGUUGAUCUGCUAGUUUUCUGGGCACUAUUUGAACUCAGGUUUGUGGGUUGCUUGUUUUGUGGAGUCAAUUCUCAAUCUAGACAAUUGUUCUUGGAUGAUUUAGACAAUUCUUUCGAUGAGGCAUUGUUCAAUUGCUGCAAUUUUAGAGUGCAUUAGGGUUUCUGUAAUGGUAUGUUUUCCUUGAAAUCGAGAACUGAUCUCAUUGCCCAUUGUGUUAGGAUCAUCACCCAAAUUGUUAUGAAUCUUUAGUGAAGGAUCGAUACACAUGGCGAUAUAUAAAUCAGCUCUUCAUAGGGAGACUGAAACCUUAGAGUUUAUUAAAAGAGAGAACUUUGAUCUCUUCAAUUCUUGAAAGGGAGACUGAAACCUUAGAGUUCAAUGGAAGAGAGAGCUCUAAUCUCCUGUUUUUUGUUGAAAAAUGACUUCUCGAUUAAUUCAUCAGAAGCCCCUUUAAAUAGGAGUAAUAUUACAUCAAUAGGAAGUCGAAUACUUAUGGAAGUAGAAGACCUCAAUCCUAUUCCAAACUAAUAACUAUAACUUAACCUAAUCUUUAUGAAACUCUGAAACAUAAAACUUAUUAUAGAAUAAUAAAUAAAGCAACUAAAAAUAUAAUUAAAUACUUAAAUUAAUGACUUCCAACACAUCCUUAACAUUACUCCCCUCACUUUGAUAGAGCUUGUCCUCAAGCUCAACUUUCAGGGUAAUCACCUAGAAAAUCUGGAUCAGUAUCAACUUAUUCAAUUUCAGCCCUAGCUUGAAGUUCACAUUGAUAAAUUUUGACUUUAUCAGUUUGCUGAAACAUGACUAAUUUACCCAUUAGGUUGCUACUUUCAUGAGGUGCAAAUCGUUGAUAUUCUUCGAGGAAAUGGUCAAAAGCCCUCGCAAUCUAUAGCCGGAUUUCCAACUACACAUGCAUACUUUACGGAGGUCCUAUUACCCCCCUGAAUUUUAUAAAAUUGAAAUUAUUACCUCCCUAAAUGCUUACAUGGCAAAGUGAGUGUAUUUUUUACUCUCUUUGAGAGAGUGAGCAGCCAAAACAAUAUUAAAAUUUUGUUUUAAAUAUGUUAUUUCAUAAAUAUUUUUUAAAAAAAAGUUAAUUUCUUUCUUCUCCAUGGUAGCAUAUGCCAAAUCUCUCCACCUUUAUCAUCCCAAAAUCGCCGCGCCAUUACCGCCAUCUUCAUCGGAUUCAUUAUUGUAAAUUUCUAACAACUCUCAUAAAUUUUUGAAAAAGAACAAUCAAAUCCACCAUCUCCAAUCACCAAAAAAAUAUUUUGAAUCAAAUUUAAAAAAUCAAUCUAGGUUCAAAUGCAAUUGUAUCCUAAAAAAGAAAAAUUAUUUUUUACAUGUAGAUCUAAAUUCCUCAUGUGUUUUUUAGUUUGUUUUCUAGAUUCUUGACAAGCAAUUAUUUUCUCUUGAUUAUAAAAACUCCAUCACAUAGACUUAUAAAAUUAUGAAAAUACCCACAAACAUUAAUUAGACUAAUAGUGGUCUUGGUGGUGGUGUGAAUGUUCUCUUUUUCGAGCUUUAUUCUUUGAAAGAAAUGACGGGAGCUCUUUGAGUAGGUGGAGGAGCUAAUGGUGAAGGCGGAUAAAUAACAAAGUCAUAGAUGGAGAUGGUGGUGGCAACGAAAUUCUCAGACUAUGUCGACGGCGGCGACAUAUCCCUCCGGAGAAGACAAAAGAGACCCCUCAAUUUAACCCCCAAUAUUUUCUCCAAAUCAAAGUUCUCAAAAAAUAACUAGGGCUAAAAAAUGAAUGAAGAAGAAAGAUUGAAGAAGAAAGAGAAAAAAAAGCCUUUUAAAAAGAGAUCUACAGGUGAAAACACGUGUCAAGCGCGUGUGUUUCACCACAAGAAACAUAUCUGGGUAUGACGUUUUAAGGGGCUACUUAUUUCAUUUUAAAAUAAUUCAUGGAGGUAAUAGAACCCCGUGAAACAUGAGUGUGUAGUUGGAAAUCCGACUAUAUGAUGGGGAGGGUUUUGGCCAUUUUCUCAUAUUCUUCCUAACUCAUUGAGUCUUUCAUUCGUUUAAGUUGAUAAUACCAUAAUGGUGCUAGUCCGAACAUGUGAAAUCCAUCCACAUCAAUCUUUUUUGCUUUCGUUGUAUGCUGAUAUUUUUCAAAAAAAUGUUCACACCGAUGUGCCCGAAGUAAUGGGUUAUUAGUGCCAUUAUAAGUAGGUGGUGUAUUGCCUUUUGUAGCAGGAAUUGUUGAUCUGCUAGUUGUCUGGGCACUAUUUGACUCAGGUUUGUGGGUUGCUGGUUUUGUAGUGUCAAUUCCUAAUCUAGAUAAUUGUUCUUGGAUGACUUGGACAAUUUUUUCGAUGAGGCGUUGUUCCAUUGCUGCAAUUUUAGAGUGCAUUAGGGUUUCUGUAAUGGUAUGUCCUCCUUGAAAUUGAGAACUGAUCUCAUCGCCCAUUGUGUUAGGCUCAUCGCCCAAAUUGUUAUGAAUAUUUAGUGAAAAAUCGAUUCACAUGGUGAUAUAUAAAUCAGCUCUUUAAAGGGAGACUAAAACCUUAGAGUUCAUUAAAAAAGAGAGAACUUCGAUCUCUUCAGCUCUUCUAACGGAGAUUAAAACCUUAGAGUUCAAUGGAAGAGAGAACUCUAAUCUCCUGUUUUUUGCUGAAAAAUGACUUCCCGAUUUAUUCAUCAAAACCCCAUUUAAAUAGGAGUAUUAUUACAUCAAUAGGAAGUCUAAUACUUAUGGAAGUAGGAGAUUUCAAUCCUAUUCUAAGCUGAUAACUAUAACUUAACCUAAUCCAUAUGAAACUCUGAAAUAUAAAACCUAUUCUAGAAUAAUAAAUAAAGCAACUAAAAAUAUAAUUAAAUACUUAAAUUAAAGACUUCCAACGCAUCCCUAACUUUACUCCCCUCACGUUGAAAGAGCUUGUCCUCAAGCUCAACUUUUGGGGCAAUCAUCCAGAAAAUCUGGAUCAGUAUCAACUUAUUCAAUUCCACCCAUAGCUUCAAGUUGACAUUGAUAAAUUUCGACUUUAUCAGUUUGCUGAAGCAUGACUAAUUUGCCCAUCAAAUUGCUACUUUCAUGAGGUCCAAAUUGUUGAUAUUAUUUCCAACUCAUUGAGUCUUUCGCUCGUUUAUGUUGAUAAUCCCAUAAUGGUGCUAGUUCAAACAUGUGAAAUCCAGCCACACCAAUCUUUUUUGCUUUCGUUGUUUACAAAUUUAUUUUAAAAAAAAUAUUCACAACGUUGUACCUGAAGUAAUGGGUUAUUGGUGCCGUUACAAGUAGGUGGUGUAUUGCCUUUCGUAGCAGGAAUUAUUGAUCUGCUAGUUGUCUGGGCACUAUUUGACUCAGGUUUGUGAGUUUCUGAUUUUGUGGAGUCAAUUCCCAAUCUAGACAAUUGUUCUUGGAUGGCAUUAGGGUUUAUGUAAUGGUAUGUUCUCCUUGAAAUCGAGAACUGAUCUCAUCGCCCAUUGUGUUAGGCUCAUCACCCAAAUUGUUAUGAAUCUUUAUUGGAGGAUCGAUACACAGGGCGAUAUAUAAAUCAGCUCUUCAAAGGGAGACCGAAACCUUAGACUUCAUUAAAAGAGAGAAUUUCGAUCUCUUCAGCUCUUUAAAGUGAGACUGAAACCUUAUAGUUUAGUGGAAGAAAGAGCUCUAAUCUUCUGCUUUUUGCUGAAAAAUGACUUCCCGAUUUAUUCAUCAAAAUCCCCUUUAAAUAGGAGUAUUAUUACAUCUAUAGGAAGUCUAAUACUUAUGGAAGUAGGAGACCUCAAUCUUAUUCCAAACUAAUAACUAUAACUUAACAUAAUCCUUAUGAAACUCUGAAACAUAAAACCUAUUCUAGAAUAAUAAAUAAAGCAAGUAAAAAUAUAAUUCAAUACUUAAAUUAAUGACUUCCAACGCAUCCCUAACAGAAACACACCUAGAUGGAAGAAUUAAUUGGUUCUGAAUGAAUUAAAGAAAGAGGGAAUGCUCAUAUACCACUUAGCUUUCACUUCACUCUUUUUUAUCAAUCCAACAAAUUUAUAAUAGAGAAGCAACGUCAACUGAGUUGUUUCUUGAUAUACAUCUUUGGCUUCAAACAAAUCCGCAUUUGAUGUGCAACAACUAAUACUCUAAAGGUUUGGAAAAAUAUGUUUUUCUAGGAGACUAGAUGCUUUCAGCCUUCUUGUAGUUCUUUACUUUUGAGUUCUACAGUUGCAAGAUAAUGAGAAAUGCAUCUUUUUCAUUGUAAAGUACUCCAGCUUGCCAAGGAUUUUGUACUUUAAAAUCAAAUGGCUACUUCUACAAUACAACCAAGAAAUUAAAGAAACUAACAGGAAAUAAAAAGAAACUAAUCGGUUAUUUCUUAACAUGACACUUGUUGCUUGGAACGUUGAAAGAUUUUGUAAUGUGAUGUGUUUAAAUUACGUUAGUUUUCUUUGCUUUCUUCUUUUUUCUAUUGGGUCUUAGAGAAAUAUAUAUCUGUCUCAUUUGUUUGCUUUGAUUAGUUCUCCUCACGAAUGGAUCACUAAGAGUAAUUUUAAUUUUGGAUUUGAUUUCAAUUCAGAAAAUGGAAAUUUCAGAUGAAGAAAUUGCUUUUAGCGUCACUUCACACCUUUCCACUCCUCGAUUCUCUCCGGAUAUACCACAAGCAGCUAACCCUUUUGUCUCGGAAGGACUUGUCACUAAGUUGUAUUCUGUAGAGAGCAGGAUUUCAACAUUGCAAAACAUGUUGAUUGAUUUAAACAAAAGAAUGGAGGAUCAAUCCAAGUCAGUGUAUGAAAGUUUGAACCUGUUUUUGGUUGGUGGGGCUGCUUCUUAUUUUACUCAGAGGAAACUAACUUGCAGCGAGGGAGUAAAAAUAUUAGUAUUGACACUUUUGGCUUCUAUUUUCAACAUAUGUCGUGUUAAGAAAUUGGUAACAACAAACCUCUCUAGUUUGAAAAGGUUGAAUGCUUCUCACUUGAGGACUUAUGGACAUUUAGUUAGUGAGGCUAUAGUUUUAAGGGAAUUGGAACAAGCAAAUGCUGAUGCCGUAGAUGGGGUUGAGAAUUUGAUUUUGGAGGGGAGUAUAAGGAGGACUCAAUUUUUCCAACGGAUAGAGGACAUUGUUGAUACACAUAGUGCAGAUAUUUUUGUUCCAAAAAGCGACAGAGUUGAAAAAAUAUUGUUUGGUGCGACAAUACUCAGCCACAUUCUUGCAUUAAUCUUUCUUACUCUAGUGUUGCAAUGUGGUAAGUUUUUUAUAUCUAAUGUUUUUCAUAUCAUAUUUUUUUAGUUAAGAUUAUUCUAUUCUAACUCUUAAUUUGUUUUUGUUCAGGUGUUAUUUGAUUGCAGUUUGGAUAGUUUUUUGCUCAAGAGUUUUCAAUUGCAGUUUGUAUAUAGAAGUUUUGAAAGAAAUCCAACAUUUAUCGUCAUCAGCAUCAUAAACUAGAGUAAUUUGAUAUCAUGAUGGUUUAGUUUUAUUUGUAAAAAUUGCUUAAGAGGAUUAUGUUUAUAACCAUGCUAGAUUCUUCAAUGGUGUCACAACUGACUUCACUUGCAAGUAAUUCCUGAGACAAUAUUCUCCCUUUUCUCUUCCCUGACCACUCAUCUUAUAGCCACCAAAAAGAAUUGUAGCAUUAAAUGUAUCCAAGCAAUUAAUCCAUACCAUUCCAACUCUCACGGCUCGUGCCAAGGUGUUUGCAGUGUCAAUGUUUUGUGAAAAUACUCCAGCAGCUAGACCAUACCGAGUGUUGACACCCAAUUUUGACCCGCCACGAUAGAAAUUAACUUUUGAGCUUCUUAAUUUUUAAACAAUUUGAAAUAAUUGGUUUUAUGAAAAAAUCAAAAUGUUUCUCAAGUUUUAAAAUGAUGUUACUUAUUUAUAUAAUAUCUUAAAUAAUUAAGGUGUUUUAUAUAGGUACAUAUAUCCGAUUAGCAUAUUUCGUAAAUAGUUGAAAUCGUCGCAAAAAGAUUUUUACACCUUUUUAGGUUAAGUAUUUUAUUAAUUUAGUUUAGUCUUAAUUAUAGUUAUAAUUUUAAGACGAUUAGUUUAAUUAGAUUAUGAUUAAGUCAAUUAUUUUAUAUCGUUAAGAUUAAAGAAACUCAUUAAUUAAUUUCUAUUAAUUCGUCUUGUUAGUUUUGGCCGAAUUACCAACUAAACUGAUUCGGCUAAAUAUUUAAUUCAAUUUGGCUACAAUUUCAACUCAAUUUGAUUACGAUGGUAAUUCAAUAGUUAUUUCACGAUUUGCAAAGAUAGUCAUUCCUAGCUUAAGUUCCAAUUCCUUGAGACUUGAAAUUGGGCCAGAUUUCCAGCCCAUUUUAGUGCAAUUUUCCAGCCACUUUUCCCACCCUUAAUUCCUAACCCAUCAGCCCACAAAACAAGAAAAACAAAUUCCUAACCCAUUACGUACAACAACAAUACAAUACAAACGGGAAUCCAACGUUCCCAAUUUGUUUUUCUUUCUUCCUUCAAUGCGUCAAACAACAACUAUACACAACAGCUUCCAACGUCAAUAGACGGAAACCACAUAGCAACUUCACACCUUGGGCGCGUGCGGAUUACAAUUCUCGUCUUCUUCCUCACAUCCCUUUCCUUUUUACUGUCGCAGCAGCAAAAGCAAGCCGCGUCUCAGUCCUUAGGGCUGUGGGAUCGAUCCAUAUCGCACCCAAGGACGAGUGCCUCAAUCUCACCAGUCCGUCCCCCUUUCUUCUUUUGGAAUGGGGCGAAUUUUCAGAGAAAAAGUGUCGCCCUAAAAUGGUGCAAGAUUUUGAAAUUUGAUUUAAUGGGCCUUGUUCUCAUCUGGAAAACUCCCGCCUGAUCCCCAUCUUUUCUGCCCUAAUUCCAUUCCAUAUAUACUCUCCCUUUGUUCAUUGUAAAGGGGUGGAAGAGAAAAAAUUGGAAAAUAGUUGAAAAAUUGGGAGUCAAGAAAAAGCAAAAGAUACAUAGAUUUUUUAAAGAAAAUACAGACUUAAGAAAUCAAGUGUUAUAGAGUGUAUUCAGGCGCCGAUCUCUUUUUCCGAGACAUUAUUGCUGCUCGUCGGAGCUCUCGGAGUUUGUGUGUGGUGUUGGAAGAAGCUCGUUGUCUCCUUUGCUUGUUUCUUGUCCCAAAUCGCUGCCUCGAACAAGGUAAACGACUCAUAAUCCUUUGUCUGUUUUGAGGUCAUUGUUUGGUUUGAUGUGUAGCUCUUCGUGAAUUCUUGAGCUUAAGCAAUAUGUUCAGUUUGAUGUUAUUCCUUUCACCUUAUUCCUUGAAAUGAGUGAUAUGUGUCCGUUUUUUUUUAAGAUGAUUGAAUGAUUGUUUGAGCUCAUGUAUUUGUCUGUGCUCUUCUUAAACUCGCGGCUAUUAUGCUCGUCUUAAGUUCGUGUUGCUUCUUCAUUAUUUGUUCUUCUCUAUUUGUGCUCAUGCACAUGUUAUGAUAAGUGUUCUGAGCGUAUCAAAGAUUACCCCAUUGCUUUUUUUUUUCUUUCAUUUUCUGAAGCUUGCCGUAAUUAGUUUUCAUCCAUAUCGGUAUGUAUAUAGAUUCGUGUCAAAGUGUUAGAGUUUUCUUGUGAUAAUAAAUUUCUUUUUCGAUAUAGGACUCACGUUCCGAUUCUUUCAUAUCUCUGCCUAUUUUAUAUGUUUUCCACUAUGAGAUGUUUUCCAUGUUUAGUUAAAAGGUGUAGUCUAUGCUCACUGCUUCGUUAUUUAAGAACCAGACAUUGUUAGCCAGUGAUUUUGUUUAUUUUCUCCUCCUAUUUUUUUUGAAUAUGUUGAGCAUGUCAUAUACUUUAUUCGUUUACUGUAACAAUUCUAGGUCAUUUUCUUUUUUUUAGACUUGGUUUAAAACACUUUAGUACUAAAUCUGCUUUAGAAAAUGACAAAUCGUUAUAUUAAGAUCAUUUAUUGUGAGUAUCUUGUUGUCUCAAGUUGUUGACAUAGGCUUGGCCUUGGGUUGCGUUUUCGAUUCGGUUUAUUAACUUAUAUUGCCAUAGAGGGUAUUGCUUUCAAUUUGGGUCAAGAUUGCUACUUGCUAUCAAGUAUUUGUUUCCUUUAAAUGGUCUUUUUUUCUUUAAUUGAUUGGAAGUCGUUUAACUUAAUUUUUUCGGCAAUUCAUCUAUGUCCAAUUCCUUAGAAAUUUUAUCUUUGAUCAAUUAGUUCAUACUAUGAAAGCAUGACUAUAGGUCAUUGUUAAGUUGUUUUAUUGCUAUACCAUUAGCACGUUUGGUUUUUUCCUUAUUGAUGCUCAUAGUAUAGUCUAUUCUUGUUUUCUUCCCCUUUGAAUGGCCCCCUAAUUUUAUUUGUUCAAGUAAGUAUGUUUAUUACUGUUGGGUGUUGAAAGAGGUCCAAAUUAUUGGAAUUUUGCUUAAUCCAUUUUUAGCAUCUCAUUUAUGCCGCGAAAGGUUUCGGCUAAUUGGUUUUGAGUUAUUCGUUUUAAGCAAGUAUGCAAUAAGGUUGUGAUUAAUUGUCAAGUUGUGUCAUAGUUAUGACAUCAGUGUGUGUUUGAUUUCUUUGUUGACUAAGUUUUAUUUUAAAAUUCCUUUGUUAUAAAUGUGAAUGCUAAUUUGUAUUAUCCUUUGUUUGCAUAUGAAAUCUCCCUGAAUCCUCACGGAUUACAUCUCUUCUCCUCGCAUUUUUCAAUUGGGCCAUUAUGGCCUAAUAUUCAUGUUCCUCGAGUCGGCCAGCAGGAAGUUGAAAAAUACAGGUUUUCGGAGGAUAAACCAAGCUGGACUUUGAAUUUUUCAUCUCCGAAAAGCUCGAAAAGCAGCUGGUAUAUAGUGAUAUACACACCGUAUACGCCGACAAAAAAGUUAAAAAAUACAAAUACAGGUUUUGAAGUGCAAAGACGAGGCCCAAAGGUGGCCAACAAUGAUUUCUAAUUGAAAUGGCCUAAAUUCCAUUGUUUUGGGGGUAAACUUUAGUUUUAAGGCAGGUGGACCAAAGUCCAGACGAAUUCGAAUUUGAGCCAAAAGCCCAAAUUUUAUAUCUCUUCCCUUUUGCUCUUAUUUAUUUGCUUGUUAUGUCGACUAACAUUUAUUUGUGAAUUGAUUUUAACUUAAUUAAAUUCCCGAAGAUAACCAUUUCCUUUCAUAUAUACAUAUAUAUCCAUAUUGAAAUAUUUACAUACUUAGCUUUACUUUUAUGUUUCGUCUUAUUACAUGCUAUUCCCCUUUAGAAAAUUCCCCUCUAGUUCAUUUCCCCUUGGAUAAAUAAAAUGAUAAAAAUAAUAAUAGUAAUAAAUAAGUAGGUUAAAAUAAAUGAGUUUUUACUUAGUUAAAAUUUCCAAAAUAAGUUAAAAUAAAUGAGUUCUUUUAUUUAGUUAAAUCUCAAAAAAAAAAAAAUAGUUAAAAUAAUUGAGUUCUUUUAUUUAGUUAAAAUUUCAAAAAUUAGUUAAAAUAAAUGGGUUCUUUUACUUCGUUAAAAUUUCAAAAUUAGUCAAAGUCGUUAUGAGUUCUUUUACUUAGUUAAAAUUUCAAAAUUAGUCAAAAUCAUUUAUAGUCAAAUCGCCGGUCAACCGCAAGUUAGCGGGCAUUCCGAGGGUCUAACACCUUCUCGGAAUGUAUAUUGAACUUCGAACCCUUUUAUUUUCAAUUGAUUUUAUCUGUUUAAAUCUUUUGAAAACAUUAAGUUUUUUUCUUGAUUUUUAAUAAAAAAUUAAGUGGCGACUCUGUUCUUUUGGAAAUUCGAUUCUUCUUAAAUCAUAAGUUUGAUCGAUUUUUCGAAAACUCAGUCAUUUUUCUUUUAUUUAUAUUUUCUAGUAAAACACCGAGAACUAUUAUCUCUCUGUACCACUUCAUCAAGAUCCUUGUAAUGAACAAGCGCAUACCAUAAAUAAAAGUCGAUAAUAAAGCUCCACGUACUGUCAACAUAUAUAUUUGAUCGUUCUCACAUACUUAAAUUUUAAGAUGGACUGUACUGGACCAAAAAUCUCAUCCUGUGCAAUCAGCAUCAUCCUAACAAUUGAACAUUUUAUUUGUUAUGACAAUUUAUGGACGUUGAUGCUAAAAAUCACGUCUAUUAAAGUGAAAAUGUAUAUACCUUAACAUUAGAUAAGACAGUGGGAUUAAUAUAGUAGCCCUUUUUUGUAACACCCCAGAAACUAGGAAGUUGAACUAGUGAGUUCUAGAGUCUUGUAGUGGAGUUUUGGAGUGUCGUAUGAGGGUUAAAACUCAUAGAAACGAUUCAGGUUCUUAGAAUGACAUGUGUUGACACCCAAUUUUGGAUCUCCACAAUAUAUAUUAAUCACCAAGCUUCUUAAAUUCUAAACGAUUUGAAAUAAUUAGUUUUUAUAAAGUUCAAAAUAUUUUUUUUCAAGUUACUUUUAAUCAAUUUUAUCUUUUUAUAAUUUUUAGAUAAUAUAUAUGUUUUGCAUAAUUAUGUGUAUAAUUAGUAUAUUUUAUGAAUAUUCGAAAAUCGCCUCAAUUUUUUUUUUAGUUUUACUUUAAAUAGUUGGUUAAUUGGUUUAGUUAAUUAAUACUUAUAUUUUUGAGUUAUUAGUUUAUAAUUAAGUUAAUUAUUUUAUUUCGUUAAGAUUAAGAAGCUAACUAAUUAAUCAUAUUAAUUUAUCUUAUUUAAUUAUUAGUUUGGUUACUAAAUUUGAUCAAUGUGGCUAUAAUUGAAAUUCAUAUGGCUAUUGUGUAAUUGCAAUUUCAACCAUUCUUUUACCUCCAUUCAAUCCUUUGUAAAAUAAUUUGGGCCAUUUUGCUAACAUCCCAAAAGUCAGAUUAGCUAACCCCAUUCCCAGCCCACAUUACUACACAACAAUUCUAAAAUAACCCAGGCCCAAGACUAAUACAAUACCAGCAGCCCACCAUUCCAGCAAUACAUAAGUUACAACAACAACGUACAACAAUACCAAAUCGACCCACCCCCUAUACAUUUUCUUCUUCUUCCAGCAAAACAGCGACCAAACCCAGAACCUCAAAUCGCGACCCUAAGCCAUCACAAAAUCAUUACAGUUGGAAUAUUAUCGAGUCAUCCACCUCGUUACAGUUGGAAUAUUAUCGAGCCAUCCACCUCGUUACAAUUGGAAUAUUAUCGAGUCAUCCACCUCAUUACAAUUGGAUUAUUAUUAAGCCAUAUGGCUCGUUGCAGAGAUCAUCAUUGUUUGCCAUGCACAAAGCAAGCAAUGACAUCUCCAAAUCCUUAACAAAUCAUGAGUUGUAAUGCGCAUACGGUUUUCAAGAAAACAUCAUCUGUAUUUUUCAAGGGAGAAUUUUCUCCAUGCAUCGCAAGAAAAUCAACAUCGGCUGCAUUAUUUUCAUUGCAAGAACAACAUCAAGAGAAUCAUCAACAACGAUAUCAAGAGAACUAUCAGUAUAUUACAUCAACCUAUUUUAUUACUUUGACAUCAAAAGAAAAGUACAUGGAAGAUUAUAUUACAAAUAUGAAAUACGAGCUUUAUUUGGUUUACGUCAAACUGGAGGAAGCUGACGUCAAAUAUCCAAGGAGAGCAAUUAGUGACAAUAUGGUAAAAGGCACUAUCUCUUAUUUGAAUUACAUUUUUAUGCAAAUGAGUUUUAUCUCAGUAUUUAUCGAAAGCAUCCGCAAGGAUAAAUUCUCAAAACAAACCACAGGUGCGGACAAUAUCAAAAAGGAUGCAACACAACGUGUAACUUUUUCUUAGCAGCGAAUUGGGACAUAGUCCAAAGAGGAGUAUCAAACUCGUAGGACGCGAGCUGAGGAACGACUUCCACCACAAUCAAACCACACCACCAUCAAAAGGCAUGUGGGCAUUUCCUUGGGUUUAUCAGUUUCAAUUUCGCAUCCGAAAAACUUUCCACUCUCACCGGAGGCAGCUUUCCAAUCUGAGUGACAAUGUACCAAGAGCUUUGGAAAUUAUGUCCAUGUAAGUUCUUAAUUAUGGGUGUGAAGUGCGCCACAUUCAUGGCUAAGAGGUUGUAAGCCUCUUUUUCAUACUUGACUUACUUGUCACUCUUCCAAAAGUGAAGGUUAUCUAGCAUAAUAGAUUUCAUUUUCAACCGAUCGAGUCGAUCUACAAAUAGCCUGAUUCCUAAGGUUUAAGGAUAUGUAUGUUGACACCUAAUUUUGACUCUCACCGAUAAGAUUAAUUUUCAAGCUUCUUAAUUUUCAAUGAUUUGGAAUAAUUAGUUUUACAAAACUCAAAAAAAUAAAUAAAUUAUUUUCUAAGUUUUAAAGCAAUUUUAGUCAUUUUUAUAAUUUUAAAACAAUAUAAUAUUUUUAUAUAAAUUUUGUAUGUAAUUGUUACAUUUCUUACGAGCAUUCAAAAAUCAUUUAAAAAUAAAAUAAAAUUUACUUUUUAAAAAUGUUUUGAUAAUUAGCUCACUUAAUAUUAGUUUACAUUCCCGAAUCAGUUAUUUUUAUCUCGUUAAGAUUGAGAAGCUCAUAAAUCAAUUGUAUUAAUUCAUCUUAUUUGACUACUAGCCGAGUCUAUCCUAAUUAACUAAGGCGGUUAUAUUUAAAAUUUUCAAUUUGCUAUGAUUUAGACUCAUAUGGCCGAACUUUAAAUCCAACUCUAUCAUAUUCAAUUUAAAAGACCAAAUAUUGGACCCCUUUUUAUAUUCCCAUUUAAUCCCAACCCAAGUUCCCCUUUAUUCCCAGCAGCCCACCAAAUAAAAUCCAACCCAACUCUUUUCUCUUUUGUUUUCAGAUCACCCAGCCCACUCCAACUCCUUAACCCGACUUGACCCGACCCAUUUCCCCUAUUCCCAUUCACAAAAAAUAUCCAGAGAGUUGUACACGUUAACAGCAACAAGAACAACUUCAAAUGCUCACAUGGACCGAUAGAGUCAUUAAGGCUCGAUAGUAGCAGCGAAGCACGCGUCUACCCUCCUUUCCUCUUCCGGAAAGAGUCAAAAUUACAGGAAAAAGGGUGUUUACCCUUAAAAUGGUAGAAAUAAUUUUUGAGUUUGAAAUUCAAGUUGGCCUUAAUUCCAUCCGGAUUCCCCUCAAAAUCUACCAUAAUUUCCUCUAAAUAACAUCUUUUCCAUUCAUUUGUAAGGGGGUCGUCGAAUUUUUUCCUAGAACAAAAAAAAAAACAACCUAAACAGCUAGAGCAAAAAUAGUCGAAAUACACACUAAAUAAAUUAAGAGAGUAGAGAAGAUAUUCGGUCCUAAUCUAAAGUUCUCUAUUCUAAUUCGUUGCCAGUGCUUUCGCAAAGCUCAGUUGAGGUUGAGUUUUCGCUUGAGUCCACUGUGUUUUCCUUGUUCGUGCCGCGCAUUUGCGUGAAAGACGCUGCUCCCUACUCGUUCCCGUCUCUGUUUCGCUGCCUCGAAAAAGGUAUACGGCUUGCCUCUUCUCACAGUCUAUGUCCUAAUUUGGAUUUGUAUUUGUUUGUUUAGUUAGUUACGUUGUUCUGGGUUUGACCAUUUUGAUGUGAAGUGUUGCUUCAUGUUCAUGCAGUAUUAAUUACAUUUAGCUGUUCUCAUGAUGAAAUUAGGCAGAAUCGAUGUCGAUUUUUUAGUCAUAAAAUUUUGUCUACAUAAUCUUGAAUAUUGCACCCUCAUCGCUUACUCAGUUCACUCUUUCGUUGUUUAUCAUGCUUGUCACCCGCUUGGAUGCUCAUUAUUACAAUUGGUUCCUAUUGUUGUAAACAUAAUUUCAUGUUUAUACCACUGAUUCACAGAAAUAUUAGAAGUACUCCUCAAGCAUGCGAUUAGCUCAAAUCCUCUGUGUCUUAUCACCUAUAUGUCUUAUUAGCAUUUUCUUUUGUCCUAAUGCUCAUAUUUGCAAGUCAAGUCGGUAUAAAAUCCGAGCUUUCUUGUUUUAUUUUCUGUUUUAGUUUUAUUGGAGUUAUAGUGUUCAAGGUCAUUUGAAGUGUGAUUUUGUUGGUGUUGACUUCUCGUUGUAUGUCUUGCCGAAUACUCGGCCCCCCUAUGUAUUCCCUUGGUUUUGAUGUAUCGUGUUUAUAGCUUCCGUUUUGAAGCAAAUAAGGUCCAUUUAUGUUUGAUGGCUUUCUAGUAAUGUGUAAAACCGAGAUCCCGUAAACCAUUGUGUGAAGUUGUGUUGUUGUUAAGUUUAUUUAUUUCUUCUAGUCGGAUGUAGAUUCUUGUCUAAUCUAUUUCUUGCCUCACUGUAGGUUAUUAAGUAUUCAAUUAAUAAUAGCAAAUAGCUCAUAUGGGUUUGAAUAUUCCGUACAUUUUAUUAUAUUUCAAACAUGCUAUAUUAUGGGAUGUUAUUUGAUAUACCUUGCUAAUAUUUGUCUAAAUAUUUCCUUUAGAAUGAUUAGAUGUGAGGUGUCUUUCUAGUAUGAUAGAUAGGGGUACUACUUUAUUGUUUAAUUUUAAAAAAAAUGUGGUUUCCUCUUGCCAAAUGUGUGCUUUCCUUUCAUUUUUGAAUCUUGUGUUUAUUUGAAAAUUUGUCAAAGUUCAUUGGGAGUGGCUUUUUCUUUCGUUUUGAGUUGUCUAGUUUGCUUUGCUAUGAAUUAAAAUCAUAUUUCUUAUUUCCUUAUCUCAUAUGCUAAUGUUGUCUUUUCUUUCGUAUGUUGGAUUGUCUCCGAGUCCUCUUGGACCCCAACCUUUUCCCCCAUAUUUCGGAUAGGCCAUAAAGGCCCAAUUACAUUUUUUUCGAUCGAGUCAACCCCCAUUUCCGAGUGAGAGAAAUUGAUGAACAGGUGGAAAGCAAUAUAGGUGGCUGGAAAUUUAAUUUGCAGGCCUCAAAAGCCCAAAAGAGGGCAGUAUACACGAUGUAUACACAAGUAUACAUAGAAAGAACAGCGCCUUUAUACACUGAUAUACGAGUCCAGUUCAACAAAUACGGUUAUAAAAAAAGAAAUACAGGUUGCAGGGGACAAAAUAUAUUGUAUACAUUUGGUAUAUGGUUCAAGAUACAGGAAACGGGGUUGAUAUACAAGUCGUAUGCACUGAUAUACGGCUUUCGUAUACAAAAACGUGAAUUGGUUAAAAGUCCUAAGAAUCAGCAGCUUUGGCCCAAUGCUUCUGGGCAGUAAUAGGCCCAAAUUCAAUUAUUUCCUUUCCCUUUCCUAUUUAUUUGAUAUCGUAUUUGACUAACGCUUUGAUUAUCUUAUGGUUUAAUUAAAUUAAAUUCCUCAAGAUAGCCAUUUCAUUUAUAUGUAUAUGUAAAUUAAAGCUAUUUUUGUUUUAUACUUAGCUUUAAUUUUAUUUGUCUUGUUACUUAAGUUAUUUCCCCUUUUGAAAAUUCCCAUUUAGUUCAUACCCCCUUAAAAUAAAUAAAGUGAUAAAAAUAAUAAUAGUAAUAAAUAAGUAGGUUAAAAUAAAUGAGUUUUUACUUAGUUAAAAUUUCCAAAAUUAGUUAAAAUAGAGUUCUUUUAUUUAGUUAAAAUUUCAAAAUUAGUUAAAAUAAAUGAGUUUUUACUUAGUUAAAAUUUCCAAAAUUAGUUAAAAUAGAGUUCUUUUAUUUAGUUAAAAUUUCAAAAUUAGUUAAAAUAAAUGAGUUUUUACUUAGUUAAAAUUUCCAAAAUUAGUUAAAAUAGAGUUCUUUUAUUUAGUUAAAAUUUCAAAAUUAGUUAAAAUAAAUGAGUUUUUACUUAGUUAAAAUUUCCAAAAUUAGUUAAAAUAAACGAGUUCUUUUAUUUAGUUGAAAUUUCAAAUAUUAGUUAAAAUAAAUGAGUUAUUUUACCUAGUUAAAAUUUGAAAAUUAGUCAAAGUCGAUAUGAGUUUUUUUACUUAGUUAAAAUUUCAAAAUUAGUCAAAAUCAUUUUGGUCAAAUCGCCGGUCAACCGCGAGUUAGUGGGCAUUCCGAGGGCCUAACACCAUCUCGGAAUGUACAUUGAACUUUGAACCCUUUUAUUUUCAAUGGAUUUUAUCUGUUUAAAUCUUUUGAAAACCUUUAGUUUUUUCUUGAUUUUUCACUAAAAAUUAAGUGGCGACUCUGUUCUUUUGGAAAUUCAAUUUUUCUUAAACUAUAAGUUUAAUCGAUUUUUCUAAAACUCAGCCAUUUUCUUUGAAUAUACCUUUUUUAAGUAAAACAAGAAUGACGACUCCGCUGGGGAUUUAGUUAAGUUCUAACCAUAAGAUUUGACUUAUUUGACUAAUUGUAUUAAUUGCUAAAUUGUUUAUCUGCUCUCAACGUGUUUAAUUUGUUAUAACUGUCAUUGCAAUUCAUGGUAUAUUCCAUCGUAUGUAUAGUAUAUUAAGGACGAUUUCUGCAUCAUCGCAGCCGAACUUCUUAUACUAAACCCUUUUUCGGAAGGAUCGGCGAUUUAUUGAUAUGUCAUGCGUCCAAUGGUUGUCGUGAAUUCUAGCCUAAGUUGUUCACUUCGGUUCCCGAUCUUUCAAAGCCACUCUUAGUCAACUAGCGUAGAGCGAAACCAAAUCCCUGAUUUAGCAAAUUUUGAACUAAGUCGACCCAACACUCAAGGCGUGUUGGGCUCAUUAGAAGUCCAUCUUGUGUCUAUUUGGCCCAUUUGCCAAUAAAAAGACAAUCAUACUUAUGUGUUUUAAUUGAAGGUUGUAUAUGUCAUUUUUAAACAAAUCAAUUAUCAAGUGGGGGUGGGGGUUAACUUACAUUUGUUUGUUUUUCUUGUAGAAUGAAUCCGACGUUUGAGCCGUUGAAAAGCCGAAUGGUGACUAUACCUGAUCCUUACCUCCAAGUUUGGUUGAAAUUCAUGAACAAGGAAGAUAAGAAGAAAAUUCAAAGACACAUAGGCCAUCUCCCGUCAUUAAUGGAAAUGGUGGCUUACCCCAACUUGAUUGGAACGAUGGUGAAAUUUUGGGACAGCAACAACAUGGUAUUUCGGUUUGGGGAAGUAGAGUUGACCCCGAUAAUAGAUGAAGUUCUUGCAAGUUACGAGAGUAUCGGCAUGUGCAACAAGAGGAAACACCAACCCGAUUUUGAUCUUCUCUUUCCAAAAGUAUGGGAUUUUACCGAAAUCAAAGAAAAUAUGUCACUCGUCAAAGCUGAAAGGAUGGACAGGCUUCCCGGGCCAAAUAUUCCACUUCGAAAGUUGUAUUAUCGAUUUGGACGUGCAAGAGCUUACGAGAAGUUCAAAGAAGAGUUUGUUUCGGAAGAAAGAUGGAAGGAAACACGCCCCUUCGCUUUUGCGAUAUGUCUACUUGGGACAAUGGUAUUUCCCCAAAGACCAAACUACACCAUCCAUCCAAGUGUAGUAAUGGUUACUCAUGCUAUUUUUAGUGGAGUAGGCUAUGGGCCUGUAAGAAAGUACUACAAUUUGGUUCCUAUGAUCCUUGCUGACAUUUACAGGGCGUUGGAUAUGUGUAAAAAUGGCACAUGUUUCUUUCAAAGGUGCAACCUGAUACUUCAAUGGUGGAUGAUGAGACACUUGAUCAAAGCUCAUGAUCCAACAGAACCAGAUCCCUUGGAAAGACCAAACAGGCUCGAAAGUCACGAUUGGUGGGUGCAACGUAAUCAUUUCAAUAGGACGGGAGGCAAAGAAUUUUGGUACCCGAGACUUCAGGGUUUGAGAGAGGAAAAUGUGCAGUGGUCGAUCCAAUGCUUAGUAGUAACUAAACAAAUUGUGAUCCGAAGCGAAAAGGCCCACUACUUGAUAUUUGCUGGGUUGAGAGGAACUCGGCCAUAUGCUCUUUCUCGAGUACUUAGACAGCUAGGAGGGAAACAAGAGCUUCCUCAGAUAGAAGACAUGACAAGAUUUGUGACGGAUCAUGAAAAUGGCGAAGUCGCUUUUACUAAAAAGAUGCUUCAAUUAUGGAAGACUCGAAGGAUAUUGGGUGAGCCGGUGCCAAAUAGGAUUCGUUCGAAAUGUUCUAAGGAUUACAAAGAAUGGUUAAAGAAGAGUCUCGCCGGAAUUAUCGAACCCGGUCUAAACGUUCCCCAUAUUAUUGCAGAUAUUGGAGCCAAGCAUCAAAUCCGACUUCAUCAACUCCAAGAGAAGUUUGAUAGGAAUGAGUUAGAGCAUCAACGUCGACACUCAGAAGACGCCAAAGUCAUAGCUCAGUUGAAGCAAGAGCUACAAAAAUCCAAGCAAUGUAUGUCAUAAUUAUAUGAUAGCAUGGAGUAGCAGAUUCAGUCGGUCGAGAGGUUCAGACAUCAAGAAGGGGCUCGGUUGGCAAGGGAUCACCUAUGGGCGAACAAAUAUGCUAUGUGGGAAGAGGUCAGCAUAGCCAAGAGGAGCAGACUUGGGGAAAGAUCAGGAUGAGCUUGGAGUUUGUAAUCAUCCCCUGCGUGGGAUUGCUUUAUUUGUACUUUGUCUUGUAAUUUAUUUUCCGAACUCUUUUCCCCGAUUUUUAUGUUUGUCAAACUAUUUUUUGAAUUGCUAUUAAUGAAAUAUUUUGGGGAUAAUGAAUUGGCUUAAAAAGACAUAUAUAUCCUUCAAUUCGCUAAGCCUACCCUUGGCACAAAAGGGUCACAUACAUGUUUAGGACGCGAUAUUUGUCUGUUUACUUGUGUGCUUUAACUGUUUAUGUGACAAGUUGCUUUGAAUGAGGGCAUUUUUAGCCCACUCCUUGUCAAAAUUUUCUGAAAAUGCCAAAUACAAGUCACUACCAAAAUGUCCGACCAAACUUCCACGAGUCUUGAGUUUCUCAGCCACAAAUAAAAUCUUACUACCAAAUCAUUAAAUGUUACUCUAUCAUCUCAGGAAAGGUGAAAUUGCUGCUAAGAUGGAAAAGGGCAAGAAUGUCGAAGUGAAAACGACUGAGGAGAGUCUAAGGAUGAAACUGCGUCGACUCAAACAAGAGAUUCGAGAGAUGGGAGAAAGAAGAAUAGAAGUAGAAUUAUCCACCGCAGUUGCGCAAGCCAAAAGCGCAGCACUGGACACAGAGUUAGCGGCUAAGAUGGCAAGAUAUGCUGUGAUGAACGAGGAGACAGUUGCUAUGCGGAAGGAACAUGCUGCCUUCAACAAUGAUAUAACCAUGAGACUUCAAAAACUACAUGGAAAAUACCAUUUCUUCAACCAAGAGGCCACCAACAGUGAUCCUAAAGGCACUGGACCUGAAUCUGUUGAAGAGGAACUUGAGGAGGAAAUUGUCUAUAGACCUCCUUUCAAGGGACGGUGGAAAGAAGAGAAUGAGGAAACAGCCCCCGAAGCAUAUGAGUUUACCCCCCGUGGCUAAAGUGAAUGAGGAAACCGCCCCCGAAGCAUAUGAGUUUACCCCCCGUGGCUAAUACGACAGUCAGAAGAAGAGGUUUUGAUGAAGGCACUAUCUAUCUUUUAGGAGCUUUAUUGCAUGUUUUCCUUUCACUUUCCUUGUAAUCAAUCAAAUGAAUGGACGAAAAUGAAAAUUUCCUUUUUAUUCGAACUACGUAGGCAGCCUUUCAAGGCUCGGCCCCUAUCCUUUUCAAAUUUUCUUUUCCCCCUCUUUCAUUCUACAAGGAAACAUUGAGUUCGGAUCCAACAGAUGCCGAAGAUGCAACAAGAAGACCUUAGCUCAACGCAAUUUAACCUUUCUGAGUNNNNNNNNNNNNNNNNNNNNNNNNNNNNNNNNNNNNNNNNNNNNNNNNNNNNNNNNNNNNNNNNNNNNNNNNNNNNNNNNNNNNNNNNNNNNNNNNNNNNNNNNNNNNNNNNNNNNNNNNNNNNNNNNNNNNNNNNNNNNNNNNNNNNNNNNNNNNNNNNNNNNNNNNNNNNNNNNNNNNNNNNNNNNNNNNNNNNNNNNNNNNNNNNNNNNNNNNNNNNNNNNNNNNNNNNNNNNNNNNNNNNNNNNNNNNNNNNNNNNNNNNNNNNNNNNNNNNNNNNNNNNNNNNNNNNNNNNNNNNNNNNNNNNNNNNNNNNNNNNNNNNNNNNNNNNNNNNNNNNNNNNNNNNNNNNNNNNNNNNNNNNNNNNNNNNNNNNNNNNNNNNNNNNNNNNNNNNNNNNNNNNNNNNNNNNNNNNNNNNNNNNNNNNNNNNNNNNNNNNNNNNNNNNNNNNNNNNNNNNNNNNNNNNNNNNNNNNNNNNNNNNNNNNNNNNNNNNNNNNNNNNNNNNNNNNGCAAACCACCAAACUGGCCUGCCCCCUCAAAGCCAAAAUGUUAACCACUAGCACAUUUCCUUCCAUCACCAAAAUCAACAUACCAACCCUCAGACUUUCCCUCAAAAUUACCAAGUCACUCAAAAUGCCCAAAGUCCCUCUAUUGCUCCACCACUACCACAAAAGGCCACUUUCCAAAUACCAGUCCCCAACGAGCAUGACCCCCAUGGUUCGGAGCUUGACCACUAUGAGGAGAGAGAGAGAGUGGAGGUCAAAAGAAGAGACCGCCAAGAUAGAUAUGAAGGAGGAAAUUAGAAAAGCCAUGAACGAAUUGAACUGCAUUCCUGAGGUCGCCGGGUUGAGUUACGAAGACCUGUGCAUUCAUCCAAAUUUUGGACCUCCCGAAAGGGUUCAAGGUACCAAAAUUUGACAUCUUCGGAGGGACGGGGAACCCCUUAGCACAUUUGAGGGCCUACUGUGACCAACUCGUGGGAGUUGGGAGAGACGAAGCUUUGUUAAUGCGGCUUUUUAGUCGAAGUCUGAGCGGAGAGGCUCUAGAAUGGUUUACGUCUCAUGAAACGAGACAGUGGUCUAGCUGGAACGCUCUGGCUAAGGACUUGAUCGAACGAUUCACCUACAAUGUGGAGAUCGUUCCUAAUCGUUACUCCUUGGAGAAGAUGAAGCAUAAGUCGAUCGAAAGUUAUAGAGAAUUCGCAUAUAUGUGGCGAAAGGAGGCAGCUAGAGUUAGACCUCCUAUGUCAGAAAAGGAAAUUGUCGAGGUGUUUGUGCGGGUGCAAGAGCCCGAGUAUUAUGACAGAAUCAUGUUGCUCGUUGGAGCAAAAUUUGCUGAGAUAGUCAAAGUAGGUGAGACUAUCGAAGAUGGAUUGAGAACUGGGAAGAUUGCCCGUGUUGCUGCCUCGCCCGGAUCCUCAGGCUUGUUGAAGAAGAAAAGAGAUGAUGUGUCAUCUAUCUCUUAUGAGGGGAAGAAGACCCCAAGGAAAUCAUCAUCAUAACAAGGUCGUUCUCGACCUUCACAGAGUUCGUACCCGGCUUGUUAUGCCCAGGCUGAUUACCAAAAUACCCCUCCCCCCAGUAAUCAAAAUACCCCUCAUCCCAGUUAUCAAAAUACUCCCCCUCCUAGCUACCAAACUCCCCCUCCAGUUAUCAAACUCCAUCUCAUUACUACCAAAAUGCCGCCUCCAACUGUGCCAACAUUCAGACAAAUUACCAAACGCCUCCCCCAAUGUACCAAACCCCAGCUCCACUUUACCAAAAAUAUCCCCUCGAACUACCAAGCUCCACAACCAAACUACCAAACCAACUCAUAUCCCAGAUAUCAAGCCCCCCGUCUGAAUGCUCCAAAUUAUUGCCAAAUGCCUCCCCCUCAACAAGGAAAUUACGAUCCCUCCCGUCCCAGAUUUGAAAAAAAGCCUGCCAGAAUUUUCACUCCACUUAUUGAAAGCCGAACAAAGCUGUUCGAGCGAUUAACUGCGGCAGAAUAUAUUCAUCUAGUAGGGCCCAAAACGGUUGACACUAGCUCAAAGUUUUACAGACCUGAUCAGAGGUGCACGUAUCACUCCAACAGUGUUGGACAUGAUACUGAGGACUGUAUCAACCUGAAGCAUAAGAUCCAAGAGUUAAUUGACCAAAAUGUGGUCUCUAUUCAGACGGUCGCGCCCAAUGUCAAUAGUAAUCCUUUGCCAAAUCAUGGAGGCGCCACUAUCAAUAUGAUAGAGACAGAUGAUGACUGGUGCAUGACGAAGGCAAUAGUUCUGAUUUCCCCUGAUGAACUGGAAAGGGCUGUAGCUUCGUUGAGCAUCAGAGAAAAGAAAGAGUUUGUGAUUCUGACACCCGAGAAGGUUGUUGCCUUGGUGCCACGAGAAAACUCUUACCCCAACCAAAAGUUUGUGAUUGAAAACGGCUGUUACCCAGGGUAUGACCAUAUCCGGCAGGUGCUACACACCGGAAGAGUUAGCUCAAUGAGGGCAGAAGAAAGACCAAACAAAAAGGCCGAUCAGUAAAGCCAAGGCCGAGGAGUUAUGGAGAAAAAUGUAGCUGAAAGAUUAUUUUAUUGUGAAGCAUUUGGAGAAAACGCCGGCUCAGAUCUCUGUGUGGGCCUUGUUAAUGAGUUCGCAGUUACAUAGGCAGGCUCUGAUGAGAGCUUUGGAUGAUACUUAUGUGCCUGUGGGUACUAACAGUGACAAUUUAGCACGUCAUCCAAGGAAGAGUUGCCCUUUGAAGGGAGGAUGCACAACAAAGCUCUGCACAUCACCAUCAAAUGCCGGGACAAAGUUAUAAAUCGUGUUUUGGUCGACGAUAGGUCCGGUCUCAACAUUUGCUCGCUUUCGACUCUCAAGCAGCUGAAAUUCGACUUGGGAAAGGUUCAACGAAACCAGGUCAAUGUAAGAGCUUUCGAUGGAGUGCAGAGAGACACUAUAGGGGCAGUAAAUUUGGAUAUUCAGAUGGGGCCUGCAGAAUUUAAUGUGGAGUUUCAGGUGUUGGACAUCAAUACCAGCUACAAUUUGCUUCUAGGAAGACCGUUUAUCCACAUGGCUGGGGUUGUGCCUUCCACCCUUCACCAAUUGAUGAAAUUUGUUUGGAAGGAUCAGGAAUUCAUGGUGAGGGGAGUCCCUUUGAUGGGUAUGCGUCGAUUGUUCACAAGGUUUCCCGAGGUUGUGAUUUCUACACGGUGGAGCUGUUAAAUACCACCGGUGAUGAUUUGGCUCCGCAACCUCUUAUGCCCUCCGUGUACAAGAUGAAUGCUACUGUCAUGCUCAAGAGUGGUUUCGAACCAGGUCUCAGAUUGGGGAAGCACUUUCAAGGAAUUGUUGAGCCUGUCCAAAUUCUGGCCAAAGGAGCAAAGUUCGGUUUGGGGUAUGUCCCCACAGAUGCUGACGAAGCAGAGAUGAAGAACAAGAGUGUUGAUCAAGCAUUGGCUAGGCCAAUUCCUCAUCUGUACCAGUCAUUCCCGGUGCGGGAGCACGCCAACGAUGGUGGUCUCGGAGAAGGAAUCUGGGGCCUUUUUUAGGAGAUUGAUGCGGUUAUUGAGGAAGAGGCUGGGACAUCAGGCAUCCGUGAUGCAGAACCUGAUGAACAAUUGCAGAACUGGACCUCCACACCACUCUUGAUUUCCUGCUCAUCUGAGUAGAAAGGACGAGCAUUUUGUUUGUUUUAAAAUCGGUGGCAGUCCGGAAGAGGCCCGACACCCACCCUUUAUGCAAUUGUUAUUUGUUUGAAACUUUUAAAUUCAUUUGUGAUGUUUAAAAAGGCAAAAUGGCCCUCGGCCAUGGUCAAAGUUUGCGCUUGUCUUUCAAUUUAAAUGAAAAACCUCUUUUAUCGAAAUGUGUUUGUUUACUUAUCUGUUUAUAUUUUACUGUCCUAACUUUGUUUGUUUAUGAUUUCAGUAAUAUUAAUUUAAAACCUGCCAAUGUCAUGUCAUGUCAUGAACCGAGUGAACAAAAUGAGACAUGUGAUGAUGAGUGUGGGGAAUAUGAAGAAGAAAAUGAGGUACCCGAACAUGUUGCUGAGGAGUUUCGACAAUUCGAGAAUCAACACAAACCAAAUUUGGAAGAAACCGAAACUGUGAAUCUCGGAGAUAAAGAAUGUGUUAAAGAAGUCAGAAUCAGCGUCCAUCUGACUGAAGCUCAAAGAAAGGACUUGGUUCGUUUGCUCAGGGAGUACAUUGAUGUAUUUGCCUGGUCUUAUAAAGACAUGCCAGGACUGAGUACAAAUAUGGUGUCCCACAAGUUAAGUUGUCGAUCAAUCCAGAUUUCAGUCCAGUAAAACAAAAGACUCAAAAAUUCAAGCUUUAGUUGAGUUUGAAGAUCAAAGAGGAAAUUACAAAACAAAUCGAGUCUCAAAUAGUGGAAGUGACGUAAUAUCCGACUUGGUUAGCCAAUGUUGUUCCGGUUGCGAAGAAAGACGGAAAAAUUAGAAUUUGUGUUGACUACAGAGAUCUCAACAAAGCUAGCCCGAAAGAUAAUUUUCCAUUGCCAAACAUUCACAUCCUCAUUUAUAACUGCGCUAAGCAUGAAAUACAGUCAGUUGUGGAUUGUUAUGCGGGUUACCACCAGAUCCUGAUGGACGAAGAAGAUGCAGAAAAGAUAGUUUUUAACACGCCUUGGGGUGUAUAUCAUUAUCGGGUGAUGCCUUUUGGUCUCAAGAAUGCCGAUGCUACUUACAUGAGGGCCAUGACGACCAUCUUUCACGAUAUGAUUCAUAAGGAGAUCGAGGUGUAUGUAGAUGAUGUCAUAAUCAAGUCCCGCGAGAGUUCGGAUCACUUGACUCACUUGAGGAAGUUCUUUGAUCGCUUGCGCCGAUACAAUUUGAAGUUAAAUCCCGCCAAGUGUGCUUUUGGAGUGCGAGCUGGCAAGUUGUUGGGAUUUAUAGCCAGCAGGAGGGUCAUUGAGCUUGACCUUUCCAAAAUCAAGGCGAUCCAAGAAUUACCUUCUCCAAAGACCAAGAAAGAGGUGAUGAGUUUUCUGGGAAGGUUGAACUACAUUAGUCGGUUCAUAGCUCAAUCCACCGUGGUGUGUGAGCCCAUCUUUAAGUUAUUGAAAAAGAUGCCUCAACCAAGUGAACCGGAGAAUGUCAAACUGCUUUUGAUGCCAUCAAAAACUAUUUAUCCAAUCCACCGGUGUUGGUCCCUCCGCGAGAAGGGAGUUCGUUAUUGCUAUAUUUGUCGGUCUUGGAUAAUGCAUUGGGAUGCGUGCUUGGUCAACAUGAUGAAACAGGGAAGAAGGAGCGAGCCAUUUAUUACUUGAGCAAAAAGUUCGCUCCAUAUGAGGCUCGUUACACUCUUUUGGAGAGAACAUGUUGUGCUUUAACUUGGAUCGCUCAGAAGUUGAGACAUCAUUUGUCUUCUUAUACCACGUACCUUAUUUCCAGGAUGGACCCGUUGAAGUAUAUUUUCCAGAAAGCAAUGCCGACAGGGAAGUUGGCUAAAUGGCAAAUGCUUUUGAGUGAGUUUGACAUUGUGUAUGUGACUCAAAAGGCGAUAAAAGCACAAGCCUUGGCUGAUCAUCUUGCAGAGAAUCCGGUUGAUGAAGAGUAUGAACCGCUCCAGACUUAUUUUCCCGAUGAGGAAGUUUCGUUUGUUGGUGAAAAUAUUUCUGAAGCAUACCCUGGUUGGAGAGUAUUCUUUAAUGGAGCGACGAAUCACCAAGGGAAAGGUAUCGGAGCGGUCUUAGUAUCAGAAUCCGGUCAGCAUUAUCCUAUGGAGGCUAAACUCCGAUUUAAUUGCACGAACAACAUGGCUGAGUAUGAAGCUUGCAUCCUCGGUCUGAAGAUGGCAAUUGAUAUGAACGUUCAUGAGCUGUUGGUUAUUGGAGAUUCAGAUUUGCUAAUUCAUCAAGUUCAAGGAGAAUGGGCCGUGAAGAACCCAAAAAUCAUACCGUAUGUUCAGUAUAUACAGAAGUUGUGCAAGAGAUUUCGCAAGAUUGAAUUCAGGCACACUCCCAGGACACAGAAUGAGUUGGCCGAUGCUCUUGCAGACACAAAAUGAAUUGGCUGAUGCUCUUGCCACAAUCGCCUCAAUGAUUAAACAUCCAGAUACAAGUUAUAUUGAUCUAGUGGAUAUAGAGGUAAAAGAGCAGCCUGUCCAUUGUUCGCAUGUUGUAGCGGAACCAGAUGGUCUGCCUUAGUAUUUUGACAUCAAGAAGUAUUUAGAGGACGGGACUUAUCCUGAGAAUGCAAUGUUCAACCAAAAGAAGUCGAUACGCCGCAUGGCCCUUAAUUUCUUUGCAAGUGGGGAAAUCCUUUACAGGAGGACUCCAGAUUUAGGUCUUCUCAGAUGCGUUGACGCUAAUGAAGCUGCAAAGCUUCUGGACCAGAUACAUACCGGAGUUUGUGGUACUCAUAUGAAUGGGCUCACUUUGACAAGAAAGAUCCUCCGAGCCGAUUAUUUUUGGAUGACUAUGGAGCAUGAUUGUGGCAAGUUUGUGCAGAAGUGUCAUAAAUGUCAAGUGCAUAGAGAUUUGAUUCGAGUGCCACCUCAUGAACUUAAUGCCAUGAGUUCACCUUGGCCCUUUGUAGCUUGGGGCAUGGAUGUCAUCGGUCCGAUAGAGCCAGCCGCCUCUAACGGACACAGAUUCAUUUUGGUUGCCAUUGACUACUUCACCAAGUGGGUGGAAGCAGCUUCGUAUAAAUCGGUGACCAAGAAGGUUGUAGCUGAUUUUGUUCGCAACAAUUUGAUAUGUAGGUUNNNNNNNNNNNNNNNNNNNNNNNNNNNNNNNNNNNNNNNNNNNNNNNNNNNNNNNNNNNNNNNNNNNNNNNNNNNNNNNNNNNNNNNNNNNNNNNNNNNNNNNNNNNNNNNNNNNNNNNNNNNNNNNNNNNNNNNNNNNNNNNNNNNNNNNNNNNNNNNNNNNNNNNNNNNNNNNNNNNNNNNNNNNNNNNNNNNNNNNNNNNNNNNNNNNNNNNNNNNNNNNNNNNNNNNNNNNNNNNNNNUUGUAUGGGUUCGCAAGCGGAUUGAUCAGUUAACAUUGAUUGAUGAGAAGAGAAUGAUUGCUGUUUGUCAUGGACAACUAUAUGGACAGAGAAUGAUUCGUGCUUUCCACAAGAAAGUAAGAGCCAGGAUAUUUGAAAUUGGCCAGCUGGUCCUUAAACGCAUUUUCCCUCAUCAGGAUGAGUACAAAGGGAAAUUUGCACCAAAUUGACAAGGACCCUACAUGGUUCGCAAAGAAUUAUCUGGAGGUGCCUUGGUCCUGUCGAAGAUGGAUGGCACCGAAUGGAUGAAACCGAUCAAUUCAGAUGUUGUCAAGAGACAUUAUGUGUGAAGUAUCAGUUUGUAUCAUUUCUUUGUAAUCGUUUUAUUUGCUUGUAAUCGCCUCGUUUAAAAUUUUAUCCCUUUUGUAAUGAACUACGUCUGACCUGAAUUCUCAAGAAGGAGAUACGUAGGCGGCCUCGGUCACCCCUUUUAUUCCUUUUUAAUUUUUCUUCGUAUUUGAACUACGUUCGACCUGAAUUCUCAAGAAUGAGAUACGUAGGCGGCCUAUGUCGGCCUCGGUCGGGUUUUUUUGUAAUUUUUCUUAUCUUUGAUAAUCAUUGAGAGGGAACUACGUUUGACCUGAUUCCUGCCUCAACGGGAUACGUAGGCACCACAAGAGCUCGGUCAUAUUUCCCAUAAGAUUUCUAUUUCCUUCACAAUAGAAACUGGGACAGAAUUUUUGAGAGGGACUCAAAAAGUCUCAAGAAGAAGAUCUCUCCAACAAAACCAAGAUUGAACUUACUUCGAGAUUUGCAACUGGGACAGAAUUUUUGAGAAAAUCUAAAAAAUUCCGUAAUUUACUUGCCAACAGUUCGAGAUAAGCCAAGACAAAUAGCUGGGACAGAAAUUUUGAGGAUGGCCUCAAAAUUUCAACAGGGUUUAUCGGCAGUUUAGAGUAACUUUGAAUACUUCCUAACAAGUAAUCAGAUAGAUAUCGAAACAUCAACUCCCAAUGACAUUCGUUAAGCUUGACGUGACAUGACACUUGGCAGUGAUCUUUUCCAAACAUUAUUUUUGAAAUGUCUUGUCUUAUCUAUCAAUUAUUUUGCACAAAAAUGUCUUGUCUUAUCUAUCAAGAGACGGGAGAUCAGAGAAAUCAACAGGAGAUAGCGAGACAAGGAGCAGACAACCGAAGAGAUCAACACAGAUCAAUUCAUUUUUAAACUAACAAUUUUUUCUGUGGAUGCAGGUCUAUAGGAAAUAGAUUAUGCUGCUUAUAUCAAAGAUUUUGAAAUAUGAAUAACAUUAUUUCAUCCAAUUCCCUACAAAGCGAAGUCCAUAAUGAACAUGCAAUUAUGUUCGGAGAUGGGACAAAAGAAAACCUUAAAGAGAGAAAUAUUAUUAUUUUCCAGCAACUAAAGAUACCUGGAAGAUAUUUAUCUACAUUACAUUAUCAGAUAUGAUAAUAUUCUUACCCUGAAGGUUAUUUAUUUAUAUUGUCGAUUGAGACGAUAUCACUACCCGGAGAGUCAUUUAUAUCGUAUCGUCAAAUGAGAUGAUACCACUACUCCGAGGGUCAUUUCCUUUAUAUUGUCGAUUGAGACGAUAUCACUAUCCGGAGAGUCAUUUAUAUCGUAUUGUCUAAUGAGAUGAUACCACUACUCCAAGAGUCAUUUGAUUAUAUUGUCAAUUGAGACGAUACCGUCAUCCAAAAGAUACCCAGAAGAUCACUCAAGUUGCUCGAUGAAGCAUUAUCUUCGUUCUGUAUCAGGGAGGCAUCAUCAAAAGAUUCAUGCAUCGCGGAAAAGAUAUUCACACAUUGUGAGAAAAGAGAUUCAUGCACCGCAAGAGAAAAAGUCAUGCAUCGCGAGAAAGAGAUUCAUGCAUAGCAAGAGAAGGAUUAAUGCAUCGCGGAAACGAAAUCAUGCAUCGCGGAGAAGUUAUCAUACAUUGCAAGAGGAGAAGUCAUACAUAGCAAAAAAAGAGAUUCAUGCAUUACAAAAGAAUGAAGCUCAUGCAUCGCAAAAGAAAGAAAGCAUGCAUUGCAAGAGAAAGAAGUCAUGCACCGUGGAGAAGUCAUGCAUAGCAAGAGAAAGAAGUCAUGCAUCGCGGAGAAGUCAUGCAUUGUAAGAGAAGAUUCAUGCAUCGCAAGUGAAGAUUCAUGCAUCGCAAAAAGAGAUUCAUACAUCGCGGAAAAAGGAUUCAUGCAUUGCAAGAGAAGAUUCAUGCAGCGCGAAAAGAGAUUCAUACAUCGCGGGAAAGAGAUUCACUAAGAUUCGCCUAUCAAAAGAAGAUCGACAUCGGCUGCAUCAUUUUCUUGCAACAACGACACCAAAAGAACUAUCAACAUAUUACAUCAGCCUAUUUUUAUUACUUUGACAUCAAAUUAAGAGUACAUUGAAGAUUAUAUUGCAAAUAUGAGACACAAGCUUUAUUUGCUUCACGUCAAACCCGAUGGAGUUGACGUCAAAUGUUCAAGGAGAACAAUUAAGUGUCAACACGGUAAAAGACAUUGUCUCCCAUUUGAAUUACAUUUUUAUGCUAAUGAGUUUUAUCUCAGUCUUUGCCGAGAGCAUCCGAAAGGAUGAGUCUCCAAAACAAACCACAGGUGCGGACGACAUCAAAAUGGAUGCAGCACAACGUGGAACUUUUUUUAGCAGCGAACUGGGACAUAGUCCAAAAAGGAGUGUCAAACUCUUAGGACGCGAGCAGAGGAGCGACUUCCACCACAAUCAAACCACACCCCUAUCAGAAGGCAUGUGGGUUUUUCUUAGGUUUGUCAAUUUCAGUUUCGCUUUCGGAAAUUUUUUGGUCUCUACCGGAAGCAGCUUUCCAAUCCGAGUGACAAAUGUGCCAAGAGCUUUGGGAAUUAUGUCCGUGUAAGUUCUUAAUUAUGGGUGUGAAGCGCGCCACAUUCAUGGCUAAGAGGUUGCAAGCCUCUUUUUCAUACUCGACUUGCUUUGUCACUUUUCCGGAACCAAAUGUUAUCUUGCAUAAUAGAUUUCAUUUUCAACCGAUAGAGUCGAACUACAAGCAGCCUGGUUCCCUAAGUUGAGGGAUAUGUAGGCGGAAUCAAUGUUGAAACUCGGCUGUAUUCCAUCAUUUGCUCUUAAAUCUUAUUCUCAAGCAUUUCGGUCUCUUCAUAAUCCAAUAUCGGGAUGACUUUUGGAUUCUUUCAAAUCGCGCGUUAAAUCAAGAGUAUUGAACUACAAGUGGCCUGAAUUCUCAUGUAGCCCGAGAUAAGUAGGAAACCCAUUUCCAAGGUUCGUCCAUAAUUCUUUAAGUCCAUACCAAAAUCCCUUUUUCAGAAAAGAUGAAGAUGUGGUCGGUCAAAAAUUGGAUUAGUCAAUUUCAUUUCCUCGAAUUCUUGAAUCAAUCCGAGUAAAACGAGGGACAGUUGUUGACACCUAAUUUUGACCCUCCCCGAUAAGAUUAAAUUUUCAAUGAUUUGGAAUAAUUAGUUUUACAAAACUCAAAAAAAUCAAUAAAUUAUUUUCUAAGUUUUAAAGCAAUUUUAGUCAUUUUUAUAAUUUUAAAACAAUAUAAUAUUUUUAUAUAAAUUUUGUAUGUAAUUGUUACAUUUCUUACGAGAAUUCAAAAAUCAUUUAAAAAAAAAUCUUACUUUUUAAAAAUGUUUUUGAUAAUUAGCUCACUUAAUAUUAGUUUAUAUUCCCGAAUUAGUUAUUUUUAUCUCGUUAAGAUUGAGAAGCUCGUAAAUCAAUUGUAUUAAUUCAUCUUAUUUGACUACUAGCCGAGUCUAUCCUAAUUAACUAAGGUCGGCUAUAUUUUAAAUUUUCAAUUUGCUAUGAUUUAGACUCAUAUGGCCGAACUUUAAAUCCAACUCUAUCAUAUUCAAUUUAAAAGACCAAAUAUUGGACCCCUUUUUAUAUUCCCAUUUAAUCUCAACCCAAGUUCCCCUUUAUUCCCAGCAACCCACCAAAUAAAAUCCAGCCCAACUAUUUUCUCUUUUGUUUUCAGAUCACCUAGCCCACUCCAUCUCCUUAACCCGACUUGACUCGACCCAUUUCCCCUAUUCCCCUUCACAAAAAAAAUCCAGAAAGUUGUACACGUUAACAGCAACAAGAACAGCUUCAAACGCUCACAGGGAUCGACAGAGCCAUUAAGGCUCGAUUGUAGCAGCGAAGCACGCGUCUACCCUCCUUUCCUCUUCCGGAAAGAGUCAAAAUUACAGGAAAAAGGGUGUUUCCCUUAAAUGGUGAAAUAAUUUUUGAGUUUGAAAUUCAAGUUGGCCCUAAUUCCAUCCGGAUUCCCCCCAAAAUCUACCCUAAUUUCCUCUAUAUAACAUCUUUUCCAUUCAUUUGUAAGGGAGUCGUCGAAUUUUUCCUUGAACAAAAAAAAAAAAAACCUAAACAGCUAGAGCAAAAAUAGUCGAAAUACACACUAAAUAAAUUAAGAGAGUAGAGAAGAUAUUCGGUCCUAAUCUAAAGUUCUCUAUUCUAAUUCGUUGCCAGUGCUUUCGCAAAGCUCAGUUGAGGUUGAGUUUUCGCUUGAGUCCACUGCUUUUUCCUUGUUCGUGCCGGGCAUUUGCGUGAAAGUCGUUGCUCCCUACUCGUUCCCGUCUCUGUUUCGCUGCCUCGAAAAAGGUAUACGGCUUGCCUCUUCUCACAGUCUAUGUCCUAAUUUGGAUUUGUAUUUGUUUGUUUAGUUAGUUACGUUGUUCUGGGUUUGACCAUUUUGAUGUGAAGUGUUGCUUCAUGUUCAUGCAGUAUUAAUUACAUUUAGCUGUUCUCAUGAUGAAAUUAGGCAGAAUCGAUGUCGAUUUUUUAGUCAUAAAAUUUUGUCUACAUAAUCUUGAAUAUUGCACCCUCAUCGCUUACUCAGUUCACUCUUUCGUUGUUUAUCAUGCUUGUCACCCGCUUGGAUGCUCAUUAUUACAAUUGGUUCCUAUUGUUGUAAACAUAAUUUCAUGUUUAUACCACUGAUUCACAGAAAUAUUAGAAGUACUCCUCAAGCAUGCGAUUAGCUCAAAUCCUCUGUGUCUUAUCACCUAUAUGUCUUAUUAGCAUUUUCUUUUGUCCUAAUGCUCAUAUUUGCAAGUCAAGUCGGUAUAAAAUCCGAGCUUUCUUGUUUUAUUUUCUGUUUUAGUUUUAUUGGAGUUAUAGUGUUCAAGGUCAUUUGAAGUGUGAUUUUGUUGGUGUUGACUUCUCGUUGUAUGUCUUGCCGAAUACUCGGCCCCCCUAUGUAUUCCCUUGGUUUUGAUGUAUCGUGUUUAUAGCUUCCGUUUUGAAGCAAAUAAGGUCCAUUUAUGUUUGAUGGCUUUCUAGUAAUGUGUAAAACCGAGAUCCCGUAAACCAUUGUGUGAAGUUGUGUUGUUGUUAAGUUUAUUUAUUUCUUCUAGUCGGAUGUAGAUUCUUGUCUAAUCUAUUUCUUGCCUCACUGUAGGUUAUUAAGUAUUCAAUUAAUAAUAGCAAAUAGCUCAUAUGGGUUUGAAUAUUCCGUACAUUUUAUUAUAUUUCAAACAUGCUAUAUUAUGGGAUGUUAUUUGAUAUACCUUGCUAAUAUUUGUCUAAAUAUUUCCUUUAGAAUGAUUAGAUGUGAGGUGUCUUUCUAGUAUGAUAGAUAGGGGUACUACUUUAUUGUUUAAUUUUAAAAAAAAUGUGGUUUCCUCUUGCCAAAUGUGUGCUUUCCUUUCAUUUUUGAAUCUUGUGUUUAUUUGAAAAUUUGUCAAAGUUCAUUGGGAGUGGCUUUUUCUUUCGUUUUGAGUUGUCUAGUUUGCUUUGCUAUGAAUUAAAAUCAUAUUUCUUAUUUCCUUAUCUCAUAUGCUAAUGUUGUCUUUUCUUUCGUAUGUUGGAUUGUCUCCGAGUCCUCUUGGACCCCAACCUUUUCCCCCAUAUUCCGGAUAGGCCAUAAAGGCCCAAUUACAUUUUUUUCGAUCGAGUCAACCCCCAUUUCCGAGUGAGAGAAAUUGAUGAACAGGUGGAAAGCAAUAUAGGUGGCUGGAAAUUUAAUUUGCAGGCCUCAAAAGCCCAAAAGAGGGCAGUAUACACGAUGUAUACACAAGUAUACAUAGAAAGAACAGCGAUAUACAAGUCUGAAAUGACGAUACAGGUGCUGGAAAUUUGAAGUGGACUAUCUAUAUUUGAUAUACGGUCCGAUAUACACAAAAAUGGAUCGAAAUGCGGCCUAUAUACAUCGAUAUACGCCUUUGGUAUACACAACUCUUUGGGGCGAAAAUGUCCUUAAGUCCAAUAGAUUUGGCCCAAAUUUGGGCAUCCUCUUAUUAUUGCCAUUAUUUAUUUAUUUAUUCUCUAACCCAUUUUAUGUGAUUUGGUUAUUUAACUUAAUUAAUCCCCUAAGGAUGAACCACUUUUGAUUAUGAUAACUUAUUUCGUCUUAUUUAAUUAGUUUUCUUUACUUGACCAUUUUGAAAAAGUUUACUUUUCUUUCUAAAUGAUUUCAAAACAUUUAAGUUGAAUGAAUUAUUUUUACAUCCUUUCUUCUCGAAUUAAUCUUCAAAGUUAGUUGCAAAGUCUAUUUUUUCCCCGAGUUUUGGGCAAAGCCCGAGUUCAAAUUUUCUCCUUUCUCCUGUUACAGUUUUGGGCAAAAGCCCGAGUUCAAAUUUUCUCCUUUCUCCUGUUACAUUUAUUUGUUAUUUUAGUGACUAACUCUUUAUAUGAAUUGGUUUCAACUUAAUUAAUUUCCAAAGGUAGUCGUUUCUCUUUAUAUUCAAAAGUUAAAAUAUUUAUUCUUUCUUAUACAUACAAUUUAUUUGUUACUCAGUUCUAUUUUAGCUUUGUCGAUAGUUAAGUUACCCCCCCCCUUUUAGAAAUUUCCCCUUUAGUUCAUUUCCCCUUAGAUAAAUAAAAAAUGAUAAAAAUAAUAAUAGUAAUAAAUAAGUAGGUUAAAAUAAAUGAGCUUUUACUUAGUUAAAAUUUCCCAAAUUAGUUAAAAUAGAGUUCUUUUAUUUAGUUAAAAUUUCAAAAUUAGUUAAAAUAAAUGAGUUUUUACUUAGUUAAAAUUUCCAAAAUUAGUUAAAAUAAACGAGUUCUUUUAUUUAGUUGAAAUUUCAAAACUUAGUUAAAAUAAAUGAGUUCUUUUACCUAGUUAAAAUUUGAAAAUUAGUCAAAGUCGUUAUGAGUUUUUUUACUUAGUUAAAAUUUCAAAAUUAGUCAAAAUCAUUUUGGUCAAAUCGCCGGUCUACCGCGAGUUUGUGGGCAUUCCGAGGGCCUAAGACCUUCUCGGAAUGUACAUUGAACUUCGAACCCUUUUAUUUUCAAUGGAUUUUAUCUAUUUAAAUCUUUUGAAAACCUUUAACUUUUUCUUGAUUUUUUACUAAAAAUUAUGUGGCGACUCUGUUCUUUUGGAAAUUUGAUUUCUCUUAAACUAUAAGUUUAAUCGAUUUUUUGAAAACUCAGUCAUUUUCCUUGUAUAUAUCUUUUUUAAGUAAAACAAUGUAGGCGGGAUCAAUGUUGAAAACUUGGCUGUAUUCCAAUAUGCACUCUUAAAUCUUAUUUCCAAGCAUUUCGGUCUCUUCAUAAUUCGAUAUCGGGAUGACUUUUUAGUUCUUUCAAAAUCGUAUGUCAAAUCAAGCAUGUCGAACUACAAGUGGCCUAAAUUCUCAUAUAGCCUGAAAUAUGUAGGAAACCCAUUUCCGAGAUUCGGACAUAAUUCCUAAAGUCCGUACCAAAAUCCCUUUCCUAAGGAUGAAGAUGUGGUCGGUCAAAAUUGGAUUUGUCAAUUUCAUUUGCCUUGAAUUUCUUUCAUCAAUCCAAGUCAAACGAGUGACAGUUGUUGACACCCAAUUUUGGAUCUCCACAAUAUAUAUUAAUCACCGAGCUUCUUAAAUUCCAAACGAUUUGAAAUAAUUAGUUUUUAUAAAGUUUAAAAUAUUUUUUUCAAGUUACUUUUAAUCAAUUUUAUAUUUUUAUAACUUUUAGAUUAUAUAUAUGUUUUACAUAAUUAUGUGUAUAAUUAGUACAUUUUAUGAAUAUUCGAAAAUCGCCUCAAUUUUUUUUUUAAGUUUUACUUAAAUAGUUGGUUAAUUGGUUUAGUUAAUUAAUACUUAUAUUUUUGAGUUAUUAGUUUAUAAUUAAGUUAAUUAUGUUAUUUCGUUAGGAUUAAGAAGCUAACUAAUUAAUCAUAUUAAUUUAUCUUAUUUAAUUAUUAGCCGGGUUUACUAAAUUUGAUUAAUUUGGCUACAAAUGAAAUUCAUAUGGCUAUUGUGUAAUUGCAAUUUCAGCCAUUCUUUUACCUCCAUUCAAUCUUUUGUAAAAUAAUUUGGGCCAUUUUUCUAACAUCCCAAAAGUCAGAUUAGCUGACCUCAUUCCUAGCCCAUAUUACUAUACAACAAUUCUAAAAUAACCCAGGCCCAACACUAAUACAAUACCAGUAGCCCACCAUUCCAGCAAUACAUAUUACAUAUGUUACAGCAACAGCGUACAAUAAUACCAAACCGACCCACCCCUGUACAUUUUCUUCUUCUUCCAGCAAAACAGUGACCAAACCCAGAACCUCAAAUCGCGACCCAAAGCCAUCACAAAAUCCAGUGACCCGAGUCUAGCACGCGCGUCUGUCUCCCUCUCUCCCUUAUCCUCUCCGUACGAGAAUAAUCCAGGUGUCCCCAUCUCCUUGAUUACAACUUUCAACCUUAUCCUGAAAGGAAUUCGAAUUUUGAAUUUUGAAUUUUGAAUUCACCCAAAAUUCCUCACUCGUUUUCCCCCCAUUUCAGCUUGUUCUCCUCUAUAAAAGCCAAUUUAUUCUUCAUUAAGAGGGACGGGCAAAAAAUUUUACAACGUAUGGGAGAACAGUGAGAAAAAAAUAUAAGAAAGGAGUCGCAAUUUACAAAGUAUAGACAACUUAUAUUAGAGCAAGAUGAUAAGGAAAUAAAAUGGAUAUAAACAAGGCAUUUUGAGAUAGGUUGCGAGAUUGGGAGUAUUUGGAGCCAUACUUCCUCGGUUUUACCUCUUGCGAGUUUGGUGUAGUCUAUUUGUAGUCGUGGAAAGCUCUUUAGCUCGUUUUGUCUCAGUUCGCUGCCACAAAUAAGGUAACAUUCCUUCCCUUAUUCUCUUUUGCUACAGUUCUAUUUUUCAUAUGAUAAGAAAUGCAUAUUUCAGUGAUUUUCAUUUUUGUUUUCUUAUGUGCAUUUAGCCUAUCUCUCGUUUCUUUAGCUUCUGAGUUUCAGAGUUAUUCUCAGGUUUCUGUAUGUUUAAAUUUUACUCCAAUCACAAAUCUUUAGUAUAAAUCAACCUUCUAUUGUUUAUUCCGUUCUAAAUGAAUUGUUAUCGCUUUAGCGGUUUAUUUUAAACUCUGUUGUUGAUAAGAUAGCCUCAUGUUUCUUGUUUCAAACUUGCGGUAUCUUGACUCUAGUAUAAUUUCUGAUUUCUUAGAUUAUGAUUUUUGGUGUUGGACUGCUGGAUUCAUUCUGGAAUACUCAAUAGAUGUAGUCUUAUGUUCAAGUUUAGAUGUUCAACCUAUCGAAUUGAGCUCAUAAUGUUGUUGCUUGUUUGAAUGACUUAAGAUGUAUGCUGAUUUCCUCUCUUGUUGGCUUAAUCUGAAAUUCCCUCAUGUCCAUUUAAUUCAACCCCCUAUUUACUGUAGCAUCGUAAUUAUUUUUCUCUUCAUUGGCUAAAAUCUGGUUGCGAAUUGUUGAGAUCUAAGUUUAAAUUUCAGGUUCUAGUUUGUUUAAAGUUCAUGAAUGUUUUAAGUCUCGUGUUUACCUUAGUUUCUACUCGUCUACCCACCUAUUCUGUUUUGAUUCGUACCACCCUGUUCUGAAUUUAUUUGGUAUUCGUUUAGUCUAGUUUAGCUUCGAAUUUUGUCACCUGAAUCAAGUCCUGCCUUGUUGUUCAUUUGGAGCUUUACUUUCUUACAUUAAGCCCAUGUAAGCGUGGUUAAUUGUUAAGCAUAUGUCCAGCAUGUUUCCAUCUUUUUUUUCUUCGCCUGGUUGAAUUAGUAUGAUAAUAUGCCCUCACUGUUUUCCCUAUCUAAAUUAAGCUUGUUUUGAGUGCAUUUUGCCAUCAAUGUUGUUAGUUACCGUCUCCAGGGGGUAUGUUUAUUUCAUUUCCUUUGGGUCUGAUUUGGUGGUCUUUCCUAAUAUGCUGUAGUAGCAUUGGUUCAUUGAUAUAAAACUAUAUUCAUUGUUAAAGUGACUAGGUUAGGGUAGCUUCAAAUUCAUUUGGUUAUGUGAGAUUAGAAUGUUUCAUUUAAUAUCAUUCGGAAUAGAUGAAUUAUAGGAUAACAACUUCGAUAUUAACAGUGGAAUAUUAUAUUGCGCAGUAUUUUAUAGCAUCGUCCUUUUUUAUUUAUCAUUUUGAACUUUUAUUAACUUACUUACAUCCAUUUCUUUUGCAUGUGAAUUUGCCCAAGUCUUCACGGACUCUAUCUUUGCAUUUCAAAGGGGCCACGAAUCCCCCCAAAAUUCCUUUUUCGAGUCGGCCAACAUGAAAAAUCGAAGUGCAGGUCCUUGACAUUGACGUACAGGUGUUUGGAGCGAAUCAAAGUGCUGGAUACACACAAUAUACAGCGAUAUACAUCAGUCGUAUACACUAAAUAUUGCAUUGAAAAUGGGCUAAAAGAGCCCUAAAUUUUCAGCUUUGUAUUUUGUUACUUUUGGGCCUAAGCUCUUCAUUUGCAAUUAUUAUUAUCACUUGUUAGUUCUUAGGACAGGUGAAAGAUGGGCCUAAGGCCCAAAGAAAUCAAUUUCAAGAUUAGUCUAGGACAUGUAUUAAGUAUUGGGCCUUUGGACCCAAAAUUGAAGACCCAAGUGCAGACCCAGGCAGACAGAACUAGACUUAGGCCCAAACAUUUCUUCUCUUUAUUUGCUUACCUGUUUUUUAUGGUGUCUUAUUUGUUCAAUUAAUUAUAAGAUUUUUCACUAACUCAAUUCCCCAAAGAAGAAUCAACUAUGUCUUUUAAAAUCAAAUAAGCUACACUUUAUUUUACUUGAAUUUAAUUUUUUUAAAAGUAUUUUUGAUAUUUUUCUACUUAAGCAAUAACCUUAUUUCCCCUCCCAUAAAAAUGAGUUCAAAAAAAAAAUGUUUACUUCAUAUAUUUAUCCAAGCAUGCCUAUUCUCUAAAUAAUUUAGCCAAAUAUAAUUAAUCAUUAGAUAACCGCAUGUUAGCGGGAAUUCAGGUGCUUUCAAACCCUUCUCGAAAUGCUAAUAAGAACCCCAAACCCCUUUGAAUAUUUUCAAUUGAUUUCUGUUUGAAUCUUUUGAAAAAAAAUCAGUUUUCUUAAUUUCCCUUUAAAAAUUAAGUAGCGACUCUAAAACAUCGUUUUCUCCUUUUAAAUAAAACAACAUGUUUAGGGGUUAAACGUUCGGGUACGACUCCCCAAGGACCACCCAAGGGGUCGUCGAGGAGGACCCCAAAACAGUCGAUAAAAGAUGUCAAAAAAUGGGAACCACACAUGGCCAUCCACUGGCCGUGGUUAGACCCACGCCCAGUGGGUUGGGGUUGUGGGUCAAGGCCUAAGUUGGCCUGCAACUUCUGAGCUGCAGACUCCAAUCACGAACCAAGAUGAUUCCCCGUGAACCCACCCAUGGUUCGUGGGUGGGAGUCUCGUGAAUGCUGUCAGGUUUUAACAAUUUAGUUUUUAGUUAAGGGCUUGAGGGUUAGUUUAGUUAUUAAUUAGGGGUUAAUGUAGGUCGGUUAAUAGGUUAUUUAUCCACCUAUAUAAGUCUAAUAGGCCCCUAAACUAAUCAUUAGAACUCAUUCAUCUAAGAACCCACUUAAGAAAUUCUCUCUCUAGAAGUGAAGAAGAAGAAGAAGAGGAGAGGAAGUUGGGGGAGCAGCUUAGGGAGAUUUUGUCCAUGGAUUCAAGCUUUGUUUAGGGCUUUGAUAAGAGGUAUGUGAAGCUUAAUCAUCUAUUGGUUCUUCCACCCAUAGAGCCCCCUAGUUUCCCCUCUAUUGCGAAGUCAAAAACCCAAUUCUAGCUAGGGUUUGCUUCUACAUUGUGAGUAGCGUUUGAAUAAGAUUCCAAUGAGUUGGAUAGUGCUCAAUUAUGAUGGUUUUAGUAUUGAAUCAUGAUGUAUUGAUAAUUUCAUGUGAUUUCUAUGGUAAACCCUAGUUUCAAUUGAUAAAUGUGUUGUUUGUGGGUUUAUGCCAUUAGAGGUGAAUUUGAAGGUUCAAAGGUAAUCUUCCUAAAUCAAUGUCAUGUAUAGUAAUUGAUCAAAGUUAGGGUCAUAUCAUAAUGAAUAGAACUAGACUUGAAUGAAUGUGGAGGAUCUUGACUUGUAAAGAUGAAAUUGAACCUUUAUGAUCAAAUAUGACUAAAAUCACCUACUUAUGAAGAACAUGAAUAGAAUACCUUGAAAACCUAGGUAUAAAGAAAAGAUUAAGAAAGAAACCUUGAAAGUAAGGUUUGUGAUCAUAAUAGUAGGGCUUUAAAAGGAAGCUAAGGUGAUUAACUAUUGAUGCUAAGGCUUUGAGAGUAAAGUCUAAAAGAGAUUAUAAGUCUAAUAGGUUGAAUUGUGGUGAAAGUUAUAUAAUCAUCUAACCUACCUUAUGAAGGCUUGAAUGUGUAAAGUGAUGAGAUCACUUGAACAUGGAUUGUUGUCAAGGACAUUCUUCCAUGAGAUAGGAGUAUUAAGCAAGGCUUAAUAGUGUAAAUCAUGGGUGUAAGCUUUGCCGUAAGUGGAUAUUGUCAAUGAGAAUAGAGGGUCACACAAGAUAGCGUCCGGGCGCCUAGUUGAAAGGAGAACCACACCUAGUUGAUGUGAGGAAUAUCUAAGAAAAGGGGGAACUCUUACAUAGUAGAGUGUGGGUUUUCCCAAAGGUAGGUCUCAUGAGAUGGAACCCUUCACAUAGUUGAGUCAAGGAUUCUAGUAGCAAUCUUCAUAUCCUUUGAACUAAGACAUGCUUAAAGAAGUAUCCAUAGUGUUCCAAAGCAUAGAUGAACUAAAAUUUACUAAGAUGUACUUCAUAGUGUUCAUGAGUAUAGAUGGACUAAGAUUUACUUAAAGAUGUACUUCAUAGUGUUCAUUAGUAUAAAUGGACUUAGACAUGCUUAAAGUAGUAUCUCAUUGGGUCUAUUUUUAAUAAGGAACCUAGACUUGCUUAAAGUAGUAUCUCAUAGGGUUCAACCUAGUAAGGGACUAAGAUGUGCUCAAGGGGGUACCUCACAAUGUCUAAGGCUCAAAGAGAGGGACUAGUUUCCAACCAAGAAGUAAGAGCAUGAGAACCCAAAGGUUAUACUUAGUGUGAUUGGUAGUAUGGGAUGCCAAUCAUGCCUUACAUAAGCGUGGCUUAGGGUUAACCAAGAAAGUGUUUCUUAGAAGUUGAGAUAGGUUGUGUUAUAGUUGCCUUCCUUGAUAGUAUGGACUUAAGGUGAGAGUUUUCCCUUAGUCAUGAGAAGUUGAGUAUUAUGACAAGAUCCUUAGGUGACUAGUUUAAAGGGCCUAAAGGAGUACUUUGUGUGGGUAGUAUUAUGGGAUGCUAGUCAUACACGGUACGACUUGAAGCUACUUACGAAAGCCUAAGACUUAUCCAUGACAUGAAAACCUAGGUCUUGACUAUGAACGGGGACUAUGCCCAAGAACAACCAAAGAGAGGUACAUGGCUUGCAUGGUAGUAUGGGAUGUUAUCCUUGCCCUUACACAUGUAUACUUGGAGGUGGCUUGUGAAGUAGUUCUCUUGAAGUACGAAAGACUUAAGGUUGAAUUAUGUAACCAUGUAUAUCUAAGAAAAUAUUAUGCUAUGAUUAUGAUGUAUCUCCUAUGCUCAUUUAUUUGUCUUAUGAUGACUUAUGAUAUACGAUGCUUAUGUUGGAGAUUAUGAUAUGAUAAUUAUGCUUAUGAUUAUGUUAUUGUCUCUUAUGUUUAUGUCUUAUGUUGACUAACCAUUUUGAGAUGCUCUUAUAUUGUUAUGCUAGCUUUCAUACUUAGUACAUUUUGUACUAACACAUAUUGCCUACAUUCUAAUCAAAUGUAGGGUUUGGAGAUUGAGUUCUACUUGGAGAUAGGUUUCUAAGGAGCUAAGAAAGAUUGAAGACUUGGUGAGUCCUCAUAGCUUCGAGGACGAACCUAUUACCUUUCUUAUAUCAUUUACUUUUAUGUUUUAGAAUUUGUAUGGGUUGCGUCCCAAGAGUUCUUUUAUUCAAGUCAAGUUAGAUGGUUUGAGACAAAAGUGUAGUAAAGUCUUUCGCUUUCUUUAUGAAAAAAAUGACUUCGAUUGUAAAGAAAAGUUUUAAAUUAUUCCCGUAUUUUCCUACUAUCUCUUGUUCAAGAUAUGCUAAGGGCUUGUAUGAGACUUUUCGGAGUCUCGUACGUCGUGUUACUUCUAGGGUGUAGACUCGGGUCGUGACAUUUUUACCAAAUUGCUCACCGCCAGUUUCAAGAGUAGCUCCACUAUCAACAACAGAUCUAAUGUACUUCAUGAUCUUCUCAAACUGUUUUGAAUCAAUUUGUUACGACAGGAAACUCUCAGGUUUAGUAUUGUUACCUUAAGAAAAGACUUAAAAGGAAUGAGAUAUGCUUUUGUUUUUCGUUAUACAGGUUUAAUACAUUGGUUUCCAACAUUUUAGAUAAGAAAGAGGAUUAGUUAGGAGAUCAUCAGUACUUGAGGACCCUGCUCAGUGCCUGAUUUAAACGGAUCACCAACUACUCGUUUCAAGGUGCGUGUCUUUGCCUUCUCCAGAAAUUCAUCAUAGACUUUCUCGUGAACAUAGGUCCAAGAGCCAACACAACAACAUUGGCCCUUUAAAAUUUAUGUCAUAGGUGUUAGUAUCUAACAUGAACCUAACCAACAACCAAUGCAGAAGUAUAGAUAGGAAAUAGUACAUGAUUAAAGAAGAGAGCAAAGUGAGCUUGUUCAACGGUCGUAUCAAUAUCAGAAUCCUCAUAAACAAUAAAAGGGGAUUUCCCUCCGAGUUCCAAUGUCACAGGCUUAAGAUUGCUCUUAGCAGCCAAUUCAAGUAUGGUUUUCCCGGUCUCUGUUGAUCCAGUAAAAGUAAGCUGUUGGCGGUUGAUGGGUCGUGGAUGGUCACUGUGUUGCUGUUAAAUUCGGCCAAGUGGAGGGGCAAUGUGGUAAAUUCGUUUUUGAGUUAUUUUAGUUAAUAGAUGGUUAUUAUUGGUUUAUUAAUGUAUUUUAAGGGUUUUAAAAGUAUUAAAUGUAGAAAUCUCACCCUAAGUAUGGAGAAAUCAAGGAUUGUAUUGAUAAUUGAAUGGUUGAGUUNNNNNNNNNNNNNNNNNNNNNNNNNNNNNNNUUCCGUUCCGGUCCGGUCCCGGUAAAUCAUUUUUAAUUAAAAUAAAAAAUAAUAUUUUUGUCAUUAUUUACUUUUAUUAGCAUUUCUUUUUUGUUUAUUUAAUUUUUUAAAAUUACAAACUUAUGUUAUUUAACUUACAAGUUAUAAGUAUAACUUAAUAACUUAUAAACUUCAAAAGAUUCAAAUCUUUAAAACUUAUAACAUAACUACUUAAGCUCAAAAACUAAAAAAAAAACUUUAUUAAACUUAACUUACAAACUUAUAUACGUAAAAAUUUAAAAAAAUAUCUUUAAAAUAAACUUAAGUAAAAUUAUUAUAAAUUUUAAAACUUAAAUACUAUAAACUAAUAUAACUUAGAAAAAUAAAAAAACAUUCGUAUUUUCGUAAUUCAAAAUAACUCAAAAAAAAUAAUUUUUUUUUUUAAAUAGCUAUAUGUGCCGUCCCAUUUAUCCCAUCCCGUUCCGUUCCGGUCCAUUCCGGUCCGUCCCAGUUCUAUCCCGGUAUAUAGUGGGACGGGACGGAACCGAGCCUCCAUCCCGGUAGUUCCGGUCCGGUUCAUCCCGGUACCGGUCAACAACCCGGUCAAACCGUCCCGUUCCGGUCCGGUUCCGGUUCGUUCCGGUCCGGUGGUCCCAUUCCGGUCCGGUGCCCAGCCUUAGUUGAGUUACAUACUCUUUAUAUAGGAGAAAAGUCCUAUACUAGUUACACUAGGAAUCCUAAUACAACAUAAAUAUAUUAUUUACGCCUUAUCCCAUUCGACUACAUCAGCUUUAGUCGUACAUAAUAUAGACUUAUACAUAAAUUAGGAUUUAGUAGUCUAGUCCUAGUGUAACUCUAACUCUAACUCGUCAGUCAGCUUCGUUGAACCUGUUCCUUUGACAUGUUCCAUCAACUUCCUUCAACACUUCCCCUUAAGCUAGUGAGUGGAGGGACUGUAACUCCUAGCAUGCUAUGAAACUCAGCAAAAACCUGUUUGGUUAAUGCCUUUGUAUGAAUAUCAGUUAGUUGAUCCUUAGACGUCACAAACUGAGUAAGAAAUUGUCCUCUGGCCACCUUCUCACGAACAAAAUGAUAAUCCAUUUCAACAUGUUUGGUUCUAGCAUGCAUAACUGGAUUAACUGUCAUAUACAAGACACUCAUGUUAUCACAAUACAAUGUAGGUACAGAUAGAAGAAACACCCCAAGGUCAUGAAGUAGAUACAUGAUCCAUGUCAUCUCUGCUGCAGUGGAGGUUAGUGCUCUAUACUCAGCUUCAGCACUCGAUCGGGCAACUGUGGACUAUUUCUUGGAAGUCCAUGAACUACAGUUUGCACCUAGGUAGAUGUUAUAGCCUGUAGUUGAUCUCCUAGUGGUGGUGCAACAUCCCCAAUCAACAUCUGAGUAUCCAUACAACACACAUGGUGAUUGUGAAAUAAGUCUGAGUCCAAUGUGUAGAGUACAUUUGGUGUACUUGAGAAUCCAUUUCACCCCUUGAAGAUGUUCACUGUUAGGACUUUGCAUAAAUUGGCUUGCUAAAUUCACAACAUGAGUAAUAUCCGGUCUUGUGAGUGUCAAGUAUUAAAGACUUCCUACUAUCAUUCUGUAAAAAGAUGCAUCAACCAAGCUUCUCACAGCUUCAUGUAGACCAUGUUUUUUAGCCAAAGGAGUGGCUAUAGCCUUUGCCAUAGUUAUUUCAGUUUUGUCCAACAGCUCAGCAGCAUACUUACUCUGACUUAAGUGUAUACCCCCAGCAAAAUACUUAACCUCUUCUCUUAGAAAGAAGUGUAAAGGACCAAGAUCUUUCAUUGCAAAUUCUUUCCCAAGUUGUCGAACUAACUAUGAGACAUACAAUGGAUUACUACCUCUGACAAUGAUAUUAUCCACAUAUAACAAGAGAAAUAUGGUGCCUUUGUGACCUUGCAUUGUAAAUAAUGAAGAAUCUACUUUACUACAGAUGAAGCUAAGGUGUAAGAGAUGCAUGUUAAACCUAUCAAACUAGGCUCUUUGUGUUUGUUUAAGACCAUACAAUGCCUUUUUAUGUAGACACACAUGUUAAGGAUACUUGGGAUCAAUAAAUCCAGGAGGUUGACUCAUGUACACCUCUUCUUGUAAGAACCCAUGAAGAAAGGCAUUUUUGACAUUGAGUUGUCUACCUUCCCACCUUGAGCUGAUGGCAAUGGAUAGAACUACUCUAAUAGUUGUGGCUUUAACCACAGGGCUAAAAGUUUCUUCAAAGUCUAUGCCUUCAAGCUGAGAGAAUCCCCUGGCUACAAGUCUUGCCUUGUAUCUAUCUAUUGUUCCAUCAGCUUUUAAUUUGGUCUUGAAUACCCAUUUUGAGCCAACCAAGUUUAUACCAGAAGAUUUGGGCACCAAUAUCCAUGUCUUGUUAGUGUGUAAAGCAUUGAUUUCCUCAUGUAUUGCUGCAAGCCAAUGAGGUGACUUAAGUGCUUCCUUAGUAGUGUUUGGUUCCCUCAGAAUGUCUUUUCUGCUGCGAGCAACAAGUGACAAGUGGUGUUCCUUCGCCUUGUGUCUAGUGAUCAUAUGAAGCCCUUGUGGUGCAGGAAGUACCUCAACUGGUACAUCAACCAAAGUAGUUGACUGAAGUGUAGUAUUGUCAUAUUGAUGGUCAACAAGAACAUCAACUAAAGUAGUUAUUUGAUGAUGCUCAUUGACUGGACCUGUAAGUGCAACAUGUUCCUCACUGCCACUAGUAGAUCCAAAUCCUACAGCUGGAGUUUCAAUACUAUUGUAUGGAUCAUCACAUUCAACCUGUUCCUCAGCAUCUGAUCAUACGCCGGAGAGGUCAAUGGUAUUCUCAUCAUCAAGAAGUGUAUGAGUUGUAGCAACAUUAUCACCAUUAACGUGUGGACUAGCAGCCUUUACUUCCCCUGAAUCAGAAUUAUCAUGUGCCUGCAGUUUAGAGAAAGAUUCAACAAAGGUAGCAAGGUGAGAUGAGACAUCAAUAUUAGUCUGAGAUUGUUUUGGAGACACAUAGGGUAUUGUGUUUUCAUCAAACACAACAUGUUUGGAUAUGUAAACUCCUUGUAGAGGGAUGAUAGCAUUUAUAUCCUUUGUGUAAGUUGUUGUAUCCUAUGAACACACAAGGGUAAUUCUUUGGACUGACCUUGUUGCUACCCUUAAUAUACGGAAAACAUCUACACCCAAACAUUUUUAGGCUGUUAUAAUCAGGUUGUUCCCCAUACAACUUAACAAAUGGAGUCACCAUCUUUAGGACUGAGGAAGGUAGUCUAUUGAUUAGAAAUACUGCAGUGAGGAAAGCCUCAACCCAUAGAAACAAAGGUAGAUUAACAUGAAGUAGUAGAGUUAAGUGAGUCUCCACAAUAUGUCUAUGUUUUCUCUCUGCAACCCCCAUUUUGUUCGGUUGUGUUAGGACAUGAAAUAUAUCUCACAGUGUCACAAUUUUCCAAAUAAUUGAUGAAGUCUAUUUGGAUAAACUCACCACCUCCAUCACACUGAAAAAAUUUGAUCUCUUUAGAAAAUUGUUUUUCCACCAUUUUUUGGAAUUUUAGAAAGACCUCAAAAAUUUCAGAUUUCUUUUUCAGUGGUUAAAUCCAUGUGUAUCUCGUGUGAUCAUCAACAAAAACAACAUAAUAUUUCAUAUGUUGGGACGAUUCAAGAGGAGCAAGUCCCCAUAAGUCACAAUGAAUUUUCAAUAGAGGUUCUUUCUCAAUUUUAUUUCUCAAACCAAAUGGAAAGAGUAACCAACUGACAACUAGAACAAACAGUAGGCAUUUUAUUCCAACUACUAAUAUUAAUGCAACUAUUACUACUCAAAACUUUUAAAGACUUCAAACUAGGGUGACCUAAUCUAGCAUGCCACAUGUUGUCUGACGUGUUCCAAUCGUGUGCAACAGUUAAAGCAUAGAGAUUGUUAUCUUCCAAAGCAUAGAGUCCAUUCCUUUUAGAUCCCUUGGCCAGCAGUGACUUUGCCCUCUUGUCCUUUACAACAAAAUUAGUUUCAUCAAAUUCAAGAGUGCAACAAUUAUCCUUUGCAAGCUUACUAACUGAGAGUAAAUUUUUAUUAAUCUUAGGAACUACAAGAACUUCUUUUAACUUUAGGCCUGAUCUGGAUAUGUUCCCAACAUGUGUUAUGUCUAACUUUGAUCCAUUCCUAAUAAUGAUUUUAUCAUGUCCAUUGUAGUGUUUAAGAUCAGUUAGGAUACCUGAGUUAUGUGUCAUAUGGCUACUUGCUCUUGAGUCCACAUAGAAGGUGUCAUCAGUAGUGUUUCGAAAAUUAGUAGCAGCCAAAGCUUUUGGUAGCUCAUCUGUGGCUUGGUAAGAGUAAUCCCACCUGUAAAAACACUUAAGAGCAGUAUGAUUAUUCCUACCACAAAUUUGACACGCAUCAGUAUUGUUCCUCUCAUGACUUUCACUUGAAGGACUGUUCUGAGUACCUAGUAUGUUUCUGCUGUUAUGAGAACAUGUUCCUUGUCCAGCAGGCUUGAAGUCUCUUCCUCUAGAGUUAAAGUUAUUAUUUCCCCUUCUUUGAGAGUAUUUUCCUCUUCCCCUACCUCUUUGGGCAGAGAAUGUCAUGUUAUGGUUUUGUUGGAGCACUUCUUCUUCAUCCUCCUUCAUAUCAAAACCCCUGAGAGCAUUAACAAAUUGAUUAAGAGUAGGAUAUGGUGUCUUACCUAGCAUGAUAGUCCUGAAAGUCUUGUACUUAAGACCUAGACCUCUAGCAAAAUUAAUCACUUUUCUAUCUUCAUCUACGGGCUUGUGUAUGGCUGCAAGGCCUUCAUAUAUGCCUUUGAAUUCCUUAAUAUAUUCGUCAAUUGUUUUGAUUCCUAGCUUCUCACUUUGUAGUUGUUGUUUAAUAUGGAACUCCUUAUCUUUUGUUGCUUGAAGAUAGGCUUCUUCCAAGCAUUCCCACAUUUUCUUGGCAGUUGAGCAGCCUACGAUCAAGUACAUGAUUUCUUCUAUCAAGGUGCCUGAGAUCCAACUCCUUUACAACACAUCCUUCUCCUCCUAGUCGUCAAUAAUGUUGUUGUCUUCUGCAUCUUUCUCGCCUGCUACAGUUUUCUCAGUAGACUGUUCGGUGGAACAGGUACCUUUACGUGGUUCUGUGAUGAGGUAGGUUAAUCUCAUCACUUGAAUCAACUGAGAUAUUUGUGUCCUCCAUAUAAGAUAGUUCGUUGGCUUAGGUUUAAUGGAGCAAGACGAAAUAAGAUGAUGAAGUGAAGAGGUCGAAAGAGUGAUGGUAGAAGGGGCCAUUGCGGUUUGAUAUUGUGGUUGUUUUGAUUUUGAUCUAAUACGUUAAAGAGAGGAAAAGCUUUAUAGCUCUGAUGCCAAGUAGAAAUCUCACCAUAAGUAUGGAGAAAUCAAGGAUUGUAUUGAUAAUUAAAUGGUGGAGUUACAUACUCCUUAUAUAUGAGAAGAGUCCUAUACUAGCUAGCUACACUAGGAAUCCUAAUACAACAUAAAUAUAUUAUUUACACCUUAUCCUAGUCGACUACAUCAGCUUUAGUCGUACAUAAUAUAGACUUAUACAUAAUUUAGGAUUUAGUAGUCUAGUCCUAGUGUAACUCUAACUCUAACUCGUCAGUCAGCUUCGUCGAACCUGUUCCUUUGAUAUGUUCAAUCAUCUUCCUUCAACAUUAAACUCCUUUUUCAAGUCUUUUAUUCAAAUCACAAAUUAGAAACCUCUCCUCCCCUCCAAAAAUUCUCUCUCUAGAAACCUCCAUUGGAGGCGAAUGAUUCAAGGUUUCAAGCUCAAGACCUCACCAUUUUCACUCAAGUUUUGUGGAGUUCUUCCCUAAAAGGUAUGGUAGUCUUUAUCCUUGACUUAGUUUCUUUCAAGGAGCCAAUUUCAAAGAUGAUUUCAAGUCUCCAAAGUUCUCCUAAAACUCUAGUUUUCAAUCUAUGCAUGGGUUCAAUUCCAAAACAUUUUCAAAGUCUUUUAAAUGAUGAAUUAUGAAUGGAUUGUUGAAUUAAUGAUGAAUUAUGGUGAAUUUCCCCUAUGAACCCAUGUUUACCCCCAAUGUACUAAAUUGUGAAUUGUGAUUGGAAUUUGAUUGAUCAUGGAAGUAUGUUGAAUUAUUUAUGUCUAUAUUGAUUGAGUGUAUUGAAUUACUUCAUUAUCCAUGCCUAAAUUAUGAUAUUCUAGGUGUGUUGAUGAAUUCUGAUCAAGGGCCUUGAAAGGCAAAGUAUGAAGGAUUCAUGUAUGAUUGUGAUGUGAAGUAUAUGCAUGUGAAUUCAAUGAAAGUAUUAUGAUCUUGAUGUUUGUAUAUAUGCUUGGUGAUUACCUCGAAAGUAAUGUGAUCAUGAAUAUAAUGCAAUUGUGGUAUUGUUGAAAGGUUAUUCUCACAUAUUCACAUACUCAUGAAUGAAGAAUGAAUGAAUAAAUUAAGUUUCUAUGAUUAUGUUGAUGAUGAUGUGUAGGUUGAAAGGCUAUUCUCAAUUAUACACUAAUGAAUGAUAAUGACAUGUUGUGAAAGGUCUUUCUCACAAUAAUGGGAUUCUUAGUUGAAAGGUUAUUCUCAUUUUUGAAUCUAUGAGUUAUCCAAUGAAUGAAUGUUGGGAUGAGAUGGAUGCUCUCACAUGAGUUGAGGCGGGGUAUCUAGUAACAAUAUUUUUCCCAUAAUAAUGAACUAAUGUAAUGAAAUGCUCUAUGGGAAUGGAGGCUAAGCACCGAAUGGAUAUUGAUAUGAGAUGGAAGCUCUCACGUGAGUUGAGGCGGGGUUUCUAGAAGCAAUUUCCAUAUCCUAUAACUAUGUUCCCGCAUAGGAUACUAGCUAGUGGAUCCACCUAAGCUAAAAUUAACGGUCCUACCUUAGGCAAGUAGGAAUCCUUCUUUACGGUGUGAGGAUAGAACACCGGAUUCCAUGAUUUAGCUCUCAUGGUCUAUGUCGGUUAAACGCUUAUUCUCAUCAUGUAAGAUGUGCACUAUGGUUUCUUGAGAAGUUCUAUGAAGUGUGGGUGGUAGUAUGGGAUGUCAUCCACGCAUUGCACGAGUAGGCUUUGAGAGGGUCAUAAUGAGUUCUCUAAUGUCUUAAUGACUAAUGAAUGAAUGUGCUCUUAAUGAAGCUAAUGAAGAAUGUUGACUUUAAGGUUUAAUGAAAUGAUGCAUGUCUUACUUGAAUUGUAUUAUGAGUUACUUCUUUGUCAUGGCUUUAUGAAUAUGAAUGUGCCUGGUCUAUGGUGGCUUCAAAGGAUUAAUUCGUGUGAGUAGUAGUAUGGGAUGCUAUUCAUACAUUGCACAAGUAUGACUUAGGGUUGCCCUAGAUGAUGGUCCUAAUGUGUUGAUAUGACUUAUGAAAUGUGUAUGUUCCUUAUGUAUGUGUAUUAUCUAAAGGUCGGAAAGGAUGAAUGGUAAGUUCACUUUUGGUGGCCUUGAUGUGGUAAUUAGUAUGGAUGGUGGUAUGGACGCUAUUCAUACAUUGCACAAAGUAUAGCUUAGGGUUACUUAAGGUGAAGGCUCUAAUGUGAUGAAAUGGCUUAUAUGUUGUUUAUGUUCUAAUGUGAUGAAAUGACUUAUAUGUUGGUUAUGUUGUAUUUUAUGCCUCUUAUGCUUACAUUCAUGAUGUUUUCUCAAGAAUGGCAUAUGCAUGGUUUUCAAUCAAAAUGUCUUUUUAAGCAUGUUUUUGCAUGGCUAUCAUACUUAGCACUUAAUUUGUGCUAACCCAUAUUUCUUUUAUUUUACUACAAGUGUAGGUUUCGGCAAUUAAGUGAGUUGAGUUCCUCUAGUUGAAGCUUGGAUUGAGUUCUUCCAAGACUUUGGUAUGUCCUCAUGGAUUUCGAGGACAAGUACUUUGAUGUUUGAUGUUUCUCAUUGUAUUAGACUUUUGUUAAGGUUUUCGAUUGUAAAGGGCCGUAACCUUACUUUUGUUUCAAAGACAUUGUUUAGAUGGCCAUGCGAGACUAAUAGACUUCCGGUGUUUUAAAUGAUUUUUGAUUGUAUGGAUUUAAAGAAAAGUUAUAAUUCCGUACCAUUUUCCUUAUAUCGAAUGUUAUGACUGCUAUGAGGCUUGUAUGAGGCUUUUCGGAGUCUUGCACGUCAUGUCAUUCCGGGGUGUAGGCUCGGAUCGUGACAAAAUAGGAACAGAGGGUGUAUUAUUUUUUUAACUUAAUGCUUACCUCUCUUAUUUUUUAUAAUUAAGUUCUAACCUAAUUAUUUAUUAAUACAAGAAAAUAUAAUUUAACUAAUUUUGUCCUAUAUUUGUAGGGAUGGCAAUGGAGCGGUGCGGGUUGAGCUUAACCUGCAAAUUUUUUAAUUCGGCCCGCCCCGCAUAACAAUUUAUUUCAUUUUAAACCGCCCCACCCUGCGCCGCAUGAACCCGCACCGCAUAAUAGUUUUAAUAUAUUCUUUUUCUAGUUAAGUUUGAUACUAAAAAUAUAACUCAUAAAAAUAAAUUCAUUUUUCCAUUAAGUUGUAUUAAUUUAAUAGGAUAGUGACUGAAAAAAAUUAUUUUUUAGAGGACAAUUGAGAAACAUGUAAACAAUUGUAUUAUUUUUUAUUGAACCAUUUCCAUUUACUAUCUUGAAUAUUUUAGUAGACUAAAGAAAUUAUCUUAAUAAAUAAUGCUCUAUAACUCUUAUAAGAUGUAAAAAGUUAAAAUUAAAUUUGAAUCCACAUAAAAUCGCAUAUACCUGCAACCAGCCCCGCCUCACGUUAGUUUUUUAAAAACCCACUUUAACCCGCCCCACACAAUCUUAAACCCGCCCCGCCCCAUUGCCAUCCCUAUAUAUUUGUGUGUGUGUGAUGUGUAGAUGACCACACUUACGUGUUGUGUUUAUUGAUGUGUGUGUUUGUUUGGCAGUAUGAGUGUGAAAUCUUGUCAAUAAUCAAUCAAUUUUACUACUAUUGGCCAUUUAAAUUAUUAAUUUUUCCUUUAUCUUAGUUUACAUGACAUUGUUUUACUUUUGGAACUACUUGACAAGUUAAUUAUUGUUCUACUAAUAAUGUUCUUUUAAUAACUUUCGCAAUAUAAAUUUAUUAAUUACACAAUUAUUUUAAAAAAAUAUUAUAUUAUUUCCAUUUAUUAUCCAUGAGAUAGUAAUAAUUAAAGUCUGCAUACAUAGUGAGAUCUCACUGAUAUAUAAUUAUUAUUGGUAUUAUUGUCAUUUCGGUCUUAUCUAUUUUUUCAAUCAUCAUUUUAACAUUUUCUUCCCAAGUCCCGAUAUAUAGAUUAAAUGAAUAUUUUAAUAUUCAUCUUCAACUAAUUAAUUCUAUCAUAUAAAAUGAGAUUAAAGAAUUAACUUUUUAAUGUAACGUACAUAAAACAAAAUAGAGUGGCGGAAUUAAAAAAACACAAAAGCAUGUGCAAAUACAAUACUGAACAUUGUCGUAUACUAGGGACCUCCUAGACACCUUAGUAGAACAAAAGGUAAGUACAAAAUAAAAAUAAGACAUAUUACACGUGUCAUAUUUGGAAAAAAUAAGAUUACUGAUGUGUUGGUAUGACGAAAAAUAUUUUCUGAUUCGUAUUGUUUAGUAUCAUGAUGGUUGAUCUUGUUUUUGUUAUUCUUGACAGGAGAAACAAAAGAGUGACCAAUUUUCUCACCCAUCAUGGCGGAAACAUGUUUCUUCUCUUUAGGAAUUAUACUUCUUUUUUUGGGAGUGAAUGGAAAUACACCAUUUUUGCUUUCUUCGAUUUUCUCUGCUUUUCCCUUUCCUUUGCCUUCCUUAUCUGCCAUAUUUCUCUUGCUCUCUUAUUGUUGUUCCUGCUUUGUUUGUUAUGUGAAUUGUGUGUCUCUAACCAACAAGCUAAAGAGGCUUUUUAUAGGCCUAAUUUUGAUAGUAAUUUCUUUUGUGUCUAUGUGUUAUGUGUAUUUGUGUAUUUGUGUCUAUGUGUUUGUGUAUUUGUGUGUGUUUUAAACUAGUCAGCAUGAGUUGAAGCAAAGAUCAUGUUGUGAAUUAUAUGCAUUUUUGUGAGUUUAAACUAGUCAACCUUAACGCCAACAAAGACCAUAUUUUGUGUGUGUGACUUUUUUGUUGUUGUUGAUGAUAAUAGUGUGUUUAUAGCUAGUCAACGUGAGAUUAAGCAAACAUUAUAUAUUGUGUUUUGUGCCUUUGGGGAAAAGAAAAAGGAACUUCACAGCAAUUUAAAAUGGGUCAAAUUUACACUCUAUUAUAUUUUGGAUUCAAAAUUAUACACUCAUCGUUUCAUGUUUUGCUCGAAAAUAUCUUCUAACUAUCUAAAUGGACCAAAACAUCAUUCCUUCUAAUGGUUGUUUCGAAAUAAUACAUUCAGUUUAAUUAUAUACCAUAGCAGUUUAACAACUUUCUUUAAUUAUAUACCGUAGCAGUUCAACAACUUUCUAAACCAUCAUCAAGUACAUAAUAAGUAUAAAUUAAUUGUAUAAAAUUCGUUUUGUAUCUAUUUGUUAAUUCUUGUAUUUAAAUAAACAUUAUAAUUAGAUGUAAAAUAUUGAUACAAACUUUCCAUAUCGAAAGUUUCUACUUGCUCAACAUUCAAAAAAAAGUUUCCAUAUCCAAAGUUUCUAUAUGCAUCGUGUAAAAAUCUAACAUCUUAAUUCAAUUAGCGAGGGAUAAUUCUUUCCUUUUUUUUCUUUUUUUUUGAUAAAAAUAAAAUUUCCAUAUCUGUUUUCUGGUUAUAUUAAACGUGCAAAAAUAUAAAAAUUUCCAUAUAUAUGUUUUUGGUUUAAGAAAACGUGUAAAACAUAAAAAGUUACUAUAAAAUGUAAAAGAAAUUCCAUAAAAAAAUGUUCCAUAGUCGUUAGGGAAUAGGAAUGAUAAUAAUAAUAAUCCAAAAAGGAAACGAAAUCCUAAUCCAAAGAUAAAACGUAAAGCCUCUAGCUAUAAUAUACAUGUGAAAUAGUGAAUUGUUUCAUUGAAAUAUUAAUUAGCUUGGCAAAUUAAACAAAAAAACAUGGCAAAAUUUCCCUCAUGUCUUGUUAAAGUAGUUGUAAUAAUGAUACUAGUAUGUUUUCCUUCCACCACCGUCUCUAGAAAACAAUUACUCUCGUCACCACCAUCAGAAGCUGCUCCUCCAAAACCUCAUAAUAAUAUUGUUAACGAUGAAGACAACAACCCAAAGGAGAAGGUGAUUUAUGAUAGUCGUCGAAGCUGGAGUUCUCUUGAUCUUGGUCACAAAAUUACGAUUAUCCUAUCUAUAUUUUGUAGCUUACUUACAAUUGUCGGCCUCGUUAUCGUGAUAACAUGGCUUAUCUAUUCCGAACUAUGGGGAUAUUGAUCCAUCUAACUACUCUAUACCUUUUAUUUUCUGUAAUUUAAUAAAUAAACAGUGUUUUUCUAUUUUCGAUCCAAUUAAUUGUUAGUGAACGUUGUACUUGUAUGUAUCGAUUGCUGGGUUUGUUUUGCUGUGUAUGGCUGGUGGAUGUUUUGUUGGAAUUGUUGACAGCGUUUUGGAAUAUUGGUGGGCUUGGGUCGAUGCUGCUGAUUGUUGUUGUUGUGGGCUGUUAUAAUUGGGUUAAUAUUGGUUUGAAGUUGGGAUGAAAUUGUGUUUAAGGGGGUUACUUAAACAAAUUAAGUGGAACUUUCGUAUAUAUCCACUCAAAAAUAGUUUAAUUAUGCUAUAUAACUAGAGUUUGCUAAUUCCGAUUCGUAACUACAUGUUAUAGGGAGGAGAGUGGCGAGCGAGAUUGGGAGAUGGAGGAGAGAGGCGAGCGAGAGAGGGCAAAAAGUGGGAGAGAGGUGAAUUGUAUAUGUAUAUCGGUUUGAUAAUUGUAUAUAUGUAACUGGUAUAUGUAUGUAUUUGUAUAUUUGGAGAGCGAGAUUGGGAGAGGGAGGAGAGAGGCGAGCCAGAGAGGGCAAUAAUUUGUAUAAUUCGCAUCUCGGUUGUAUAAUUCACGUGUUUUUGAAUGUAUAUGGUGAUAAAACUGAAAAACCAAACGAAAUCAUCGUCAUAUGCAAGUACAAACCAUCUUAUACAAAUAAAAAUCAAACGAAGAACUGUUACUUGCGGAUUAUACAAAUGUGGCGAAUUAUACUAACACGAAGUCAGCCCACAUAAUUAAUAGUUAAUGUUAGUUGCAAGUGGUAAUUAUAGCAAACUAUAGCUACAAUGACUAAUUAAAUAGUAUAAAUUCGCUUAACCGCGUAAUUUUCCCUUAAAUUAACAAGAAUUGUAAUAAAAGGGGUUAGAUUUCAAAUUAUGACAUGACCAUAUGAAAUUUCAAUUAUGACCAAUUGUAAUUAAGAACGUAGCUUUAGUAAAUUUGGUUGGAAUUUAAAUAAGAUGAACUGAUGUUGAUUAUCUUAAUUAUAAUAACAAACUUCUUAAAUUGACUAAAUAAAAUAAUUAUCUUAGUUAUAAAUUAAUUGACUCAAAAAUAUGAUCUAUGGACUAAACUAACAUAAUUAACAAAAUAUUUGAAGGGGCGCGUUGGGUAACUUUUGGAGCGCGUGUAGGAAAGAGAGGAGAAAGGAACGGGUGUGCGUGACUUUUCACAAUAGGAAAAAGUAAAAAAGGAAUUUCACCACACUAUUAUAUAUUUUUCUAUUUUAUAGAAAUGUGAAGACGACCAACGACCAAUGGAAAAAGGGAUAUUAAAUCAAAUAUACAAGGGCAAAUUAUAACUAUUAUACUAAAAUUUGUUGAUAUCCGUGCAGUCAUGUUCAAACCAAGGCCUCUAUUUUUUUUAUACUCUAGAAGUAUCUACAUCUUUCUCCACUCUUCCACUGAAAAUAAAUAAAUAUCUCAUUUGCAUCAGUUUUCUUAGAUUUUCAAGACUAAAGGGUUGAGACGUUGAGUAUUUCCAGGUAUGUUUUAUUCACAUUUUUGCUUAAAUCUCUUUGGUUAACUUUUUCAAUUUUCAAUUUUGAGUGACUCUUUUUUGUUGCUCUUAAUCAGUCCUUUUCAAAUAUAGAAAUUCAAAGAUGGCUUCUGUUCACUUUCUUAAUUGGAUAUUACAACCCUAGGUCGUUUUCUUUUUUCUUGGUCUUAAUCAAUCCUUUUCAAAUAUUCAAAGAUGGCUUCUGUUCACUUUCUUAAUUGGUUAUUAUAACCCUAGGUCGUUCCAAAAAUAUGAAUUGAUAAAAAAAAUCAGAACUGUGUGUUUUCUUCUAUCUUCUAUUUUCUUAAAAUUAUCUCUCUCUUAGAUUAUGGAUAAUUGAAAUUUAUAUGUUCUCUUGUGCUCUUGUUUAAUGGUAUAACAGAGUCUUCAUCAUUAGUAUUGAGACACUCAUAUAGCUAAAGCAUCACAGCAAAGGCAGUCGCUUUGUUGUGAAAUAUUCUUGCCAAAGAAGAAUACCUAACAACCGACAUAAAAUGAUAUAGUAAAAAAUAUGGCUUUAAGUUAUAGUAGAAAUUAAAUUUCCAAGAAAACAAAUGUGAGUUCCAAUAAAUCCUAUUUGCUUACCAAUAUACUAAUAGUAAUUCUUAAGCUUUGAGUAAAUAGGAAUAUAACGUGAAUAUCCCCAAAGUGCAAGUGUUUCAUCAUUGAUAUUUUUUCUCUUACACUUAGAUUAUUUGUAUGCUUAAUUAAUUGGUAGUGUUUGUAUUGGAUGGCUGGUGGAGCACUAUUUGUUAAGGUGUCCAUGCAUUAUACUUAGUCACUUUGCCUGUACAUGUGUAUUUUUUUGCUUAUUGAACAACAUCGAAGUGCUGACCGAUACGGUCUAUUUUUCUGUUGGUAGUUACAAUUGUUUGACCUUUUCUCACUCUUGCUACAUUUAUUAGAAUAGAAAUAAAGCUUUUAGACCUCUUCUUUAUUAUGUGUUUUCUGUCUUUUUCUCCAGAAAUUUGUGUCUUAUGGUGCUUUUAUCGUUAAGCUUUUUCUAUAUGGUCAAAUCAAAUGUUUAUUAGACACUAAAAUAUCAAUGUUUAUCAAGAAGUUGUACAUGUACUUUUUGCUCUUCAAGAGCUGGGAGGCUUAGAUUCAUACUUCUCUAAUUAUUAAUUAAUUAGUAAAGGGAUCAUACUAUGUUGAAACCAAAUCUUGCCAUAUAGUAACCGUAUUUGGGUUCUAAGCAUUCUCGAGUUUUUCAUUUGUCAUCUUACUCUUUCCGUCCGUUUGCACCAUCUGAUGAAGUUGAUUUUCAUUUACUUUGGGAUGAACUGUUAAAUGGAAAAAAACUAUAUAUUCUUUGUUACUAUUUUCAUUCCAUAUUCUCUUCUGCAAUACUUUUUAAAUUAACCUCUUAUUUUUAGCAUUUUCUACUUUUUCCUCUGUUAGAUAUGUCUAUUAUAUUAGAUUUAAUAUAUGGUUUGAACUGUUAAUUUUACAGAAUUUUUUCACUUCGUUGAGGUAUUUGUUCGCCACUGUUUUCACUUUUCUCUCAGUAUGUGGUAAGUAUUACUCAACCAAUCCCUUAUUUAAAAUUAUUACUAUUAUUUAUCGGAUAGUUAUUUUGUGUAAAAUUAUUUUGAUCCCAAAGAUGUCAAGUAAUAGAAACCAUAAAAAUGUGCAUGCUUUUCAAAAAUCAAAUGCAAAUAGAAAUGCUAGGAGACCCGAAUUAUACAGAUUGAUGCAACUUGAGGAAAAAGAAAUUCUUCUAGCACGUGAGCAAAGAGAGUUGAAAUGAGAAAACAUAACUUAUCUGAAAGUUCAAUGAAUAAUGAUUUGACUACUGCAUCAUCUUCUAAUUCCACAAUUGUUUCUAAUAGAAACCAUAAAAAUGUGCAUGCUUCUCAAAAAUCAAAUGCGAAUAGAAAUGCUAGGAGACGGGAAUUAUACAGAUUGAUGCCACCUGAGGAAAAAGAGAUUCUUCUAGCACGUCGUCGAGCAAAGAGAGCUGAAAUGAGAAAACAUAACUUAUCUGAAAGUUCAAUGAAUAAUGAUUUGCCUAAUGCAUCAUCUUCUAAUUCCACCAUUGUUUCUGUUGCACAAAGUUCUAAUCUUAUUAUGAGAGAACCAAUGUUGCUCCUAUCAGAGCCAUCAGAAAUUAAUUAUAUCAAAUUAAAAGAAGUAUCAAAUUGUCAAUUUUGUAAAGCCAUUAAAUUUGAAUAUGAACCGCCUGCAUUUUGUUGUAGCAAUGAUUUUGUUCAAUUAACUUCACAUGAGAUUCCAAUAGAAUUAAAGAACCUUUAUCUAGAAAAUACAGUGCUAUCAAAACAUUUUAGAACAUACAUUAGAACGUACAAUAAUAUAUUUGAUUUCACAUCUCUUGGAGUAACUUAUGACAAAGAAUUAGCAAAAGAAAUAAUGGUAUUUAUACUUUUCGGGUUCAAGGUCAGAUGUAUCAUUUCAUCAAUGACUUGAUUCCUACCGAUAAAAAAGGAAAAAAUCUUCAGUUACAUUUCUUUGAUAGUGAAAAUGAAUUAAGAAAUCGAAUGGCAUAUUCAAAUAAAUUAAAUGAGUAUGUUGUGAGAACUCUGAUGGAUAUAUUAAAAAUUAAUCCAUACUCUAUUUUUUAAAAUCUUUAGUUGAUGUUCCACAACUAUCUGAUUUUUAUAUUGCACUUAAGUGUGAUUCUGGCUUAGAUCAACGUAUAUAUAACUUACCAAUAGUAACAGAAGUUGCAGGAAUAUGGGUAGAACAAGAUAUUACUAAUUCUAUUCCUACACCACAUAUUCGAAUAUAUACAAAAAGUGAUAAAAGUCAAUUGGUAAAUUAUUAUUACGGUUGUUAUGAUCCAUUGCAAUAUUCAUUGCUAUUUCCAUAUGGUCAAGGUGGAUGGCACUGUGGUAUUAAGAAAAUUAAGUGUUCUUCAAUAACAUCAACACAAAUAUAUUGCGAACAAGAACAACACAAAUAUGGUUGUUCCUUACAAUCCCUAUUUACUUUGUAAAUUCAAUUGUCAUAUAAAUGUAGAGAUUUGUUCAGAUAUAAAAGUUAGUUAAGUACAUUUAUAAAUACAUUUGCAAAGGACAUGAUAAAAUAGCAUUUCAUAUACAGACUAAUGAUGUAAACGUAAAGAUAGAUGAAAUAAAAGAAUAUCAAUCUGCUAGGUGGGUAUCAGCACCUGAAGCUGCAUGGAGAAUAUUCGCUUUUCCUAUUAGCGAAAUGAGUCCAAGUGUAUAUCAUCUACAACUACAUCUUGAUGGACAACAACUUAUUUCCUUCAAAAGUACCGAUAACAUUAGUAAAAUUGCAAGUAAUCACAUUAUAAGAAAAACAAUGUUAACUGAAUUUUUUUUAAUGAAUAAAACAAACAAAGAAGCUAUGGACCUAAAUUUAUUAUAUCGUAUGUCACGCCCCGAGCCUACACCCUGGACGUGGCUGGCACUCGAAGACCAUUGCUGGCCCCCAAGCGAACCCUUGGCCUGGCUUUCUUAACUCAGCGGAAACUUAACUCAACAGAAUAACUCCAUGCAAUGAAAGGUCAAAAAACAACCCAAUUGAUAAAAUUUGGCCAAAAAGGCAACUCGAGUCUCAAAUUGGAAUAUUAUAUAUAUACAUAGAUGAUAGACUCAAUACUAACUGACUGACUGACUGUCUAUGAAGCCUCUAUAACACUGAGAUGGAUGUUGGGACAGACCCCGCAACAUCCUAAUAAAGCAAAACAUAAGAAAACAAAAUAAACGAGUCCUCCGGAAUGCAAAGAGGCUCACCACUGACUCUGGAGUGCUCAGCUGGAUCAACGGCGUGCUGGAUGCUGACCCUGGGUACCUGCAUCUGUAUCAUAAGACGAUGCAGGCCAACUGGCAUCAGUACAUUGAAUGUACGAGUAUGCGAGUUGGAAUGCUAAACAACAACUUAAGCUUGAAAGGAGUACAAGAGAACACUUACAUUGGCUCUGUUCGACUCAUGAAUACUGAACUCAAUAUAAAGCAAUAAGACACAUACAAUACAUAAAGUUUGUAAAACAUUGUAAACAACUUAGUUCGUUAAGGAUAGACUCAUGAAUACUGAACUCAAUAUAAAGCAAUAAGACACAUACAAUACAUAAAGUUUGUAAAACAUUGUAAACAACUUAGUUCGUUAAGGAUAAAACAAUAACAAACUCAACUUUACUUAUAUAAAAGUAAUAUAAGUUUUGUGGGAGGUUCUUUAACCGACAACCACCACUAUGAGCCCUAGUGAUGAUACAACGUUUUACCUCACGUUGCCCAAGGGCCAUCCUAUACCUUGCCGUGAUAUACUUUACUUAGUGGAUCCACUAGCUUAACUUACGUGAUCAUCUAAAAAAGUAUGACCCGUUAACUCCCAUGUUCGGCUACAUGGUUCUUAUGGAGAGUUGAGUUAAUAUGAACUCGUGUCCCCAAUUCGGUGCUCAAUACUACUCCCAAAAAUAUACUUUGGCUCAUAUGUUUUAAAAACAAACUUCUUUCUUUGGUUUGAGAUAAUUACUCAAAGCUUAGCCCAAAGGCUCUUUUGGAAUCAAUGUUCCCUUUUCUUUGCUCAAUUGUGAAAACAUGCAUAAACUUGUUUGGGAAUACUUAGUUCCCUAAUAACUUUUGAGAAAUGAACUUGACUCUAUACUCUUGACUUAACUUGAAACUCUAUACUCUUUACUUAACUUGAAACUAUAUACUCUUUACUUAAAUUGAAACUUGAGCCUUAAACAAAGUUAAAACGUUUAACAAAGACUCUUGAAUAACUUUAAAGACUUGCUUUGACUUGCUUCUUAACUUCUAAACUUGACUCUUAACUUCACUUGACUUUGAUCCUAACUUUCCUCGAAUUGGAUUAUGAAUUCAAGGGUAAUGAUCUCAUGUUUAUGGAUGAGUUCGGGAUGUUUAGAUGUACCUUAGAGUAUUGGAAACAACUAUAAAACAUAGGUACAUUACCAAGGAACUUGUAUGAAAAAGUGGGGAAUGAAAGGGAAGGAUUGGCGUCCUUGGCGCUAUGAGAGGCGCGGGGCGCCAGCCCUCAAACUUCAGAAGGGCCUGCUGGGCGUUCUGCCAGGCGCGCCGCCCCAAGGGGAAAGUUCAGCGUCCCUUUUUGGGGUGCGCUGGCUGGCGCGACACCCCAGCCCUUUCCCCCCAAAAAUCUGACUUUUUCCCCUUGUUUUUCCAACUCUAAACCCCUUAACUUCAAAGGUUCCAGCCCCAAACACUUAGAAUCAUAAAACCCCUCAACAUACAAUAGAUUNNNNNNNNNNNNNNNNNNNNNNNNNNNNNNNNNNNNNNNNNNNNNNNNNNNNNNNNNNNNNNNNNNNNNNNNNNNNNNNNNNNNNNNNNNNNNNNNNNNNNNNNNNNNNNNNNNNNNNNNNNNNNNNNNNNNNNNNNNNNNNNNNNNNNNNNCUUCUCUUCUUCACUCAAAACCCUCACUCUCACUCUUUUAAAAUGGGACAAACUGUUCUAAAAAUCAGUCCAACACUUUAAUAUAACCAAAAGAAUUGAUUAGGGAAAAGACCAAAAUGCCCUUAAAAUUCGGACUAAACUGCCCUGUGCGGCUGUGCCAACAGCCCAACUUCCAAAGGGCAUAACUCACUCAUACGAACUCGGAAUCGAGUAAACUUGGCGGCGUUGGAAAGAUCAUUCCAAAAUAUUUCCAGACAUAACUAGAAAUUUUCUAAACUCAUCCUGAGCUAUGAGUUAUGACUGUUUUAAGUUGACAAAAAAACUCAUUUUUUUCCCAUACUUAACUAAAUUUCCAGAUUCUGACUUCUUAAAAAAAAAGACUAAUUCCAAUUAUAAACUUCUUCAUAGUUAUUUCAAAUUGCAAGACAUCACAUCAUGAAUUUCCAGAACAUUUUGUAUGGUCAACAACACAUAAAAUGUGGACACGUCGUAAACGAGGUCAUGUUAUUGGACGUGUAGUGACAUGUUAUCCAACCGAAGGAGAAAGAUACUAUCUUAGACUUCUUUUAUGAACGUAAGAGGGCCAAAAUCAUAUGAAGAUCUGCGAACUGUAAAUGGAAUACAAUAUAAUUCAUUUAGAGAAGCUGCAGAAAAAUGAGAACUAUUACUUUGUGAUAAUAAUUUGGUAGAAUGCAUGUCUGAAGCUGCAAGUUAUCAAAUGCCAUCCAGUUUAAGACAAUUAUUUGCUAUGUUAUUGAUUUAUUGUAAUCCAACAAAUCCUAGAGAAUUAUGGGAAAGAUUUGAAAGCCCAAUGUCAGAAGAUUUAAAAAAAAGUUCAAACAUAAAUGUAAGAGAAAUACGUUAUAAAGUAUUAAAUUGCAUUAAUGAUGUUCUUCAUUCAAUGGGUCGUGACAUUAAUGAAUUUGAACUAAUUUCAGAAUAUAUCAAACCUUCAUCAAUAGCAAGAGAAGCUAAAGAAGUUCAUUAUGAAAGAAAUAUCAUUGUUACUGAGGAAGAUUUAUUAUUAAAAAAUAAAUUAAACANNNNNNNNNNNNNNNNNNNNNNNUUACAAAAUAAAUUAAACACUGAACAGAGAAAGGCUUACGAUAUUAUUCUUGAUAGAGUAUUGUCAAAUAAAUUUGGGGCAUUCUUUAUUGAUGGUCCUGGUGGAACUGGUAAAAGUUUUUUAUAUCGUGCUUUAUUAGCUACAGUAAGACACAAGGGAUUUAUAGCUUUAGCAACUGCAAGUUCUGGUGUUGCAACUUCACUUCUUCCCGGAGGUCGAACUGCUCAUUCUCGAUUUAAAAUUCCUAUUGAUGUCAAUGAAAAUUUUACUUGCAAUAUUAGUAAACAAAGUUCACUAGCAUCUUUAAUACGAGAUGCACGAUUAAUUGUGUGGGAUGAAAUUUCAAUGGCAAAAAAGAAAAUGGUUGAAGCAUUUGACUUGCUUUUAAGAGAUCUAAUGGAAACAAAUACGUUAUUUGGUGGUAAAAUAGUUGUUUUUAGUGGUGAUUUCAGACAAACUCUUCCUAUUGUUCGUAGUGAAAAAAAAGAAGAUUUUAUUCGUGAAAGUUUAUUGUUCUCUGAAAUUUGGAAUCAACUUGAAAAAUUACAGUUAUCGAAGAAUAUGCGUGCAACUAAAGAUCCUGAAUUUUGUGAAUAUUUAAUGAGAAUUGGUGAUGGAAAAUAAAAAACAAAUGAUCAUGGAAAAAUUGAAAUUCCUCAUUCUCUCAUUAUUCCUUUUACUUCUGAAAAAGAAUCUCUAAAUCUUCUCUUUAGAAAUACUUAUCCUGAUUUAUACACAUGUUGUACAAAAACUUCGUAUGUUACUUGUCGUGCUAUUCUAACAACUAAAAAUGAUUUUGUUGAUGAAAUAAAUGACAUGUUGAUCUCUCAAUUUUCAAACACUGAAAAAGUAUAUAUUGCUAUAGAUGAAACUAUUGAUCCAAAAGAUCAAAGUGAAUAUGAAGAUUUCUUACACACUUUAAAUCCUAUUGGUUUACCUCCAUACAAAUUAACUUUGAAGAAAAAUUGUCCGAUUAUGUUAUUAAGAAAUUUAAAUCCUUGUGAAGGUUUAUGCAAUGGGACACGCUUAAUAUGUAAUGAUUUUAAACCUCAUGUUAACAGUGCAACAAUAACUUACGGUGAUUUUAAAAAUACUCAUGUAUUUAUUCCACGAAUACCACUCAUGACUUCAGAAGAUGAAAAAUUGCCUAUUCCUUUUAAAAGAACACAGUUUCCCUUACGAUUAUGUUUUGCCAUGACUAUAAAUAAAGCUCAAGGACAAACAUUAGAUUUUGUUGGUAUAUAUUUACGUGAACCUGUCUUCUCUCAUGGACAAUUGUAUAUUGCUUUAUCAAGAGCUACAAGUUCUAACAAUCUAAAAGUAUUAAUUAGACCACCUUUAAUUAACGAAAAUGAUGAUCAUUCGACAUAUAAUGUUGUCUAUGAUGAAAUUAUUGAAAAAGCAUUUUCUUGAACUUUGUGCUAUAAUUUGCAAUGGUAAAUCUCAUAUACAACUUACAUAUACUAUAUAUAUAUAUAUAUAUAUAUUAUUUAUCUAUAUUAUAAUAUUGCUUUCAUUAUACAUUUGCCUUUAGUUUAUCCUCUAAUAAUGCAUUUUAAUUGCAGAUAUUUCAACAUGGCGGAAAGAUAUACCAUCAAUAUGAUCACUCCCGAUACUAAAGAUUGGACCUGUAAAGUCCAAGUUGUUGAUAAAAGUCGACCAAGGGACAACAAAGAUAAAACCACAAAAUACCAAUAUUUUAAUUGCAGAUAUUUCAACAUGGCGGAAAGAUAUACCAUCAAUAUGACCACUCCAACUACUAAAAAUUGAACCUGUAAGGUCCAAGUUGUUGAUAAAAGUCGACUAAGGGACAACAAAGAUAAAACCACAAAAUACCAAGUCUUAAUUCUGCAAGAUGAAGAGGUAUUUAUUUUUAUUAUUAAUAUAUUAUUGAUUUUAAAAGCCAAAGUUUAAUUGAGUUAACUAAAUAACCCAUCAUUUUAUAUUUUUACUUUAAUAAUAUGAAAAAUAACAAGAUAACUUUUAAAUUUUACACAACUAAUCAAACUUUUUACAAAUUCUUUUACAGGAGAAUCAAGUUCAGGCCACUAUUUUCAGUACUGAUAUAACAUAUUUUGAAAAAGAAUUUGCUGCUUCCAAGACUUAUUUGGUAUCUGUUGCAUUUGUGAAAGAACCACCUCUUGGAUAUGAAAAUCCACUUAACAAAUUCAUUUGGACACUCGAUAAAAACACCAUUGUUGAACCAGUUGAAGAGGUCAAACCUCCAGAGGAUCCAUUACCACCACCAACCCGACUAGCUCUUGCCACAUUUGACACUUUUGAGUAUCAACCCAAAGAAUUUGAAUUUGGUAUUUAUAAAUUUAUUUAAUUAUUAUUAUUAUUCACAUAAAUAAAAUCUAAUUGUUAGUAUAUAUAAUAGAAUAGUUCUCAUGAUCUAAUUAUUCUUUCUUUAUUUUUGUUUAAUGCAAGAUGUACUUGCCAUUGUCAUUAAUGGCAAUCCUUCAACAAAGACUGCAACUGGAAAACGAAUUCAAGAGUUUAUUGUCAUGGACAAGCUGUAAGUAUAUAUAGAAUAUCACUCUUGUCAUUUAUUUUCAUAUCUUAUUACUUGUUUUCAAAAAUAGGUUCUUUUUCAUUGAUAGUGUUCUCUUUUUUCUUUUUCAUUUUUUUAGUUGAUGUAUAUACUUGUAUUUAAUAAAGUGAUUAAUCUUUUCAAGUUUCAAUAACGUUGUCUCUGUAGUCGUCUUCUCCAAAUGUGCACUCCUACUUUUUGGGACUAUAGUUGUACUUUUAGAAGUGUUCUUGUUUGUUUUUGCAAAUAUUGUCUUUUCAUUCUUUCUUUUUUUUGUUUGUUUGUGCAUCUUCCCCUCUCUUUUGUUUAAGUAAUGUGCUUGAAUGCCUUGUCCCUUUGAAUCAUUCUGAAAUAAAGGUUCAGUUUUUAUAAGGAUUGAUCUUCUUCCUGAUUUGUUCCUGCCCUUUUUAUUUUAGAUAAAUUAAUUUCUCAAUAUUGUGAAGAUAGUCUCUUAAAGAGAAAUAUACUGGUUACCCUAUUUGAUUUAUUUCCUCUGCUAUGAUUUUCUCUUAUUUUUUAAAGAUCAAGAUUGAAAUUUGAUCAACAACUAAUGAUAUCCACGUUUAUUGAGGUCCCUGGUAGAUAUUGAGUACUCGUAGGGAUAAGAUUUGCAAACACUCUACCUCCAUUUAACCCACAUGUUUGAUUUCACUAGGUUGUUGUUGUUUGAGUUUUUUCGUCUUUCCACGAAAAUUUCAUUUUUUAUCUAUUAAUUAAGCAGUUUUAAACUAAGUUCUCGAUAAGUAACUCUUACAAAGUUGGAAAAACCAUGUUUGAGGUUUUAUAUCUUCUCCUUUAUUACUCUCCCAUAUGUUCAUUUGCUUAUGAUAUUGAUAAUAGUUACCAAAGAUGUUUCUGUUGCAGUCUAUAUUGGAUGUAGUUGAUCCAUUUCACUGACUUUUAUAGGACAAAAAGCUGGUAUUUGUUGAUAAUAAUAUAAUUUGAAUUUUAUUAAUUAUAAUAUAAUGUUUUUACAAUAUCACAUAUCUUCUGUAACUUUAUUUUAAUAUUUGAAAACAUCCUUCGAAUCAUAUGCAGGAAAAAACCAACAAAACUAACACUUUGGGAGGAUUUUAUUAAUCAUGAGGGAGUUAAACUUUUCAACCAACUUCAUGAUUACCCGAUCAUUCUUGCUAGGAGCAUUGGGAAAUCAUCCUCAGGUAAAAGUGCAAUAAAUUUGUAUUUUUCUUUUUUGAAAAAUAUAUGACAUGAUGAAACUAAAAUCACAUAUUCAUAUGCACGUAGGAACGUCAAAUAGAUUCGUUGGUUUGACGAGUAAAUUCAAUAUAACAAUUGAAAUCAAUCCUCCAUAUCCACAGGCUGCUGAGUUAAGGACGUGGUAAUAUACAUUUUUAUUUAAUGCAUCGGAAUUCCAGAAUAUUUUGAAAUAUAAAACACAUCUUUAAUCAUACAAUCACAAAGUUUUAAAUUUCACUUUUAUUUCUUUUUUCAUAAUCUUUCUACAACACAUAUAUAGCAAAAUGAAGAUAGUAGUAGUCUUAUUUGUUUUUGAUAAAUGUAUGGACCGUAGACUUCUUUACAAUCCUUUUUACAAUUUUCAAAAUGACACAAGUGUUUUCGAUGAGUCCAAUAUUAAUAAAUUUUCAUAAUUUUACUUGUUUAUAGGAUCAAAACAAUUGAAACAAAGCUUGUUACUUAUAAGAUGAAAAGUACAACUCCAAUAGGCUCUAUUAUGUUGAUUCCAUUUGAGGAUGAGGUUAUAUCUGUGGCUAACAUCCAGGCACAACCUCCGGGUAAGAACAACAAGUAUAUUAUUCUAUUUUUACAUUUUUUUUAUUUUCAGUAAAAAAUAAUAUUUGGUAUAUUGAAUUUGAAGGGACAAGUAUUUAAUGUUCAGGCUGAAUUGUCCCUUCCAAGUAAGGAUCAACUCUUUAGUGUGUUAGCAUGCUCAAAUUGUAAGCAAUUGUUCACAAGAUAUAACGUGCGAAGGGAAAUCUACUGCACAAGUUGUCACCGAUCCACGCAUCUUAUUCCUAGGUAUAUUUGCUCUUCUACAAAAUUAAUAAUAACUAAUUAAGAUUAUUUAUUUUGUUUGUUCAAAGAAAUAAAUGUCUUAACUAACCAUUAUUUUUUAAAUUUUUCAUUAAUUAUCAAAACAGAUGUCAAUUUGAAGUUACUAUUAAGGACAACAGCAGUUUUGCAACAGUUAUUGUUUCGGAUGAAAUUGCAGAGAAAUUGUUGCACCUCACUUCAGAAGAAAUUUAUGAAAUUUGCUUCGUCAAGGUACAUAUUACUUUUUUCGUACCAAAUAAUCACAAAGAACUUGUUGUGAUUUUGUAUUUUCAUUGUUUCUUAUUUCUUCUCUUCAACACAAGCUUGUAACAGUUAAGGGAAUCUACGAUGAGAUUUUCUAACUCACUACUGUCUAAAUUAUAUGCUACAUAACAAGUGCUCUAGCAUGAGAGUCGCAAUAUACUGAUGUGUUUGGUGAUACAUUUCUGAAAUCUUAUUGCUCUCAUUGACAAAUAAGGAUCGUAAUAGUUGAGCACUUAUGAAGUUAUGGUAGUAUAUAAUCGAUUUAUGAUGAUAUAAAAACGUCAAAGGUAUUUUUGAAAAGGUUAAGUUAUAAUAUAGUACUAGAUUUCCUUAUGAUCAAGUGAACAUAUGACUUCCUUAACUUGAAAAGGAUACUAUAGCUCUAUAGGCUUAGAAAUCUAGCAUAAGAGAAUUUCUAAUAAAGAUUCAUUUUUUAUGUAUCAUAUAAGUUGUGAAGACCUUUAUAGUCGAAAAACUUCAGCUCACAACUUUCAAACAAUAUCUCGUGAGUUCCUUAUCAAAUAACAUAGAAUGUUGUAGAUAAUGAGGGAAUGGAAACUUACCUUCAAUAGACAAAUAUCUCGUGAAUUAAUUAUUAAUUACUUAUUCUAAGAUUACUAAUCAUAUAUUUAUAUUUCUAUCUUAUAUAUAUAUUAUAUAGAAAUGUGAAGCCUUGGACGACCAAGGGCAAUCACUUUCUUUAAUUUUGUGAAAAAUAUACUAUCUAACUUCUAAGAGUUUCAAAUGAAUGUAUAUAUGAUCAUGUGAACAUAUGGGUUCCUUGACUUGAAAAAAAUACUAUAACUCUAUAAACUUAGAACUCUAGCAUGAGAGAAUUUGUAACGUGUUCAGUCUACUCUUUUCAUUCAAAACUUCAUAUCUUAAGUUCAUGUUUCUUUUCUCCAGCACCCAACUUAUACUUUUUGUUGUCUGUUUACAUUCAACUUUCUUUAUAAAAAUAUUAUCAUUGUAUAUAUUUAUUUUACUUUUAUCCAUCUCACAUAGCUACCCAUUAGCUCAAAGCUUUGUACCUAAGUUGUCAUGCGCACCUACCACAAUAGGCAUGAUGGUUUUAGAACUGUUGCAUGUUGACUCUGAUUAGUUGAAAGACCUUUACUAUUGAAUUUAAUUACAAAUGUAAAUUUCUUUCCUCAUCCACUUUUCUUUUAAUUUCAAAAUUCAUGAUCCUUGCAUAUGCUAUUGUUGUUGAACAUCUUCUUUAAUGGUAAAAAUAUCCAAUCUCUUUCGAUUUGUCUGUUCGCUUUAUUUUCUAAUUAUUAUAUAUAUAAAAUAUAAAACAUUAAUGAUUUUGUUAUUAUUAAUCUCUUUUUUUUCAUUUUUUCAGAAAGAAACAUUAUCGCUCCAAAAUGUGGAAGAUCAAUUGAACGGCAAGAUAUUCAACAUUCAAAUGAAAAGGCUAUUCACAAAAAAAUUGGAUGCAACGUAAAAAUUAUCCAUUUUGUCUUACUUGGAGAAAGAAGAUGUGAUUCAUAAACCAAUGGCAUCUACGACAGUCAAUGUUACAGAUGCAAAAAAAGCGCACAAUUGAACAUCUUAGUUCAGGGGAAAAAGAAUAUCCAACAUGGCAAACAAAUAUAAUCCUUCUACCCACAAACGUAGCAUGGAAAUGAAAAAUCAUCCCAUGAAAAAGAAUUAAAAGGUAUUUGAAUUAUUUUGUACAUUUUUUAAAACUUCAUCUUUGCAAUUGACUAAUAUAAAUGGGAUUGUAUUUAUUUUCUUUGACUUCGAUUCAGUCUCUAGACACAUUUUCUUUUAUUGUUUUGAAUUGCAGUUGAAACACUUUUUGCUGUGGUUCUCAAAGUGAUUAUUUUGGAACUCUUUUGUUGUUGCUACUGAAUGCCGUGUUUUGCAAGCUUUUGAUGUUGCUAUGUGGAUGCCUUAUGCCCUGUUCUUUUGUCGAAAUUGAAAAUAUUUUCUCCUCUGAUAGCAAGUUAGUUAAAAGUCAUCUUUUUACAAGUACUCCAUUUAUCAACUUAAAUGAAAAUAUAUUCUUUCUGGUGUUAUGAUUAUUAUUAUCGCCGAAAACUAUUCUGUUCAUUUUUAGUUCCUAAAAGAUGUUGUAACUUUCCUCUAUUGAUCUUGUUGGAAUAACCACCUUAAACUGAUAGAAUCAAAAACUACAAUACAAAAUAACAGUUAGUAAUUAAAAACUUGUGAAAUCAAGCCUAUUUGGUAGAAUUGUUUGCCUAUUUUGAUUUAUAUGACUAUUAGACCAAUCUCUUCAGUGAUUUCUCCUUGUUGAUUUGUUUGAGUUUUUCCUUAUGGCUUACAUUGAUCAUUGGGAAAGACUUUCGAUUCUUGCUUUAAAGAGUCAAAAUCAAGCGCUAGCUCAGAACUGCGUCUUUCUCAGCUUCAGCCAAUCAAUGUCUGUUGUAUCUCCACCAUUUUAUAAAUUUUGUGACCCAUAUACUUUUGCCAACUGAUCCUACACAAGUCAAAUAAUAGGCAUAUAUGUGGUUGACAGCUUAAAAUUAAGAAAGUUAGAUUUAUCAUUCUUUAAAUUUGUUCUUCAUGUUACUUACUGUUCCGGCUUGUAUAUAUCAAUGCAGUAUGACAGCUCUUUCGAGUAAUGGUAAUUAAAGCAACCACUUAAAUAAAUAUUUUUCCAUCAAUGAAGCUUCCCUUACAAUUGUUUAGUAUAUUAAACCCUCGCAUUUUAUACUCAUUAUUCAUCCAUAUGUAAAAGCUAUAACUUUCACAUUUUUCUCUAUGAUAUUUUAAGUUUCCAUGUUCCAUUUAUUGUGGCUUAGUUGGUUAGUUUCCUCCAACAUCAACUCUUUGGUGUUGAUCAGUCAUUAAGAAGUAAAAACGAUAGUUUUGUUGAAUUCGUAGUUCUUGGUGGCCUCACUAUGUUAUUUUUACAAGUAAGCAAUGUGUCAUUUACUUUCAAGUUACGUUCAAUAAAAAUCAUCUUUACGUAAAUUAUCAUUGUUUCUAUUGUUUGCUUAUCUACUACAAAAUGGAUAAAAACAAAAUUUCUUAUGUUGUUGUUGGGAAGGAAAGAAUAUGUGAGUUUGUUGAGAGUUAAAUGUCUUGGCCAUGUGGUUUAUAAUGCUUCUGUUAUUACCGUUACAUUGUUUGUUGUUGUUUUUAGUGCCUAUAUUGUAAGACUUAGAUUAAAUUAUUUAUAAAUCCUAGACUUGCUAACAGAUAUAUCUUGUGUUGUAUAAACUAUGUGAUUCCGUGCUGACAUUUAAUCCCUCAAUUUUAAUGUAACAGGUGAUUUUGAUCAAAAAAAAUGGUCCAGAAGAUCCAAGCAUGAAAGAUGCAUCUAUUUUUGUCUAAAUUAAAAUAGUAUGUAAAUUUAUGUAAUUAGCACUCCCACAUAUGGAAAUGUUAAAACUAUGUAAGUAUGUCACUUCAACAUUCAGUAGUAUCACAUUCACAUGAAUAUAUAAUGAACAAAUUUGGCAGCUAUAAUGUGUUUAAAUUAGUAAUUUUUCUCAUUGAAAUAUAUUUUAGAUCCAUUAUAAAUUAUACAUAGGGACUGUGUUGGUACUCCUACCACUACUUUUCUAGAAUGUACAGGGAAAGUAGCCACAAUGUUUUCUGCCUAACAUGUAUUCGUAUGAGCAUAGCAUCGCAUAUAUUAACAAUUGAAGAGUAUUUAGAAGACACCUGUCUGCAGUAAAGUUGUUACUGUAAUGGGAGAAAUUAGUUAUAUAAUUACACUUUGAAGUUCAUGUGUUUUAAGUCUAUUAGAUCUGACAUUUGUAAAAGAUGCAUAUGGCUGUAAAGUAGCAUAACUAAUGCAAUGGUCUGUUAACUUUUACACUAUAUACUCUAAUUAUGUCAUUUAACAACAUCAACCAUUUAUUUGAAUUUUAUGUCUCAAUUCCUAGGCUGAUGUCUUUAUUCUUCUGAAGUCCCUUUUUGCCAUUUAUAAUAUGUACAUGUCCUGUGAAAAAAAAUGUAUUUAAGCAGCUUGUUCUUUCGCUUUCAUUUCUAGACUCCCCUCGAAAAUUUGGAACCUGUUCUAAGGGAAGACAUUCAGAAGGUACCAUAUUCAUAGUUUUUUAGUUUUCUUGUUUUUUUUUCUUCUUUCUAAACUAUACAUUAUUGAUUUUAUCGUACCUAUUCUGCCUGUGUAAAAUUAAUUAUUGAAAGUUGUUUUUGUUAAAAAAAAAAAAAUCAUUUAAUUUUUAAACAAUAACGACAAACUGUGCUUUACAAGUAGAUUUCCUGUCGUGCAUUCAAUAUCUAUGUAAUAAUAAUCGAUUGCCUUCUUAUUAUGUAUAUAUUGAUAAACUUUGAAUAAGGAUACUAAAUUGUGAAUGUUUUCCCAACUUAAUAUUGAACUAAUUGUUGAAACUUGAAAGAAAAGUAAUAGUGACUCUCGCUUGUAUCUUAUUACAUGUGGAUUCUUUUAUCGUGCAGAUUAAAAAAUGUGAUUCCUUACUAAAAUUAUAGACAUUGUGUUUUUUGAAAUUACAGUUAUUUAAAAAUAUUUUUUACCACGUUGGAUUUCAAAUAUAUUUCAUAGUAAAUCAAACAGAAGUAAAAUUAUGAUAAAAUUUUAAACGUUGGGCCCAUGCUUAGCACGGGCAACGCUCAUCUAGUAUAUCUAAUAAGGAAUAUACGUUUGUGUGGGUUAAUGUAUAUAUAUAUAUAUAUAAAGCAUAUUAUUAUUCUUUCGUUUCGUCUCACAUUAUUUAUUCACUUUCUUUUUUACAAGUUUGGUUUUUUAGUAUGUGCUAAAUUUAUGUUCAAUCAUUCCAUAUCAUAUUAUUUAUUCACUUUCUCUUUUACACGUUCAUUUUCCUAAUACACUCCCUCAACAUUCAAAAAAAAAAGGUUUUCCAUAUCCAAAGUUUCUAUAUAUAUGCUUCGUGUAAAAAUCUAACAACUUAAUCCAAUUGGCGGACGGUGAUAAAUCUUUCCUUUUUUUUAUGGGUAAAAAUAAAGUUUCCAUAUAUGUUUUCUGAUUAUAUAAACCGUGCAAAAUUAAAAUAUAAAAACUUCCAUAUAUAUGUUUUUGGUUUUAGAAAACGUGUAAAAUAUAAAAAGUCACCAUAAAAUGUAAAAAAAAUUCCAUAAAAAAUGUUUCCAUAGUCGUUAGGGAAUAGGAAUGAUAUAAUAAUCCAAAAAAGAAACGAAAAGGAAAGCGAAAUCCUAAUCCAAAGAUAAAACGUAAAGCCUCUACCUAUAUAUACAUGUGAAAUAGUGAAUUGUUUCAUUGAAAUAUUAAUUAGCUGGUGCAAAUUCAACAAAAAAACAUGGUAAAAUUUCCCUCAUGUCUUGUUAAAGUAGUUGUAAUAAUGAUACUAGUAUGUUUUCCUUCCACCACCCUCUCUAGAAAAUUAUUACUCUCGUCACCACCAUCAGAAGCUGCUCCUCCAAAACCUCAUAAUAAUAUUGUUAACGAUGAAGACAACAAUCCAAAAGAGAAGGUGAUUGAUGAUAGUCGUCGAAGCUGGAGUUCUCUUGAUCUUGGUCACAAAAUUAUGAUUAUCCUAUCUAUAUUUUGUAGCUUACUUACAAUUGUCGGCCUCGUUAUCGUGAUAACAUGGCUUAUCUAUUCCGAACUAAGGGGAUAUUGAUCCAUCUAACUACUCUAUACCUUUUAUUUUCUGUAAUUUAAUGAAUAAACAGUGUUUUUCUAUUUUCGAUCCACUUAAUUGGGUGUGAACGUUGUACUUGUAUGUAUCGAUUGCUGGGUUUGUUUUGCUGUGUAUGUCUGGUGGAUGUUUUGUUGGAAUUGUUGACAGCGUUUUGGAAUAUUGGUGGGCUUGGGUCGAUGCAGCUGAUUAUUGUGUUGUGGGCUGUUGUAAUUGGGUUAAUAUUGGUUUGAAGUUGGGAUGAAAUUGUGUUUAAGGGGGUUACUUAAACAAAUUAAGUGGAACUUUUGUAUAUAGCCACUACAAAAUAGUUUAAUUACGCUAUAUAACUAGAGUUUGCUAAUUUCGAUUCGUAGCUACAUGUAAAAGAGAGGAGAGUGGAGAGCGAGAUUGGGAGAUGGAGGAGAGAGGUGAGCGAGAGAGGGCAAAAAGUGGGAGAGAGGUGAAUUGUAUAUGUAUAUCGGUUUGAUAAUUGUACAUAUGUAACUGGUAUAUGUAUGUAUUUGUAUAUCUAGAGAACGAAAUUGGGAGAGGGAGGAGAGAGGCGAGUGAGAGAGGGCAAUAAUUUGUAUAACUCGCAUCUCACUUGUACAAUUCACGUGUUUUUGAACGUAUAUGGUGAUAAAACUGAAAAACCAAACGAAAUCAUCGUCAUAUGCAAAUACAAACCAUCUUAUACAAAUAAAAAUCAAACGAAGAAUUGUUAAUUGCGGAUUAUACAAAUGUGGCGAAUUAUACAAGCACGAAGUUAGCCCACAUAAUUAAUAGUUAAUGUUAGUUGCAAGUGGUAAUUAUAGCAAACUAUAGCUACAAUGACUAAUUAAGUAGUAUAAAUUCGCUUAACCGCAUAAUUUUCCCUUAAAAUAAGAAGAAUUGUAAUAAAAGGGGUUAGAUUUCAAAUUAUGACAUAACCAUAUGAAUUUCAAUUAUGACCAAUUGUAAUUAAUAUGUAAUAUUUUCCUUUAAAAUCGUUUUUGUAAAAAUUUGAUGGUUCGCUGCACCGAAGAAUGUUGUUUAUGAUGUUUCGAAUAUUGCACUAUUUUGUUGGUAUUACUGUUUUCUUAUUAGUUGUUAUAUUUUCUUCACUGUCACUAUACAUUUUCAUACAUACUUUAAUUUGUUGUAUUCGAGCCAAGGGUCCUACGAGAACAUCUUCUCUAUUUCCACGAGGUAGAAAUAAGGUUUACAUACGUUUUAUCCUCCGCAAACCCAACUCGUAAAAUUAUACUAAAUAUACCAUUAUAUAUUUCAAUGAUAUUAAUAAAUUGAUUGAUCGAACGAAAUAUUAGCGGAGCUUAUAAUUUUAGCAUAACACCUCGAAGAUGAAGUCGGAAUGUACGUUCCAACACAUCACAUGAUAACAUUAAACGAAGCCUCCAACUUCGAUGCAUUAUACAUUUUUCAUAUAUAGACUAUACUAUAUAGUACAUCUAAAUUUUUUUAAAUAUUAUACAUUGAGUGAGUUAAUGAUGCUGGUGCCUCUUAUCUGUCGUCCUAGUAAUUGCUGACUUGUUUUUAUUCCCAUACGUCUAUUAAAUUUCAUAACAUGCAUAAUGCCAACUCAUAUAAUAAUAUUCUUCAGAAUCUAAAGGGGAAAAAAAAUGUUUCAAGAUCAAAUUUUAAGUUAUUGACCUUUCAAGUUCUUAAGAGUGUUAUCUAAUCAUGAAUGAACUUGAAUAAAAUCCUAGAAUUUGGAUUUAAAUUUUAAUAGGAUGAUAUCUUUUAAUCUGUUCAAAUUUAAGUAAGGAAAUUUGUUUUGCUAUACUUAUGCUAAAUAUAAAAUAAUUGAAGUGUGCGUAAUUUCGUUUGAACAUCAGCAUUACUAUACCGUUUAAGAAAAUGGUCCAAAUUAGCUUUUGUACUGUGAGAAGGUUUUACUUUGCUCUCUAUUAGAAGUUUGUUUCAUUUAUCUUUUUUGUUAUUUUAGUUUUAACUCCAAAUUUCUCAAACUUGACUUUAAGAUAACAUUAAAUAAGGAUGUAAUGAUAAAUUUAUGUAAUUUCUUAAAAGACGUGAAAUCUAAAAUAAUGACAUCUAAAUACGAACGGAAGGAAUAUUAGUUGGUCUCUAAUUAUUUCGAUCAUGAGUGCAUAAAGAUGCCACAUGGCUAUAUUGUGGCUACACUAUCAUAGAAAUACUGCUCACAACAAUCCAAUGAAAUUUAGUCAAAAUGUGUCAUGACUAAAAGAAAGAGAAAAAUAAGAAUUUUGAUUCAUCGUCAAUUUCAUUAUGUGUGAAAAAAAUCAUGAUUUUGAAGUUUUGAAGUGAUUUUAACAUUUUAUUUUUAUUUUGCAUACCACAAAAGGGAAAUAUGGAUCUUUUCCCUAUAUAAUAUUUGAUUUGUUAGCGACUAAAAGUAAAUUCGAAUUAGAAUUAUAACGUUGCGGAAUUGAAUAAGCCAAACUUCCUACAUAGUACAAAAUUAAAUCUUUCUACAAAAUAUGAGGGUAAAUUUGAACCUUUAUUUUUAUAACAUAGAAUCACAAUAUAUUAAUUGGACAAUAAUCAACCUCCAUCUACUACAAUAAAUAUCUCUCGUCAAGUCACUUUCAUUCUUUCUUUCUUUUUAAGUCUAAUCAACUUCAAACAUAAACUAAAAGCAUAAAUGUAUUUAUUGUUGUCCGUCUCAUAUUAGUUGUUAAUUAUACUUUAAAUAGUUAUCCUACCUUACUUGUCAAUUUACCUUUAUAACUAAUUCUUUUUUUUUAAAGUGUAAACAAGUUUGUAAAGUUUUUAAAAAGUUUCUGAAGGAUAAAUUAAUAAAACUAACAUUCUUAUUAAUGAUUUCUUAAAACGUACUAUGGGAAAUAUAGAAACUAAUAUCAGGGGCGGAGUUAGUAGUCAGCGUGUGGAUUCUUUAGAUUUUAUCAUACACACAUUUUUUCCCCUUUUGUUCAUAUAUACUUUAGAUUUGAUCUUUGUGUUUCCUUGAUAUUUUUUUUUACAUCAAAUGAUCAACAAAUCUAACGAAUUCAUUCGCCGGAUUUUCAAUUUUCCGGCUAUUCGUCCUAGUGAAACAGUAUGUUUUUCUAGCCUUGUUACAUCUUUGAUUCAAUUAGGCCAAACAAUAUGUGAAUACAAGUCAAGAACUUUUUAUACCAAUAAGAAGAAUGUUAGGAAUUCGAUUCGUUUAAUUGAGGAUAUUCUCAUUGUUCUUGAAGAAAUCCCAAAUGGGGUUUCAAGAUUUGUUAAUUCAAGUAUUGUGAGCUUAUCUGAGAUUCAUUUUAUCUUCCACUAGUUUCAUUUCUUGUUAGAUGAUUGUAGCAGAGAAGAUUCAAGAAUAUGGAUUUUAGCAAAAUCCGAGGAUGUCUCUUGCCAGUUUCAGAUGCUGGCAAGAGCUGUUGCUGUGGCACUUGAUGUUCUUCCCUUGAAGGAAAUGGAUGUUUCUGUGGACGGUCAAGAAGUGGUUGAGUUUGUGAGGAAUCAAGCUGUUAAGUUGAAGUUUGAAGUGGAAAUGGAUGAUGGGAGAAUGCAAGUGAAUGUUUUGAAGAUUUUGGAUCAACUUGAAGAUGGAAUUGUUCCUGAAUCACAUGAUCUGAAAAGGGUUCUUGAUUAUUUAGGGAUUACACGUUGGAGCGCGUGUAAUAGAGAAGUUAAGUUCUUGGAUAAUGAGAUGUUGUUGGAGGGGAAUACUGAGGAGAAGAGAGAUAUGGGAAUCCUUAGUAGCUUAAUGGGGUUCAUGAUAUACUGCAGGGGAACUCUGUUUGAAGUAUUGGAUAAUGGAGCAGGCAGACAAAUCAAUGGAGGCAGUACUAAUGCAGAUCAAGUCAUCAGGUUCUUGAAUCUUGAUGAUUUCAGGUGUCCAAUUACACUUGAAAUGAUGAGUGAUCCAGUGACAAUAGCCUCAGGUCACACGUAUGAUCGGGCUUCGAUUCUGAAAUGGUUCAGAGCUGGAAACUCCACUUGUCCAAAGACUGGUGAGAGGUUAACAAGUAUUGAUUUGGUUCCUAAUUUUGCUUUGAAGGUUUUAAUCAAGCAGUAUUGCUCCGCGAAUGGUAUUCCAUUUGUGGAGACUGGUAGGCGAAAUCGUGAUGCUGGAAGAUUUGUUGGUUCAAGCAGUGUGGCUAAUGAGCAGGCUAUGAAGUUGCUUGCAAGUUUUCUAGUAGGCAGGCUGGUUGGUGGAACAAUGGAACAGCAAAAUAAGGCUGCUUUCGAGAUUCGUUUGCUCACUAAAACAAGCAUUUUUAACAGGUCUUGUUUGGUGGAAGCUGGUGCAAUCCCACCUCUUCUGAAUCUUGUUACUUCUAGGAAUUCUUCUUGUCAAGAGAAUGCAAUGGCUACUCUGCUGAACCUCUCAAAGAACUCUAAAUGCAAAAGCACAAUUGUUGGAAAUGGAGGUUUGUUCUUGAUACUUGAUGUGUUGAAAGGAGGGCUAAAGAUGGAAGCUCGACAGCACGCAGCUGGUACAUUAUUCUACCUUACAUCAGUAGAAGAGUACCGUAAAAUGAUGGGAGAAAAUCCAGAGUUCAUUCCAUCACUUUUGGAGUUGCUAAGAAAUGGCACUGACAGAGGAAAAAAGAAUGCCUUGGUCACCAUUUUUGGCCUCCUAAUGCGCCCCGAAAACCACUGGAGAGUGAUUGCUGCUGGAUUAGUCCCCUUGGUGGUUAAUCUGUUGAAAUCUUUCGAAAGGGAAGAUCUCAUUACAGAUUCUUUAGCAGUUUUAACAACGCUUUCUGAAAGGCUAGACGGAGCAAUGGCUGUUCUUUAUGCUGGAGCUUUGCCUAUUAUUGUCAAUGUUCUAAGUUCUUGCAAUUCAAGGGCAUCAAAAGAGUACUGUGUCUCAUUGUUGCUGGCUUUGUGUAUCAAUGGUGGAGCAGAUGCAGUUCCUGUUUUAGUAAAGAACUCAUCUCUCAUGGGACCGUUAUAUUCCCUCCUGGCUGAAGGCAACUCAAAAGCAAGCAAGAAAGCUAGUACACUCAUCAGAAUCUUGCACGAGUACAACGAGAAGACCUCAUCUGGCUUGAUCACUCCAGUUUUUAUAGAGGAUCAAUUCAUUAAUGUAUGGUAAUUAUUUACAAGCAUCCAACAUGUAUAUAUACACCAUGGUGUAGGAUGCUUUAGUGUCAUUUUCCUUUACUGGUGAUAUCGGCUCAAGUUUUUAAGAGCUAGUCACACUACACUGCUGCAGCUUCUGGUUUUUUGAAUGAAGCUUUGUAUAGUUUUACUUGUAUCUCUAUACUUUCUGAUGUUAAUGUGAAUUGUUGUUAAUGUAAACAUCAAUCGUUGUAAUCUUCGAAUAAAUAAUAAGCAUUAUCUUAUCUGAAUCAGUUGGUAC